Molecule: long non-coding RNA, 92573 nt
Filed under: Lathyrus oleraceus (garden pea)
Lineage: Eukaryota; Viridiplantae; Streptophyta; Magnoliopsida; Fabales; Fabaceae
Description: Pisum sativum (pea) long non-coding RNA (PSAT_LNC031380)
Source: RNAcentral
ACUCCAAUCAAAAUCAUCUCGUUCUCGAUAUUAGUUUUCGUAACCAUUAACAUAGCUGAUGGUCAAGCUCAACCAAAUCAAUCAACCUUGGUGUUCUACCUACAAGAUGUCGGAAAAGGGCCUAAAGCAACCGUUUCACCCGUUAUAGGCAUCAAUGGCAAGGUUUGGUCAUACAACACAUUUGGAACAAUAUUUGUUGUUGAUGAUCCUGUUACAUUAAGUCCUAAUCCAUUUUCAACUCAAAUCGGAAAGGCUCAAGGUACAAUUACAGUAACUUCUCAAGAUGGUGGAAAUGUGAACAUAGUUUUGUCAAUUGUGUUUAACAAUGCGCAAUAUGCUGGUAGUACUUUGGAAAUUCAAGGUACAAGUCGUCAACGAGAUAAUUUAAGAGAGCUUGGAGUUGUUUCUGGAACGGGAAGGUUUAGAUUUGCUAGAGGAUUUGUUGUAUUUGAAACUAUAUCUUAUGAUCCUACUUAUAGUCAAUCUGUUAUUAGGUUGACAUUAACCUUGGAAAUACCUUAAAAAUAUAUGUAUUAUUAUACAAGCUAUGAUGAUACUGGUUUCAUAUAUGUACCGAUAAAUAAAAAUCAAAGAGCAAUAUUUGAUCCUUUUAUUUUAUUAAUAUUUCUUUAUUAAUAUUAUUUUGUAUUCCAUGUUCAACUGUCAACCUAUUAAAUGUUUAAUGUCGUGUAUCUUGGUUAGCAACGUUGUCUCUGUCUGGUUUGAUUCUUGCCCGAUAGAUUUAAGGCGUAUUUUUAGGUUGGAGUGAUCUGAUUUGUCUGUUAGGCACGUUGUCUAGUCUCUCUUUAUAUGGGCCUUUGAUCCUCCCUUUCACAAAAAAUAAUAAUUUUAAAUGUCACAAUUUUGAGGCCAAGAUGAUGCUUGUAGAGGCAUUUUAAGGGGUGAUGUUAGAGUUUUUUUUUUGUGUUUUGGUUUUUAAAUUAACUAUCAAAUGCUCAAACUAUGAAGCAGUACUUUCAGGAAGUUCUAGACUUAGGCGUGCUUAGAGUAGAAGAUAUUAUCUUUUAGUACUCUAUUUAUAAGAGAAAAAUUAUUUUUAGGUUCAUUGAAUAAUCGAUGUAUCUGGACUGUAUCAUGGACCAGAUACAUUGAUUAUUCAAUUAAUUAAAAAAUUAACUUUCUCUUAUAAAUAGGGCCAAAGAGAAUAAUAAUGAUACAUAAAAUUUAUAAAAAUAUUCAUUGAUUCAUCAUCUAUUUAAAAGUGGAUGAAGACAUAGUUUGUGUGUACUCAUAAAUUUUUUAUUGCAUGUAGUCAGUUAGUUUUUUCAGAGUUUUCUGAUCAAAUUUAAAGGUCUAAAGUUUAAUAUAAGUAUGUUGUAUUUUAAAAAAUAAAAAAUAAUAUUAAAAUUUAAAUUGUUCAUUCUUGAUGAGAUGAUCUUGACGUGGCUCAUUAUGUGCAGUAUGAUUGGACCUAAUCUAAAUCCAAUGAAGACAUUAUCAAUAUUUAUCUCGUCAUGUAUUUGAUAUACACAUGAUAACUAUUAUUCUGCGGGGCUGAAUAAAAGAAGGGCCUAAUUGCCACUUUGAGGCCAUCCUAACUAGGUCUUGAAGGUUCAAGACAGUCCAAUUAUGAAGGAUACCCACUAUUUGAUAUAAUCAGACAGUUUUCCUCGAUCCUUGGGAUAAAAGAAGAUAUUUCUCUAACAACCCAUCAUAUAUAUACUUCAGCGUGCAUGAAACAUGGGGUAUGAAUUUCACCAUACUUUACUCAACCUUUUUUUUUUACUAAAUAGUUGAUUUGGGCAUUGGAGUGUUAAUCUUGCAGAUCCACCCUCGCACUUCCGGAUUAGAUACUUGCACCAUAAUAUUGAGAGUUAAUAUCACCAAUUCAUCAAUAAUUAUGGUUCUAGAAAGGAAUAGUAGCGUCGUCUGUGGGAACUCGAAUUUGAAUUCCUGCGAAUUUCCACAAUCAAAUGUCUUUAAAGUCUCAAUCAUUGUAAUAGUCCCGCUGAGGUGUAGGAAGUAAUUGUAGAUAUUGUUUCCCAAAGCAUCUUGGAAUCGUCUAGUCUAGGAUCACCUCAAAUCUUUAUCGUAGAUACGAUGAAUGAAGAACUACAUGGCGAGAGAGAACCUCCACUUCAGAAUUAUCUCACAUUAACACAAAUCGAGAGGCGAGAAGAAGACAAGCCCUUAGUAGAGUUUCAAGGUCAUUAUAAGGUGAAUGGAUUCCCUAAUGUGACUCUUCCUCUAGUCGUAAUUGCUACAAUAGAAAAUCAUGAUGUAUCAAGGAUCCUCGUUGAUGGUGAAAGCUCAUGCGAUGUGAUGUAUCUCAAAAUUUUCAUGACGUUAGGCUAGAUCUGAAGCCAACUAGAUCUAAAGCCUUGCGAAGGAAAAAGUCUCAUAGCAUUUGAUAAUUCAUUUACUCGUCCAUUAGGGUGUAUAGAUCUGUAGGUUUCCUUUAAAAUAGAAAAAAAAAUAAAAGAACCAUGGAAUAUCCCUUCUUUGUGAUCCCUUAUGAAUGGGUGUACAAAGGAGUUCUUAGAAGGCCAUUCAUAACAAUGCUAGAUCCUAUGGCUUCCACUGUUCACUCGAAGAUGAUGUAUCAUAGAGAUUUUGACAAGCCGGUCAUUAUUGCAGUUGGCGUGCGUGGAACAUGUCUUUUACAUGAGGCAAUAUUGAAAAAUCCCUUAGAAACUAUUAUCACUUCUAAGAAAAGGAGAAAGAACACCAGUGGAAUGAUCAACCUAGCCGACCAAAAGAUGAAGUCCUACAAGAUGACGAGCUUGAUCUCUCCACGAGAACUAUGAAGAAUACCUUGAUACCGACUAUUUAUGGUGAAUUAGAUAUCGUUUAACUCGACAAUAAUCUAGCUUGGCCAAUCAAAAUAACUCUGUUAACCUACCAAUUAGGGUGAAGAAAGGCUUAGUUGAAUACUUAAUAGCCAACAAUGACCUAUUUUCCAUUUCCCUAAGAUAUUCUUGACAUAUACCCAAGGGUGGUAUGCCAUCAGUUAUACAUAGAUCUUAGUGCCCAAUAUGUUUCCCACCAAAGAAGGUGACAAUCUCAUGAGAUUGUGCGUUGAUUAUUCCAAACUUAACUAGGUGUGCCUGAAAGACUCGUAUCCUAUUCCAAACAUAGACAGGUUGGUAGACAGUUCAUCUGAAUACAAGUUUUUAUCAUUUAUGGAUACAUAUUUUGGUUACAAUCACAUACCCAUGUAUGAGCCAGAUAGAGAUAAAAUAACUUUCGUGACUAAAGAAGGCAAUUAUGUGUAUAACAUGAUUCCUUUUGUCCUAAAGAAUGCAUGAGCAACAUACUAAAGAAUUAUGAAUAAAGUUUUGAAGGAAAAAAAUAGGUAAAAUACUAGAGGUAUAUAUAUGUACAUCAUGAUCUUUAAGUCCAACAAAGUGGAAUCACACGAUCAACAUCUCACCUGCGUAUUCCGAAGAGUCAGGCAAUACAAUAUUAGGCUUAACCCAUAGAAGUGUACCUUUGCAGUUAGAGUUGACGAAUUGUUGGGUUUUUAUCUUACAAAGAGAGACAUAGAAGAAAACCCAGAUAAUUGUGAGGCAGUUAUGAGAAUGGCAACAAUAACAAAAAAGAAAGAAAUGAUGAAAUUGAAUGGAAUCACUAGGCACGUACAUCUUGAAGUCGACUCAAACCGCCUAACCGUUAUACAAAUUCUUGAAUAAAAAGGAACAUUUCGAGUAGACCCUAGAAUGUGAGCAGGCUUAUGUAUCUCUGAAGACGGUCCUAUCAACCCCAUAAGUACUAACUUUUCCAUCCCCCAAGGAGAUUUUGUAUCUUUAUUUAGGUGUUUUCACUGAAGUAGUCAACACCAUCCUUUUAAGACAAAUGAACUUUUCCAAGUCCCAUUCUAUUUCACCUCCAAAUCCUUAGUUGGAACAGUAAGACACUAUCAAAAGAUAGAUAAGGCAGAACUGGCAUUGGUAACUACAUCCAAUAAGCUUGAACAAUACUUCCUAGCACAUGCCAUAGUAGUCCGAACAAACUUACCCUUAAAGCAAAUGCUACAUUGCCCAAAUUUAGCAGGAAGACUAACAAAGUGGUCCAUCUAAAUGUAACAAUUUGAUGUUUCCUUAGAAUCAAGGAAUGCGGUGAAGGAACACCUGCUCAUACAUUUCACUGCAAAGAAGACCCCAAUCACACCAGAUUCUGCUCUUACAUGGUAAUGUUUAUAGAUGGAUCAUCCAAUAGCCAAGAAAUUGGAUAAGUUGGUUUAGUGAUUAAAGCGUUACUGCUCUUCAAAAUUUGUGCCACUAAUAAUGAAUCUAAGUAUGAAGCAAUCAUUGUUGGCAUUACGUUAUCCGUCGAGAUGGGGGCAAAGAAUGUCAAAUUGAGAACAAAUUCCUAGCUCGUGAUCUUACAAGUAAAAAGGGAAGGGUAAAACAAUGAGUUGUUCUUAAGAUGAUAUGUUGCUUUAUCCAGGGAAAUAAUAUAAAAAUCAUCAUAGAUCUUAAAAGUUCUAAGAUAGCAGAAUACCCGAGUCGACAUCCUGUCCAAGCUCGUAAGCACAAGGACAUUUGGGGUAUAUCAUUCUUUUAUCUAAUAAACUCUAAUGGUCCCGAUGUAGCGGUAAACUCAUGACCAUCAAGCUAUGAAUAAACUUGACGUCAGUAAAACCAGAGUCGCCACCGCGCUUUUAUUGUUUCCAAAGGAAAAGGGAAAAGUACGAACAAAACCCAAAGAUAAGAAGUUUUCAAAUCAAAACUAAUAAAAUGCCAGAGAUUUGACGUCAGUAAAACCAGAGUCGCCACCGCGCUUUUAUUGUUUCCAAAGGAAAAGGGAAAAGUACGAACAAAACCCAAAGAUAAGAAGUUUUCAAAUCAAAACUAAUAAAAUGCCAGAGAUUACAGGUAAUGGGGUUGGUUAUAUAGAUGGAAGGUGUUAGCAUCCAAAGUUUCCUAGGUACUCCUAGUGAGCCCUUUUUGUGUGCAUAUGUUUUUUGGUCUAAAUGAUCUUUGAUGAAAUAAAGAGUGUAAGGAUGAGAAAGGAAUUCAUUGAUUAUAUUUUUGUGUUUGACAAGACUUUUGGUCUUAUGCCUAUGUACCAACAUAAAAAUGAGGGAUCAAAACCCCGUAGUUCGUGGUAAAAAUUUCAAAGAAGUUGGUGAAUUGAUUUUAACAAAGGUUUAAAUGAAAAGGCACAAAAGGCCAAAUAUUUGAAUGAGGUUAUUAGUUCUUUUUGUCUUUUGAAAUUUAAGUCAACAUGGUUAAGUUUAUUUACAAAUUUGAUUUAAGAAAAGAUUUUUAAAAAAAAUUCAAUGGCAUAAGGCCAAAGUUUCUAAUCAUUAAAACAUGUCUAAGUUUGAAAUCACAAGACAGAGAAGGUUUUUGAAAAGAGGGAGAGAUUUUGAAAUUAAAGAAGUGGGAGGAGAUGAAGAGACUACCCUAAGCAAAAGUUUAAAAGUUAAGAGUUGAAAAGAUCUGACAAAUGGGAUGCAAUUCAACAGACAAGAAUGUCAUAUAGAAACUCAUUUUCCUUUGGACUUUAAUCAAGCAAUAAGCAAUAAGGAAUGAGCAAUAUCCAGACAUCAUGAAGAUUAAGGCAUCAAAUAAAGAUAUCCAUAUCCAAAUAAGAACUCCAAUAGCUAGCAGUCUUCAGUGUCUUCCCAUGUAUCAGAUGAAAUAUUCCUUGAUCAACUCAGAACAAAACAUCAGACAUAGACAAUAAUAACAAAAUAACACUUAAGCAUAAAGACAGAGUAACAGAUGUGUCAAUGGCACUCAAAGGUCUUGCAUCAGAUGAGGCACAAUCAAAGAUAGCCCAAUCUCAGAUGUUGGCAUUGACCAAGUCCUUUAGCAUAGGGAAGGUUGCCUAGUUCUAAGUCCAAAAGUUCAUAUCAAAUCCCAACAGUCCAUUAAAUGUUUUUUUUGGGGUUUUUGUUGUUAUUAGGUGUUUUAAGGUCCUAAAACCACAAACAAAACAAAGACAAACAAAUAAUAUAUACAAUCACAAGAUAUGGCUCAAAUGAGCAAAGUGAAAAUGACUUGAAACAUAAACAAGUUGCAUGAAAUGUAAAUGGCAAUGAAUAAUAAAGGUACUUGACAUUUAAAGUGCAUAAAGUAAAUGACUUAAAAGUAAACCAUAAUUAAUAAGAGUUAGUCAAAUGUUAGUGGUGAAUUUUAAUUGAUUAAGUCAUUCUUUGGAUAACACUCAACCAUUCAUUCACAAGUAUGAAUCCUUGAGCCAAGACAUCUUUCAUGAGAAGGGCUCCAACUUGGAUAACUCAACAAGUACGCCACUAGCUCCCAUGAAAGGAAAAAAGUCCAAGUUCCCACACAAUGCCAUGAAGAAUGGGAGACUUACAAUCUCAUUUACUAGAAUGUUAUGCCUUGAGGGUCAAAUUUAGCUCUAUGUUAAGCAAUUGUAAUUGGACUUAUUUAGAAGUCACAACUAUCUGAGGUCGGGCAAUAAAAAUAUAUGUGUUAAUGCAUAUUAGAGAUUUGGUACAAAUGACCAAAUUCCUAAAACAUACCACACACUAAAAUAAAUGGGAAUGACCUAUCUCAGUCAGAAUUGUAUUGAUUCAUUUGGCACAAGGUCAUUGAUGAGUCAAUUAGCAUUUAGACAUAAAGAGAUUUCAUUGGUCAAUGAGAGAAUGGGGAAUAAUAGGGUUGAAGAUGAAGAGGGAAGGGGAGAUAGAAACACAAAUUGAUCAUGAGAGGAAUUUCAUCUGAUCAAUACCAUCCAUUCAUUUUCGGAGAUGAAAUGUACAUUUCAUCAAUCCCCUAAAUCCAAUGAUUUUGAUCAAACAAAAGUCAAAUCAACCAUGACCAAGAUCCAAACAGAAAGUCAAACAUCACAAGAUCAUAAAAAUGGCUCAACAAAUUUUUUAAGCAUUUAAUCAAUUAAAAAUCACAUUAAAAAGGAAUAAAAAUGCAUUUUAAGAUGAACAAAACCUCAAAUCCCUUCAAAACACUAAAUAUAUGGCCAAGGGAUUUAUCCUAGGUCAAACAAGGUCAAAGGACCUUAGACAAAAAAUUCACAAUUUUUAGAAAGUCAGAAUUAUUUUAAAACAAUUAAAAAUAUGCACAAAAAUAUUUAAUUCAUGAAAAAUACCAAAAUUUAUCCCAAAAAUAAUUUUUAUUCAAAAUAUGGAAAAGAAAAAUAUUUAAAGAUUUUUUGGUGAAAGUCCCAUAUUUUUUGAAUUAAAAAUGGAUUUAUUAUGAAUUAAACAAAAUAAGGUUAUUAAAAAAUAAAAUCAGAAAUUUAAAUAAAUGAGAAAAAAUAAGGGCCAUCAGAUCUUCCUCAUUAAUUGAGGUGGCAGAUCUGAUGGCCAAGUGCGCACGUUCCAUGGUGAACCUGAGUCAAUGCAUCACAGGCGUAGUAAUUAAAAGGAAUGACUAAGAUUAAAAUGUUUUAAACAGAUCAGAUGGUUGGAGAUAUGACACCACAUCACCGGAGCCCUAGCUCACCGGACUGGUCCACCACAAAUCACCAUCAAAAUAAAAAGUAAGAACAUGGUUUUAAAGGAAAAAUGCUUAGGAGCUCGAAUCUGAUCUCCAUUUCAUCCAAUUCCAAGUAUAUAGAAAGAUACAUGAAUUUGAAAUUUGAGGUGCAUGAUCUAAAUUGCUUCGAUUUAACCUCAAAACAACUCAAUCUUGUUGUCUACAUUGGUAGGACUUCAGCCAACCAAAAUCAAAGAGAAUGGUGAAGAAUUAAGAGAGAAUCGAAGGCUCAAAGUUUCUGAAAUUUCACCUUCAGGUAGCUUGAAUUUGGCUUGAUCUUGCUUCCAAUUUACUUGGCUCGACUCUAGAAGCUCGCAGGAAAUGAAAUGGAUCAAUGAAAGGCUUGGAUUCUUGGAGUUUCAAUCUCAAAACAGAAGGGGAAUUGAAACUCGAUUUCAAGUGAAAUCUUCAAGUUUAUUCUUUAAUGGAGGUUAGGGAUGCAAUGCUUCAAAGCUUGGGCAUGAGGGAUCCCUCUUCUGAUCACAAUGGCCAUGUAUUUAUAGGGUUAUGCAUUGCUUUUCACACACUUGAAAUUUUUGCCAAAUUUAGCAACCUUGGUGCAUGGAUGCAUGUGCAUUGAUUUGGGCCCAAUUCAUUAUGUAGUCGUACUGCAAUUCAUGCACAAUGAGUACUGAAACAAUAACAUGUAAGCAUGCAAUAGGAAAUGGUUAUUUGAAUUCAAAACUUGCCAAAACAAACCUAUGAAAGGAACCAUGUGCAAGUCCCUCAAUCCUUGUCCAAAUUAAGUGAUCUUGGACUUUUUGGAAAGGUGAUAUCAAGGGGAACAAAUUUUAUGUUUACCAAAUUUCCAUUUGGAGCUUGGAUCAUGAUGAAUUUUGAGGUGGAAGUUUGAGAAAUCAAACAUAAUUGAAAAUUUUCUAAGUACCAAGUCAAAUGACCACUUAUUCCACCUUGACUAACUUUUGCUAUAAGCUCCAAAUGAAAAUGGUUUCUUCACCAAAGUUGUAUCUUUUCCAUCUCUAUGAAAUUUUUUCACAAAUUUGACAUCAUUUGGAUUUGACAUGAGGGAGUUAUGUAUUUUAGAAGUUGAGGAAAAUUGCUUGUUCAGUGAUGAUGGCCCAAAAUGACCUAUAAUCGUUCCUCUUGGCACAUGGACUUUCAAGUUGAAUUUAAAAUUUAUCAAAGAAUAAAAGUUGGAGAAUACAUCUUCAAUUUGAUAAUGAAACUUGGAUGGACUUCAUAUCAUAAACAUUGAGAAAGUUAUGGUCCUUGGAAGUUGACCUCCUAACUAGGGCACAGACAAAAUGACCUAUAAUCUUUCACCAUAAAAAAACACUUUCCAAGCAAAACUAGAUCUUGAUGUCAACAUGAACGUUGUUUGAAAUGUCAUAAAGAGUAACGUUUCUCUUGGAAUCAUUUUCAUAUGACAAAAAUUGUAGGAGAUAGGGUCUAAGGUACCCCAGUUUUGACUAGUUGACUUUCUCUGGUCAACUUCUUGGAACCAACUUGCAAACUUGAAGUUAUCUUGAUCUUUGGGACUCAUGGAGGAUCAUAUAUGCAUAAGAUUAUGUCUAAUGAAGUAUUCCUUGAUAUAUUUGACCAAUUGUUGAAGAAACUUGUUGAGGAAGUCACACAAGAUACAUAGAUGAAUUAUGGCUUCCAAGGCAAACAAGCUUCAAACUCUUGAUGAAUUCUUGAUCAAAAUGAUAACUGAAGAUCAUGGGGAUCCAUAUAUGAUGUUUAUAACCGUUGUGAACCAUUACUUGAUUGAUCUCUUGUCAUGAGGGUCUCAAACCCUAGUUGUGAGCUUGAUGAGGAAUAUGUGGAUGCACACACUACCUACAAAAGAAACAAAGAUAUACAUAAAUAUAUUUUUGGUAUUUUGGUUAGUAAACAAUUGAAAAUAAAGUAUGAUACAAUCAAAUGUUCUUGGUGAUCCCUCUCAAUGUAAACCCAAUGAAUGAGGGGUAAGGAGGAUGCCAAGGUGUGAUCCCAAAGCCAAUGCAAAUGAUGAGAUAUCAUGAGGGAUCUUAGGGUCAAAAUUGGGGUCUUACACCCGAGUAUUGGAGCUCUAGAGGUAAAUAAUUCCUUUAACCUCUCUAUUUAAUAAAACCUCGUGAAACCCUUAGAGGAACCAUCCAUGUACUUGUGGGAUUGAAAAGGGUGUUCCUAAACAUUUAAAAGGCCCACAUACACAACUUAAUCGAUUAACUCCCUGAGCUAAUCAAUUAGAGAAAGGUAUAAAUCUUCCUAAUCGAUUAAGACACUCCUAAUCGAUUAGGACACUAUUUGCACUAAAUUUUUUUUUGGGUAAUUAGGGUUCCCAUUUUUAUGAAAUUGAUUAUGCCUAAUGCAUUACUCAGAGAGUUCUUCGUUGAAAAACCAGAUCUGAUAUAUCAAAGAAUUAUUCAAAUGUUCUACUCCAACCUCAAGUAUGAAUAAGUGUCAAUCACAACAAAUAUUGGUCAAACCAAUAUCGUUUCACCAUAAAAGGGUUUGGAGUUUUGAAUAAGAUACCAUCUUAUCGGAAAACUUACUCUAUUAUAUCUCCUAAUAAUUUCAACAACUUUGAUCAUAUUGUUGCAAUAGUAAGCUUUGUGAUCAAUCCAAUAAGGAAAAGAUAACUUCUUCUCAAGAUAAAGUUCAUGAAGGAAAGCUCUCGUAUUGUGCAUCACCUAAUUACACACUUAUUAUUUUAAAUAAAAUAUAAAGAUGUUGUACUUCUAAAGGAAGAUGUAAUACCUAUGUGGUUGUUCUCUCAAAACUUCUAAGUCAACUGAGUUGAUGCAAUGGUUUGUUAUAAGUUCAAAUGUCAAAGGAGAAAUUCCGCAGGACUGCCAUACAAAAUUAUAAUCACCAAAUUUUUAGUGAAAAAAAAGAAUCUCAUUGGACCAUGAAACAUCAAGCAUAACUUUUGGAAAAAUUUGUGAUAAAGCCUUAAGUAGAAUCAGAGUUUGUAUUUAUGAUGGAAUCCUAAAGAAUUCUCCGAUGGAAGUAGAUGUCAAAGAAAAUGCAUAUAUCUCAUCUAAAGAAAAGUUAAAAAUCCUCUUAGAAAUAUCCAAGGACACUUCUCAAGAUGUUCAUAAGCUUACCAAAGAAGUCACACUCAUCAAGAAACAUGUGUUGGGUAAGGAAAUGACCAAUUUCGAUAAUAAAACUUAGUAUUCUUGCAUCAUAGAUUUUAUUGUUUUAAGUGUGUUUACUUCCAGUUCUUUCUUAGUUUAUUGUUCUUUUAUUUAUUUUAAAUUAAAUCAAUAAUAAGCAUGUUUUUCUCUUCUUUUCUCUUGAUCUAUGUGCUUAGGUGUAUUUUGGGCCUACUUAUGUUUUUCCCUCCUUUUUGUUUAUGUAAAAUGGAAAGAAGUAUAUUCUCAUGGGUAGUAGGGUAUACUUUCUAUAUUUUUUAAGGGGUGUUUAACCACUCUAAACCUUUACCAUUAUUUCAUUGUGUCCACCUUCACGAGAGAUGCAUUGUCAUCAUAGAAAAUGGGAGUAUAUGGAUCUAUGAGCUUGUAGGUUCAAUUUCUACAGUAGUCAAUUGUCCUAUAUCGUUUUGAUUAUGACAACACUAGGAGGUGAAGUCUUCAUCUAACUUGAUAAUAAAGUUGUUAUGAUUGUGAGAUCAAUAUGCCAAAGCCAAUCUAUUAAUGAUAACACCUAAUGUCAAGCGACAUUCGGUUGAAUCCUUGAUGAUCUUAAGUCAUGAAAUCUCUCUGAUAAUGGUGUCUAUCAAGAAGCCUCCUCAAGCCUCCUCAAGCCUCAUCAUAUAGAAAAAGUCAAUUUCAUAUGAAUUUUUGAAUCGUUUAUGUAUCUAGCAAGGGAUCUCGAAGCUUCAGAGAUUUUAAAAAAGAGAAAGUGGGAAAGUUGGUCUAGUCAGUGUCUGAAUGAGUAAUUAUUAAAUUACAAAGGCAAUACAUACACUCACCUAAAGUAUUUUCAACCUCUCUAUUUGAUAAAAGUAUUUUAAACCCUUAGAGGAACCAUCAAGGUGUUUGUGGAAUUGAUAAAGGAUGUUCUUAAAUAUUUUGGAGGCUUAUAUAUAAUGCCUAAUUUAUUAAGGUCAUUAGCCAAUCGAUUAAAGUAAGGUCUAAAGCUUUUUAAUCGAUUAAGAACACUCAUAAUCGAUUAUGAAACUAGAUGUUGUAUGGUUUCCUUUUUGGGAAUUAGGAUUUCCAUUUUUAUAAGGCACAUAAUCCAUUAUACCUGAUGUGUAAUUGAUUAUGAGUAUUGAAAAACCAUGAGAAGGUUUUCUUUUUGAGCUAGAUGUCUCACCUAUAAAUAAAGGAUUCUCCUCACUUUCAAACUACACCAAAAAAUAUGUUUUUGACAUACUUUCUCACUCUAUACUCCUUUACUUCUUAUUUCUUUUAUUUCACUAAAAUUAUCUUAGUACUUUAAGAGUGAAAAAUAUACGUGAGAAUUUUCUUGUGUAUUAUGGUGCAUGGGUAUUAUUGUAAAUUGUGCAAGAGUUUUUAUCUCUUGUGAAAUAUCAUUCGGGGGAAGUUGCUCUUUACUUCGUGAGACUGUCCAUGAAAACCUCCAUUUGGUUCAUGAGUAUCACCAAAUGUAAAAGUUCUCAUUUUGUUUGUGAAAUUGUGUGUUAAAAAUAUUAUUUGGUUCGUGAGUUGCACCUGGUGUAAAUCUCUAAUUUGUUUAGUGAGAUUGUCCAUUAAAAUCCUCAUUUGGUUUAGAGGAUAGACAAUAUAAAACUUCAAGUUUUUUUAAAGAAAGUUUAUGGGAAUAAAUUUUGAAAAGUUAUUAUCUAUAGUAGAAACUAUCAAGAAUUUUUUGAGAAGAGAAAUAGAUCAAAUGAUUAGGUUAAACCUCUAUAACUCUCCGGUGCAAUCUUCUUGUCCCUUAUCUCUUUUAAUUUAUGCUAAUUGUUUAUUUCCAUUCUGCCUUCAACUUUUUUUUUUCCUCUAGUUUUAUUUUAUUUAGUUCUCUAUGCUACUUACUCGUUGUUCAACUUUAAUUUACCAAAAUAUUUUAAUUGGACAUCAUUUCUUAAAGCAUUGCAAUUCACUUUCUCCUGUAUUUGAAAUUCCAUGUGCAACAACAAUCGCUUUGAUAAUAAUGCAUAUGGUAAUGAUUCCUUUGGUGAAGAAGCCUCUGAAAAAGAAGCAUAUCAAGAAGCCUUUAAAUAACUGGUUGAUUAGAAUGAAUUCUCUCAAGUGUGAUUUAAGUGCAAUCUAUCACCAUUGAAAGACAUUCUCUCUAUAAUAUACAAUUGUUUCUCUCUCUUCUUGAAUGUUGAGAUAUUAGACUUUACUCUCUCAAGCGUAAAUCAUACUAGAGAGAAUUCAUUCCCGACUGAAUAUGAUCCUAGUCAUUAUUAAAAAUAUAAAUCAUCUCACGUGAACAUAAAAUCAUAUGACCUAAAAAAAAUCAUUUCAGUAUCAAAUCAUCUUGUAGAAAUUAAAUGACACUUGUAUUUAAAGAAUGAAUUAUGGUAUUCCACAUAAUUUAUUAAUGUCACAUCAUCAAAGAAUAUUGAUGAUUGUUUAUGUUAAUACUUCAAUAUUUUAAAGCUUAUUACACACAUUUAAUAUUUGUUUAGUUUCUAAUCAUUUUAAGCGCUUUCAUAAACCGUUAUACUUAAUGAAAUAAAUCCUCAUUUUUCUCACACUUUAAACCAUAAACCUCAUAUUUUACUUCCAAUCCCUCACCCUUAUCAUUAGCCUAUUCAACUCCAUCUUAUGAGAUUUACGGCUUAUAUAAUUUCAACAUGUGCUAAAAUCAAACAUAGUCAUUAAGAGAAAAUUUAUUCAAUUCAGGACAUUUAUUUAAAGCUUCCUAACUCUUACCAAUAAUAUAUAUAUUAUACCUAGUAUAUACAAGAUAGUAAGUAUUGUAUAAUAAUAAUACAGCGAAGAAUUUAUAUACGUAAUAUUACAAUAUUUUUGUCCCCAAAUAUUAUUAUCCGGUUAAAGUAAAAAUGUAUACGUUCUACGAUGUGAGAAAUUUGAAAAAUUAAGUGAAUUAUAGAUCUUUGCAAGAAGAGAAACCCUAAAUAGCUUUUAGUUAUGUACCUUAAUGAUGAUCUGAAAAUUUUAAAUGAUAAUAAUUAAAUUUAUAACCUAUAUGAUUAAUGUGAAGAGUAUAAUAAUAUUAUAUACUUUCAAUCGAAAUCCAUAGUACAGAACCACAAAAUUACAUCAUUUGGAUUUAUUCACAUCUUGGAUUCAAUUAGAAGAUUUUUAAUGGCCGCUAUGAUGUUAACCUGUGUCACAGUUUUCAUCAAAGUCAAACCUCAUUGAGUAACAGGGCAUCUUCAAGAAAAUUGUAAAAACCUUCCCGCCAUGGCAAUAUAAGGCUAGCUAAAAUACGUUUUUUUUCCGCCCUUCAACUAGAAAAUGAAAAAUCAUCUCAAAAAAGUUUAGUGAUGAUAUGAAAUUUCAUGUGGGGAAAUUAUUUUUGUAUUUGAUCAUUUAGACUAUAUCUGACAUCAUAUCUUUUGACUCCAUAACUAACACGAUAAUGUGAACUGAUUUGGUAAAUCAUUGUUCAGACGUCAAAGACAUCCUAUGAUACUAUUGGAAAAAUCUCAAAUCCUACCGCAGUUAGAGAUAAAUUAUUGAAAGAGUUUAUAUAAAAUAAUAUUUUUAUAAAUCAAUUUUAUAAGAAUAAAUUAGGUUAAACGAUAAUAUAUAAUAUGUAAUAAGUUAGGUUAAAUUAUAAGCUCUAACGUAAAAUAUAAACUCUUUGGUGUGGCUAGAUUGUUAGAUUGUGUUACCCUAUGUUAAAGCUCUUUACAAAAUAAAGUUAUAAAUAUCCCUUGGUGAAUUAUACGAAGCAAUGUAAAUAUUUUCAUCCUCUAUAUAUAAUAUCAAAAUGUUAUCCUGUAAUAACUAGUAGGCUUAUAUUCUAGAAGCUUGUUAUUUUUUUAAUAUAACUAGUAGGCUUAUAUUCUAUAAGCUUGUUAUUUUUUUUCAUAAGAUUAUUUUGGUAAGCUUAUAUAAAUCAUCUCACAUGAACAUAAAAUCAUAUAACUUAAAAACUUUUUUGCAUAGUCUUUUUAAAAUUUAAAUAUAGAACAACAAAUCAAUUAGAGAAACAAGGACCCCAAAAAUAAGAUUCUCGGGAGUAUUUAACAUGGAUACAUAUAGUUUCACCUAUUGGAAUAAAACUAUAAACUCAGUAUAUAUGAAAAAUUUGUUGAACCAAUAUAAUAAAAAUGCAUUGUUACAUGCAUUUGAAUAUGUAUCAACAAUCUUGACAUUGAAGGUUAAGAAUAUAGAAAUAACAUGAAACCUUAUGGUAGAAAAAACACCUAAAUUUGGGACUUGUGCAUCAUUGGCAUCUAAAGACUUACAUCAAGUGAUCGACAAACCAAGAGAGGAAACAACAUCAAGAAGAACGGGAAAAAAUGUUUGUGCUCAAACUAGGUUUGGGAAAACUAAAUAAGUGUUCUUAUUAAACAUCAAGUCAACCAAGAAAAGCAUAAUUAGUUUCCAUAUAUUCCAUCCAAGGUAAUUAGUUAGGAAUUGGGUGAGGUAAAAUUCUAAAAUUGGCUUCGAAAACCCAAGAAACAUAGCUUUAUGGAUCACAUUAGAGGUGGAAGGAAAAUGUUAAAAUAGAUCUUGGUUUGAAAACAUAACUCCAUAAUGAACCUACGUGGGGCGUUUAAAAGAGGCAUGGACAUAUAAGGAAGAAGAUACACAUUUAAAAAUUUCAAUAUCCCCAUAGCCAGGAAUACAGUUCUAGGAGUUUAAGACGGAUUUUUUUUUAUAUUUAAAAACUAGGGUAUUGUAAAAAGAAAAUAAGAAUUACUCUAGGAGAUGAAAUUUGAAUUUUAUAGAGAAAACAUAAAAAAAAAUUUAAAAAUAUAGUGAUAGGUAUAAAAUUUGACUAAAAAUGAUAUAUAAUAUAUAAUAUAUAUAUAUAUAUUAUAAAUAGAUAUAAUAUAUAUAUAUAUAUAAUAUAUAUAUAUAUAUAUAUAUUAUAUAUAUAAUAUAUAUAUAUAUAAUAUAUAUAUAUAUAUAUAUAUAUAUAUAUAUAUAUUAUAUAUAUAUAUAUAUAUAUAUUAUAUAUAUAUAUAUAUAUAAAUCAUAUAUUAUAUAUAUAAGUAGAGAGGAGAGAGAGAGAGAGAGAGAGAGAGAGAGAGAGAGAGAGAGAGAGAGAGAGAGAGAGAGAGAGAGAGAGAGAGAGAGAGAGAGAGAGAGAGAGAGAGAGAGAGAGAGAGAGAGAGGAGAGAGAGAGAGAGAGAGAGAGAGAGAGAGAGAGAGAGAGAGAGAGAGAGAGAGAGAGAGAGAGAGAGAGAGAAGAAGAGAGAGAGAGAGAGAGAGAGAGAGAGAGAGAGAGAGAGGUGACCAUUAUGUUAAUCAUAAUUUGAAUGCAUUCUAUUGAUGUGCAGAAGUUUCCUUCAAAAUCUUAACUAAUGAAGAGAGAUUGAAAAACACUUUUAAAUAUUUUGAAUUUAUGCGAUUCGAGUUGGAGAGAUUGAAAAACACAAGGGUACAAACAUGAUUUUUUCUUGGAAACUCAUUUGUAACAUGUUGUUACAACUUUUGAAAGUAUAGUGACUUAGAAAGCUUCUCUCUCCCCUAUAGUAGAAUGAUUUGAUCGAGAUGAGUAAACAAACUCUUUGUAUACUCAUGUUUUAUCUUCCUCUUGCUUGAUGUGGAUUUCCUUACACUAUAUGACAUAUUACUUUUUAGUUUGAGGCCAUUUAUUUUUGUUGUCAUUAUUCUUUGUCUCGCAUAUUGUAACAUCCCUGAUUUUGAUGUAAGACAUUAUUUUGACUCAAUAUAAAUGAAGAGAGAGAAAAUAUACACUCUCUCUAAAACUUCAUUAACCUAAGUUAUAUCUUUUUCCCUAAAUCUUUGUAUAAUCAGAAUCAUUCAUCGCUUUUUUUAUCGUUCCGUUCAAUGUUCAUUUGGAUCUAAGAGUAUUGUUGAGUAUGGAGUGGAAAAGAGUUACCAAUAAGGGGUUCAAUGGAGGAAGGAAGCAACCAUUAAGAUGGGAUGUUUUUCUCAUGAAGUAAAAAUUGGAAGGUGGUGACGAGUUAGGCAUUUCUUCAGUGUGUUUUCGGAGUUUCCUGAUCAUUAUGGGGACAAAGACAUUUUUUAGUCCUUCAAGAAAUAUGGGGAUUUAUCGGAGGUCGCCAUUCCUCCCAAGAGGAAGAAUUUUGGUAAAAGAUUUGGCUUUGCAAGUGUUAGCCUUGAAAUUUUAGAGGAAGAAGUCAACUAAGAAUGAUAAUCAUCAUGUUAGAAGAUGCUAAGUAUAAAAGACUCAACGAAGGGAAUUGAUAUACUAUGUGUACUAAGAUGGUUCGACUAACCUAUCAGAUGAUUCGAAACAUAUCGUAUUCUAAUGCCUACAAAGAAUGGUAUCUAGGAGUCUCAAGAAUAGAUCCACAAUAUUAGGAUGACCCUCUCUUCGAAACAUGUCCAAGAUCUCGAAAGGGGUUACAUAAAUCACUUCUUAGAUAAAGGUCAAGUUUGACACAUUCACCAGACGUUAGGGACUUAAUAUAUUCUUAACUAUAAAGAUUAGGUGAUGUGAAGGUGUCUUAACAACACUAUAGGAGUCGACUAAAAACUCUCGACAAAGGUAUUUAAGAGGUUCAAAACAGUUAUUAACGCAGUUAUUAGCAUGAUGAUAAGUUUUCAGCGGUUUUAUCUUUAAAGACGGGUGGAAGCAAGUUAAAACAUUGAAGCCCACAUAGUGGGAUACGUGUUAGAUCAUGAGGAUCUAUUUGUUGUCGAUGGUUACUAUUGUAUUAGUAUAUACAGUUGAUCUCAUUAUGGGGAUCAAGUUCGCAAUUUUCACUCAAGUAUAAACCUAACCAACGGUUUAUGCAUGCUAAAAAUGAAUCAUUUCAAAACUUCAUUCAGAGAGGUGCAAUCAUGAAGGACACUCAAUAAUUAAAAGUAAAUAAAAAUGAAAGUGAUAAGACAAGAAACACAAUAACCAUAUUAGUGUGAUCCCCCUGAAUGUAUUAGUGACAUGUGUUAGAGUUCAACAAUGAACUUCCAUUAAUAAUGCACAAGAAUUUGAGAGAUUAAGAUGAAAGAAUGAAAGAGAGAUAAAAACUCUAUAACUUACGUUCACUAUUCAGAAAUUCUUUUAAAUUCUGUUCCACAUUCAACUUACUUUGGGCUUAUAUAGAUUCACCCAAACUCAAAUGCACAUUAAAUGCAAACUCAAAUUCGAAUGCAAAUGUAAACUUAAAUGCAAAUGAAACUCAAAACUAAACUAACUUGAAUGUUGAAUUACAUUUAACAUAUUAUCUUAAUUCACAUUCAAGUUUAAAAAUAAACCACACCAAUUUCAUCCCUCAAAUUGAUGAAGCCUUCAGUUUUGAUCGCCUUGGUCAACACAUCUACAAGUUGCUUCUGAGUGUUGACAUGAACAACCUCAAGUACUCCAUUUUGAGUCUGAUUGCGCAUUAAAUGGUACUUAGUCUCAAUGUGGUUGCUUCUUCCAUGCAACAUUGGAUUCUUAUCAAGACUUAUGGAAGAUUUGUUGUCAAUCAUCAAUCUGUCUGGUUUGCUCACCUUGAACUUCAGUUCUUGUAGAAAAUUUAUCAACCAAAUAUCUUGACAAGCUGACAAAGAACCCACUAUAUAACCAGCUUCACAAGUUGACAAUGCAACCACUAGUUGUUUCUUGGAACACCAAGAAAUGGUAACUCUUAGAUACAUGAAAAGGUACCCUAUAGUACUUCUUCUAUCCAUUUUCCCACCACACCAUCCAGAGCCUGAAUAGCAUAUCAGCUCAGCAGCAUUUGACACUCCAGAUGGAAACACAAUUCUAUGCCUUAUAGUCCCUUAUACAUACCUCAGAAUCCUGACUGCAACUAGGUAAUGUGACCACUUUGGUUUACUCAUAAACCUACUCACUAUUACAAUUUCAUAACACAUCUCAGUCCUGGUGUUACAUAGAUAUCUCAGACAAACAACCAACUAUUUAAAGGUUGUAGCAUUUACAUCCUCACCAUCAUCAUCAGAGUCCAGGUUAUGAUUUGUGUCAACAGGUGUGACCGUUGACUUACAAUUCAUCAGCUCAAAUCUCUUUAGCAACUUAAUUUCAUACUUCAGUUGGUGCAUAAUAAUUCCCUUCUCAGAAUGAAAAAUCUCCAUCCCUAUAAAAUAUACCAUAUUUCUAAGGUUAUUCAUAUCAAAAGCAUUCAUCAACACCUUCUUAAACUUGUUUAUCUCAUAAGUGCAACUCCAUUUCAGAAGUAUGUCAUCUACGUAAAGACACACUAGAAUCACAUUUCCUUCAGAAUUAUGUUACACAUACACAUCAUAUUCCAUUUCACAUUUCUUGAACCCCAAAUGUUUGAAAAGUGAAUCAAUUUGCAGAUUCUAAGCCCUUGGAGCUUGUUUCGACCUGUAAAAGGCUUUAUACAGCUUGUACACCAUGCAUUCUUUGUUCUUUUUCACAAAUCUAGGAGGUUGUAGCAAAUAAAUUUCUUCUUGCAAGGGACCAUUCAAAAAAGUUUACUUUACAUCUAAAUGUAUCAGAGGCCAAUUCAUAUUUACAGCUAUAUCAAUAACUAACCUUAUGGUUUCAUGUCUAGCUACAAGUGCAAACACUUCAAAGUAACAUAAACUAGAAUUUUGUAGGAAUCCUCUAGCUACUAACCUUGCUUUAUGCUUGGCAACUGAACCAUUUAUCUUCAACUUUAUCUUGAAAACCCAUUUCACAUUAAUGGCUUUCUUGUUCUAAGGUAGAACAGUCAAUUCCCAUGUCUUGUUUCUUUCAAUGGCCUCAAGCUUUUCUUUCAUGGUGUCCACCCACACAUUCUUCUUGAGAGCCUCAUUGAUGCUGACAGGUUCAAAGCCCACCAUUAUGGAACUCUGUAUGACUUCCCCUUCAUAGUCGAUCUUAAUAUUAUGCAGCAACUCAAAGUCUACCAGUCUCCUUGGUAUUUGUCUAACUCUCUAUGGCCUCUAGAAUUAUGCAAGGUCACAUUUAGAAGCAGGACCACCUUCAAAAGUUCCACCUUUAGAGGUUGGACCACCUUCAUAAGCUCCACCUUUAGAAGUUCUUUCUUCAGAGGUUGGGCCACCUUCAGAGUCAGAUUCACCAUCAGAGUCAGACUCACCUUCAGAGCUAGACUCACUUUCAAAGUCAUCAUCAGAUUCAGACUCCCCUUCAGAGUAAGAAUCACCUUCAGAGGCAAAAUCUCCUUCAAAGGAAUAAUAAGACUCUAGUGUUGACACUGCACUAGUGGUGGAUUAAGACUUCCUACAAUCCCAUGUUAUUGAUUCUUUCUCUAUGACAUCUCUGUUGACUUCAACUUUGUUGGUGUCUGGGCAAUGAAACUUAUAAGCACCUGUAUUAUGGUAACCUAUAAGCAACAUGACUUUUCUUCUACCAUCCAAUUUACUUCUAGUAGCAUCUGGUAUAUGUUUGUAACAUACAUAACCAAACACCUUGAAAUGGACGACACUUUGAUUUCUUCCAAUCCACUUCUCAAUAGGAAAUACUUCCUUUAACUUCUUUGUUAGACAUCUGUUAAGCACAUAUACUAAAGUAGAAAUUGCUUCACCCAAUAAAGCAGUCACCUCAUGCUCAAUACCAUUAUGAUAUGAAGUGUAUGAAGCAGUCACCUCCUUUCAGCAAGACCAUUAUGAUAUGAAGUGUAUGAAGCAGUCACCUCAUGCUCAAUACCAUGUUCCUCACAUAAAUUUUUGAAGUCUAUUGAGUUGAACUAACCUCCACCAUUGGUUAUUAGGAUCUUUAACCUUUAUCCACUUUGAUUUUCAACCUUCACCUUAAACUUCUUGAACUCAACAAACACCUCGUGUUUGAACUUAAUGAGUGCUACAUAUGCCAUUCUUGUGAACUCAUCCAUAAAUGACACAAAUUACUUGUUUCCACCAAGUUAACUUACCUCAAAUGGACCACAUACAUCAGAAUGCACCAGACCCAAAGCAUGACUUGCUCUUGGUUGCUUGCCUCUCAUGCAUAUAUGACAUGAUUUCUUGGGUACCACAGUAUUAGGAAUUCCAUGUACCAGAUUCUUUGAACUUAGAUGUCCUGAGCUUCGGUAGUUCAGAUACCCCAAUCUCUUAUGCGAUAUCUCACUUUCCUCUUCAACAUUUCUUACAUUAAGGCAUUGAGUGUCUGUUGUUAUAACAUUCACCUUGAAUGUCCUAUUUCUUCCCUGUUCAUAAAGAAUAAUUAACUUUUGAUUAUAUUCAUACAACUUCAAGAGAUUGUCCUUCAUGCUUACUAAAAAAUCAUUUUUAAUUAGUUGACCUAGACUCAUCAGAUUGUUAUUUAAGCCAGGAACAUACGAUACAUCCUUGAUCAGUACAAUUUUUCCAUUGUUCAACUUAAAUUUGAAAUUUCAUAUUCCUUUAGCAUUCAUAUAAUCAUCAUCAACACAUGUGAUCUUGGUCCUUUUUCCAGAGUCAAAAUCAAUCAGUCAUUGCAUGUUUCUACUUAGGUGAUUUGAGCAGCCAAUGUCCAUAUACCACUGGUCUACCAUUGAUCCACCAACAUUCUCAGAUGCCAUCAAUAGAAUAAGUCCAUCAUCAGAAUCUAAUCUGGCUAUGUUGGCUUCUUCACCCUCGCUAACCUUGUUUGACCAAUAAUCAAUAGCAAAAUGACCAAACUUGUUGCAACUGUAGCACUUAACAUUUCUCUUGUCAAACUUCUGAUUUCCCUUUUGAACAUUAUAAUGUUUCUUAUCAGAAUUGGAGAGUUUUGACUUAUGAGCACCACCACCAUGAUUUUUUGUUAUCUAGCCAUGCUUGCUUCUAGUUCUUCUUACCAGGAUAAGCUUCCAGAGUUUGAGCUUUCACAUCCUGUUCUAUCUCAUUUUUAGACUUUCUUUCAGUCAGACGCAACUUUUGUGCCUUUAAAAUACUCUGAAGCUCUUCAAUUCUCAUGAUUCUAAUGUCUUUGCAGUAAUCCAAUGAAGUAGUAAGUGAUCUCAGUGCCUUUUCAAUGAUUACUUGUUCAGAGAGUGCUUCUCCAUAAUACUUCAUCUCAUUCGUGACCAUAAUCACUUUAGAGAUGUAAUCAGGCACCUUCUCAUUGUUCUUCAAGUUGAAAGUUUUAUAUUGCUUGUGUAGAGACUAUAAAUUGAUCGUCUUCACUGAUGCGUCACCACCAUAGCACAAUACUAGUGAAUCAGAUGUCGCCUUCACCGUCGUCAAAUCGACAAUUUUCUCAAACACAUUUGUAUCCACACACUGAUGAAUAUAUUACAAUGCCUUCUGAUAAUUCUUCCUCGUUUCAAGUUGCACAUUUCUUUGCGCUUUUAUUGCAUUUUCUACAACCGAUGUGUAACCGUCAUUGACGAGAUCGAAAACAUCUUGAGCUCUGAAUAGUACAUGCAUCUCAAUCGACCACUGAUUCAAGUUAUUUCUGUCGAAUAUUGGAAGUGAAAUUCUGGUAUCAGAUAUGAGAUAUCGAAGGUAAUGUCACGACACUAAUAUCUGAAUAACAACUAAAAUAUAAACAGGAUAAAAGACAAAGAAACAAUUGAAAAAGUGACACAAGCAAUUGUUAACCCAGUUCGGUGCAAACUCACCUACGUCUGGGGGCUACCAAGCCAGGAAGGAAAUCCACUAAAUAGAGUUAGUUCAAAGACUCUUAGUAAACAACUUCAAGUUACAGCCUUUUCACCUAAUCUCUACCGUGUGACUUCUGUCUAAGAACUCUUAGAUAUGAGACCCUACUCACUCCCCCUCAAUCACAGCAGUGAUAUAAAAACAAAUAUUACAAAGAAAGAAGACACUCUUCAAGGACACAUACUUGAUCUUGCUUAAAAGUUUCACCAAGUAAACACACAUUCGUGUUUCAAAGCUUAGAAUGGACAAAUUACAACAUAAAAGUCAGUCCAAUUUAAACAUCAAUAAGAUGAAUGAAUGACUCACAAUACACAAGCUCACACAAGACUAAAACCCUAAAACUCUCUCACUCUUUCGUUCGUUUUCUUGUGUAUUUAAACCAGGUUUUACAUGGCCUUUAAAUAGAAGCUUUUGAAUGGGACUGGGCAUCAUAAAACCCUAAAUCUAUUUUCCUUGCGUAUCUUCUUAUUAACGACAACUAAUCAUCCCUUAUUGGAAAAUAGAUAAUUCUGGUUUUAAAUCUAAUUACUCCUUGAAUAGCGCAUUCAAUAUCCACAUAAUCACACACAGAUUUGCAUGAAAAGUGCAACAUUAAGAUACAUAUUCAGACUGAAUGUUCUGUAUACACAUGUCUAAACAUCGGGACUGACAUCUUAGCUAAAUCCUGCACAACCAUAUUUAAACAUCCUGCAGGAAUCUGAUAUCACAUGUCAAGACAACACGCGUGACACCUUGUGAUAACUCUAGUUUUACCAAAAUUGAUGCCAACACACAGAACCAACAAACUCCCCCUUUGGCAAAUUUUGGCUAAAACAUACAUCCGAUCAUACGUUUCAUAAGAUAACAAUCACAAUAUCAGUUCAGCAGCAUAAGUAAACAUACACACAUUACUAGUAAGAAAAGCAGCUAGUAAACACACAUGCGCUUGUGCUCACACAGACAGAACACUUCUCCCUCUUCUCCCUCUUUGUAUCAAACAUCCAACAUCAUCUAUAGAUAUAUCUACUUCUCCCUCUUUUUAGCCAAAAGAGACCAAAGAGACAAAAUAAAUGUCUAUUCAGUCAAAAACCAGAAUGUCAAAAGUUAAGGGUUACAGAACCAAGUACAUAAACAACUUUAAGCAAGCUGAGAUACAAACCAACAAAGUAAACAUCAAAACAGCAGAACAUAACUUCCAAAAUCAAGAAAAUUCAUUAAAACAACAACAAAAAUCAUAACAUCAAUGAGGGCCAAAUUCAAAGGAGUUAAUCAGAGGAGCUUGAGCUUGCAGCUUCAUCAACAUCAGAAACAGAAUUGCCACUUGUCUCAUCAUUAGUUGCAGACCUCUCACUAGAGGUGUGGGAUUUAGCUUCCUUAUCAAGUUCAAUAUUCUCACCUUCAGCUCGCUCUAAGCUUGCAAUCAGGGCUUCCAACGAUUCUUUCCUAGCUGUUGCUACCCUUAUCCCCUCACCCAGCUCUUUACACAUCUCCUUCAGCUCAGCAAUAGUUCCAACUUUUGAGGCUGGCUUUUUCAUAGCAGAUGUCAUGACAAUGUCUUCGACAUGACUGCCUGCAAACAGUUUAUAGUGCACUGACAGAGCAGAUUUUCUUCUACUUGGUAAGUCAUUAGAACUCAGAAUCCCAGGGUGUUGACUCAGGAUAAUCCCACAAAUCAUAGAGGGAAAGGCUAUAGGAAGCUUCACUGCAUUAGUAGAUGCAUGCUUGACAAUUUGUUCAAACAUAAAUAUACCAUAGUCAAAUUUUAGUUUGGUUCCAACAACAAAGAUAAAUCUUCCAAUGGUAUUAGAAAUUGUGGAAAUGUGGUUGAUAGGCACCCAAUUUGCAGAUCCUAUUUUAUGCAAUAUAGCAUACUUGACAGUCAGCUUACCAGCAGGAAUAUGCUUUUUAAUAGGCCACCCUUUCACCUGCCUUGUUGUAAUUUCUCUACAGACCUCAUUAUCUGUAGCUUCCAAUUCACUUGCACCCUCAACUCUUCUUCCCAGAAAAUUGUUAAUGAUAGUGGGAGAGAAUGUGAUACACUUACCUCUCACAAAUACUUUGCAAAAUUCCUUGUUGUUCUUAUCAACAAUAUCCUCAGGAAUGUUGACAAUGAAUUCCUUAACCAAACCCUCAUAACACUGAGAUAACCCAGCCACAUUCUUCAUCAACCUGACAGUCUUUAUUAGGUCCAUGACCUCUUUGACUUCAACAACAUCCUUUCCUAACUCUCUCUCUACAACCACCCUUCUUUGAAUCAAAAAUUUCCAUUUGACAGCUCCAUCUUCAAGAUGGAAAGAGAUAUUAUCCAAAUGCACAACAACAACUUUCACAGGGGACUUCCUCACAGUGGUCCUCUUCACAGGGGAGAUGUCAGGGACAUCUUCCUUAACAUCUUCUUCAGACUCAGAAACUUCUCUAACCUUCCUCUUCUUCACAUCAACCUUGCUUCAAGAUUUGGAAGGACCAACACCAACAGUCUUCUUAGCUGUUUUAGCUGACAUCAUUUCAGCCAUAUAUCUUCCUUUUCUAGUCUUCAUACGCUUAGCCACACUAGGCUUUAAGUGAUGAAGUAAGCUCUCCUCUUGAUCAUCAGACCUAUCAUCCUCUAGGUCAAUCACAUUGUUUGCAGCAUCAUGCUUCUUAGAACGGGAAGCAUUGGCAGUUGUAGAUGCCAUAGAUUUUCCUUUACUAGACACAGUUUGCCCUAGAGAGCACAAACCUUCAGCAGCCACGUCCUUCUCAGAUCUAGAGGAAUCGUCAUCCUUCUCACUAUGAUGUUCAACCUCGGGAGAGGGGUACAUUUUAGACAGGGGAGUAGAGAUUCCCUUCACAGAAUGUCCUUCAUUAAGGAUUCUAGUGACUAGGUUUCUUAUGACACGAUCAGUGUGGUGUAUAUCUUCCUUAGAACUAGUGGCAUGAGUUGAGCUAGAAGGGAUACUAGAGUUGUUACCUUGAUUGGGGCAUGCAGAAGCUGAUGCAUCCAUGGGAUGGGUUAAAUUAAGGGGCUUCGCCGGGAAUAACAGACAGAGGAACCACAUCCAAAAUCUCAUCCUCGUGAAUGUCCAUGGAAGGAGUGCUAACCAUGUGUUGUGACAUCUUGACGUUUCUGUGGAAAAAUUGCAGUUGCCCUAACAGAGGAUGUGAGGAAGAAGCAAGGAGUUGGAAGAGUUGGGUAGGUAGUGAGGUUGCGUGUGAAAGGUAAAGAUGGUAUUUCCAAGACUAGGUGAUGAUUUACCAUAAAAGGGGCGCUUUAUUUUAAGAAAGUAGACAAUAAUUUGAUUACUUUGUCCACUCCAUAUUAAUUGCUACAAAUUUUCAUAAAUGCAAAUCCCUAAUUUCCAUCUCAGGAAUUCAAAUUGAUUUGCAUCCAAGGCCUUUCUAAAAAUAUCAGCUAACUGCAUCUCAGUAGCAAUAUGCUUUAGGGCUACAAUUUUAUCCUCCAUGAGUUCUCUAAUAAAAUGGUGACGGAUAUCGAUAUAUUUUGUCCUGCUGUGCUGAAUAGGAUUCUUAGAAAUGUUUAUAGCACUCAGGUUGUCACAGUACAAUGUCAUGACAUCUUGCGAGACAUUGUAUUCAGUCAGCAUUUCUUUCAUCCACACCAGUUGAGAGCAACUACUUCCAGCUGCUAUGUAUUCAGCUUCAGUAGUGGACAAAGACACACAAUUUUGUUUCUUACUAAACCAUGAUAUUAAGUUGUUCCCCAAGAAGAAGCAUCAUCCUUAUGUGCUUUUCCUAUCAUCAGCACUUCCAGCCCAAUCAGCAGCACAAUAUCCAGACAACACAGAUUCAGAUCCAUGAGUGUAUAGCAUCCCAUAGUCACUAGUGCCAUUGAUAUAUUUCAGGAUCCUUUUCACUUGGUUUAUGUGACUCACCUUUGGUUUUGCUUGAUAUCUAGCACAUACACCUACAACAAAAGUAAUGUCAGGUCUGCUUGCUGUGAGAUAUAGCAGACUCCCUAUCAUGCUUCUGUAGAGACUUUGAUCCACACAGACACCAUUUUCAUCUUUAGACACUUUCAGAUGAGUAGGAGCAGGUGUCCUUUUGUGGCUUGCAUUCUCCAUGCCAAACUUCUUAACAAUAUUUUUGGCAUAUUUACUUUGAGAUAGAAAGAUAGAAUCUUCCACCUGCUUGACUUGUAGCCCAAGAAAAUAGGUUAGUUCUCCAACAAGGCUCAUUUCAAAUUCAGACUGCAUUUGUUCAACAAAAUGUUGAACCAUCUUACUUGACAUCCCACCAAACACAAUAUCAUCCACAUAUAUCUGAGCCAUCAUGAGCUUUCCUCCUUCAUGUUUGACAAAUAAAGUAUUCUCAAUGCCUCCCUUUCUGUAUCCAUUGUCAAUGAGAAACACUGUGAGUCUCUCAUACCAAGCUCUAGGAGCUUGUUUCAGCCCAUAGAGGCCUUUCCUCAACUUAUACACAUGCUUUGGAAGAUUUGGGUUUGUGAACCCUUUAGGUUGUUCAACAUAAACUUCCUCAUUUAAGUAGCCAUUUAAGAAGGCACUUUUCACAUCCAUUUGCAACAGUUUAAACUUCAGAAUACACGCCACUCCUACCAGUAAUCUAAUGGACUCCAGGAAAGCCACAGGAGAAAAUGUUUCAUCAAAGUCAACUCCUUCAACUUGAGUGUAUCCUUGUGCUACUAAUCUUGCUUUAUUUUUAGUAACCACGCCUUUUUCAUCAGAUUUAUUCUUGUAAACCCACUUUGUUCCAAUAACAUUUAUUCCUUCAGGUCUUGGAACCAAUUCCCACACUUCAUUUCUCUUGAAUUGGCCUAACUCUUCCUGUAUGGCAUUGAUCCAUAAUUCAUCAGUUAAGGCUUCUUUAACAUUCUUAGGCUCAAUCUUGGACACAAAACAGGCAUGUGAGAUCACUUCCCUUGAUCUAGUGGUGACCCCUGUAUUUGGGUCUCCUAUAAUGAGAUCUUUAGGAUGAUCCUUCUGAAUUCUGAUAGAGGGUCCCUUAUUAAUUUUAUCAGCUUCAGGUUCAGCUUGAGUGGACUCGCUCUCAUUACUUUUGUCCAGGAGAUCAGCUAGGGCAUCAUUCAGAAAUGUUUCAACAUCGUCUGUGACAUUAGUCUCUUGAUCAUCAACAACAACAUUGAUAGAUUCCAUCAUAACUUUUGUUCUGGAAUUAAAAACUCUAAACGCUCUGUUGUUUGUUGAGUAGCCCAGAAAUAUUCCUUCAUCACUCUUGGGGUCCACUUUCCUUCUUUGUUCACGAUCAUCCAGGAUAUAACAUUUACUACCAAACACAUGGAAGUAUUUGACAGUAGGUCUUCUUCCCUUCCAGACUUCAUAUAAAGUGGUUGGGGUCCCUUUCUUCAAGGUUUAGUAUUUGACAGUAGGUCUUCUUCCCUUCCAGACUUCAUAUAAAGUGGUUGGGGUCCCUUUCUUCAAGGUUACUCUGUUGUGAACAUAGCAGGCCGUGUUCAUAGCUUCAGCCCAGAAGUGGUAAGGAAACUUCUUAGCAUGAAUCAUAGCUCUAGCAGAUUCUUGGAGAGUUCUAUUUUUCCUUUCUACCACACCGUUUUGCUGAGGGGUAAUGGGAGAGGAUAACUCAUGACCAAUUCCUUCAGAUGAACAGAAUUCAUCAAAUUUACUGUUCUCAAAUUCUUUUCCAUGAUCACUUCUGAUUCUGAUAACAUGACUCUCUCUUUCUCUUUGAAGUCUUUGGCAAAGAUCUUUGAACACAUCAAACACAUCAGAUUUUCCCUUAUAAAAUUUACCCAGGUACAUCUGGAGAAGUCGUCCACCACAACAUAAGCAUACCUUUUCUCACCAAGACUUUCCACCUGCAUAGGUCCCAUCAAGUCCAUGUGGAUAAGUUCCAGCACUCUAGAUGUGGUGUCAUGUUUGAUCUUCUGAUGUGACAUCUUUGUUUGCUUUCCAAUCUGACAAUCACCAUAAACUCUUCCUUCAUCAAUCUUUAAUCUUGGGAUUCCUCUAACAGCUUCAACAAAUAUAAUCCUUUUCAUUCCUUUAAGAUGUAGAUGACCCAGUUUUUGAUGCCAUAGUUUCACUUCUUCUUCUUUAGCUAGAGUACACAUUCAUGAAUAACUAGUUUCUUAAGAAUUCCAUAUAUAGCAGUUGUCCUUAGACCUGGAUCCUUUCAUGAUCACCUCAUUUUUUUCAUUAGUAAUCAAGCAUUCAGUUUUUGUGAAGUUCACAUUUAGAUCUUGGUCGCAUAGUUGACUGAUACUGAUCAGGUUUGCAGUCAAUCCUUUAACAAGCAGCAUAUUAUCAAUGUUAGGGACUCCAGGACAAUUCAACUUUCCAAUCCCCUUGAUUUCACCCUUUGCUCCAUCAGCAAAAGUUACAUAGCUGGUGGUAUGAGGUUGGAGGUCAAUUAGCAGGUUUUUGCUUCCAUUCAUGUGUCUAGAGCAUCCACUGUCAAAAUACCAGUCUUCUUUGGCUUAAACUCUGAAGGAAGUGUGAGCUAUCAAGUUAGUAGCACCAGCCCUAGGAACCCACUGUUUUCUGUUAACAGGGAUAUGUUGUUUGGGUCUAGGUUGAUGAUGAGUAGGACUAGGAUAACCAUACAACUUAAAGCAUAAUGGUUUUAUGUGGCCAAAUUUCCCACAGUAAUGACAUCUCCAUCUUUGGUGUUUUCCUUUAUGUUGUCUUUCCUUGUGAUGUUGAGACACCUGAUGUCUGUAGAAACCAAACGAUGGUCACCCACUACACUCAGGAGAGGAUUCAUUGAACCCAAGGCCAGUCAUGUCUCCUGCCAUCUUUCCAGUCUGGAGGAUUUUGUCUAAGGUGUCAGAUCCACUGUUUAACAUUCUGACAUACUUCGUCAUCUCAUCCAGUUUGGAGUUUAGGAACACAUCUUUGAUCUUUAACUUAGAAAUGGUUUCUAAGUGUUCUAUCUUCUCAUCCUCUAGUUGGGUUAUCAGUUUCUUCUGAUUCUCCACUUGUUGACACACUUCUUCACUUCUAUAACACAACUUCCUAUAGGUAGUAGCUAAUUCAUCAAAGGUUACUUCAUCAUCACUUGAGUCUUCAUCAGAAUCCCAUCUUCCAGUCAAGGCAGUCACAAGAUUGGUAGACUCUCCUUCUGUUUCACUUUCGUCAGACCAAGUAGCAACAAGACUCUUCUUCUGUUUCUUGAGAUAGGUCCCACAUUCAGCUCUAAUGUGUCUAUACCCUUCACAUUCAUGGCACUGAAUUUCUUUGCCCUGUUUGGAUUUUUCCUCACAUUCAUAGCAUUCAAUGCUUUAGAGUUUGCAAGAGCUAGUUCAUCCUCCUCCUUGGUCCAUUCUUCCUCAGCCUUCUUAUCAGUUGUAACUUCUCCUUCCUUAGUAAUGAAGGGAUGUUCCCAGCCUGUUAGAAUAACCUUCCAAGCCUUAUUAUCCAAAGAUUUCAAGAAGGCUACCAUUCGAGGUUUCUAGUAGUCAUAGUUAGAUCCAUCCAGAAUUGGUGGUCUGUGUACAGAUCCUCCGUCUCUAUCCAUAGUACCAGAAAGUAACGCCCCAAGAUCUCACCCAGAACCAGAGCAGGAUGCCUGCUCUGAUACCAAUUGAAAUUCUGGUAUUAGAUAUGAGAUGUCGAAAGUAAUGUCACGACACUAAUAUCUGAACAACAACUAAAAUAUAAACAUGAUAAAAGACAAAGAAACAAUUGAACAAGUGACACAAGCAAUUGUUAACCCAGUUCGGUGCAAACUCACCUACGUCUGGGGGCUACCAAGCCAGGAAGCUUUAGGUGAUUUGUCUUAAUCAAGUUUCUGAGAGUCUAAACAACUUCAAGUUACAGUCUUUUCACCUAAUCUCUACCCAUGUGACUUCUAUCUAAGAACUCUUAGAUAUGAGACCCUACUCACUCCUCCUCAAUCACAGCAGUGAUAUAAACACAAAUAUUGCAAAGAAAGAAGACACUCUUCAAGGACACAUACUUAAUCUUGCUUAAAAGCUUCAACCAAGUAAACACACAAUCGUGCUUCAAAGCUUAGAGUGGACAAAUUACAACACAAAAGUCAGUCCAAUUCAAACACCAAUAAGAUGAAUGAAUGGCUCACAACACACAAGCUCACACAAGAUUAAAACCCUAAAACUCUCUCACUCUUUCGUUCGUUUUCUUGUGUAUUUAAACCAGGUUUUACAUGGCCUUUAAUAGAAGCUUUUGAAUGGGACUGGGCAUCAUAAAAUCCUGUAUACACAUGUCUUAACAUCGGGUCUGACAUCUUAGCUAAAUCCUGCACAACCAUAUUUAAACAUCCUGCAGGAAGCUGAUAUCACAUGUCAAGACAACACGCGUGACACCUUGUGAUAACUCUAAGUUUUACCAAAAUUGAUGCCAACACAUAGAACCAACAUGAAGCUUUUUGUUUAAGCUACCGUUUUCGUUGUUCAUCUUCGUUCUUAUGGAAAUCACUCAGUUCUUACCAACAUGUUGAAGAUUCAUAAGUUCAUUCUAUAUCUGUUUUUGAAUCAUAUAAGAGUUACUUAAGAUUGGUAAAUUGAUUUUAUAUCUAUUUUUGAAUCAUAUAGGAGUUACUUGCAUAUGUAGUUGUAAUGAAAAUUUUAAUUUGAUCAACUUUUAUAAAACAAAAAGACAUGUAAAUAAACUCAACAAAGUAUAAACCAUAUCAAUUGCGAAAUAAAAAAAAGAUAUUUAAAAUUGCAAUCAAAGUCGAUACUAAUGUGAUUCUAUUGGUAAAAAAAAUGAAUUUCCGCCCACAAUUUUCGUUUGCCUCCUAUUUUUAUUUUUCUGUCGUAUUUAUUUAUUAGUGGCAGCGUCGGUGCUGACCAACGCUAAAGCAUAACCCAAUAUUUUUUAAUUAAUUAAUUUAUUUAUUGCAUUAAUUGCGAUAGACACAGUCGACGCUAAACUAAUUUUUAUUGGUGGAAAAAAGUCAUUUCCUCCCACUUUUUAUUUUGCCACCCUUACAUUUAUUAUUUUAAAUUAAUAAAAUAAAAUAAAAUGAAAACAAAAGUAAUUAAAUAAAACUCCUUUUUUUAGAAUAAAACAAAAAUAUAAAUUAGUAAAAUAAAACUAAAUAAAUCUAAAACUUAAGUUAAAUUCAUAAAAAAAAAUUGUUAAAUAAAACCAAACCUAUAGAUUAAUAAAAUAAAACCAAAAUAAAAAACUAUAAAUUAAAACCAAAAUUAUAAAUCAAUAAAAUAAAACUAAAAAUAUAAAUUAAAAAAGAAAAAAAAGAAAGGGAGAAGCUCUUCUACAUUACACGUAUAAUUUUCCUAAAUUGUUUUAAAGCUCUUACCUAACAAAAUCCUUUGAAUUCUUUCAUCUCUCUCCCUCUCUCUCUCUCUCUCUCUCUCUCUCUCUCUCUCUCUCUCUCUCUCGUUCACUAUUGCUCUCAAUCUCCCAUAAGGAAAAAUAAAGAUACAAACAUUCCCUACUAUAAUGUUUCACAAUCUUUUGUAACCGAAGGUUCAUUCAUCAUAUCUAAUUUCACAAUCACUCAAAUCUAAAUGAGUUUCUAGAAAAAUUGAAGAUUAUUAGCUUUAAAAAUCGGUUUUGGAGAUUUAAAAAUCGGUUAGUUUAAUUUCCUUUUUCUCCUAUAAUCACCCACAUUCUUACUAAAAUCAAGCUUGAUGAGUUAGGCAUUUCUUUAGUGUAUUUUUGGAGUUUCAUGAUCAUUAUGGGGCUAAAGAAAAUUUUGAGUCCUUCAAGAAACAUGGGGAUUAUCAGAGAUCAUCAUUCCUCCUAAGAGGAACAAUUUUGGCAAAAGAUUUGGCUUUGCAAGUGUUAGCUUGGAAAUUAUAGAGAAAGAAGUCACCAAAGAAUGAUAAUCAUCAUGUUAGAAAAUGCUAAGUAUAAAAGACUCAAUGAAGGGCAUUGACAUAUUAUGUCUACUAAGAUGGUUCGACUAACCUAUCAGAUGAUUUGAAACAUAUGGUAUUCUAAUGCCGACAAAGAAUUUGUAAGACCCCAAUUUUGGCCCUAAGAUCCCUCAUGCAAUUCCAUCAUAAGCAUAAGCAUUGUGAUCAUACCUUGACAUCCUCCUUACCCCUCUUUCAUUGGGUUUGUUUUAGGAGGGAUCACCAAGAACUUUGUGAUUAUAUCACACUUGUAUUUUAUCAUUUCACUAGCCAAAAUACCAAAAAUAUGUCUUUGCAUUUGCCUAACUCUUUUGUAGAUAGGGCAUGAUCUCAUUGAUUCAUCAAGUACACAUCUAGGAUUUGAGACCCUCAUGAACAAAGAGAACAACCAAGAAUUGAUCCAAGAAUGGUUAUGAACAUCAUAUAUGAGUCCUAAUGUUCUUUACAUGUUAUAUUGAUCAAGUUUGCUUCAAGAGUUUGAGGGUGAUUUGCCUUGGAAACCCUAGUUUGACUGGGUAUCUUGAGUAACUUCUCCAAUAAGUGUAGCACCUCAAAUUUGCACCUCCCAUUUUGUACAUACAUUUUCAUUUUAGGUCAUUAACAUUACAUUGUCCACUGCAUAGCAUUUCAUUAUCCAUCUGCCUAGUGCAAGUCAUCAGACAAGAUUUCACCUCCCAUUUUGUACAUACAUUUUCAUUUUAGGUCAUUAACAUUACAUUGUCCACUGCAUAGCAUUUCAUUAUCCAUCUGCCUAGUGCAAGUCAUCAGACAAGAUUAGGUCAACUGGUCAGGAGAUCCAGUUAAUCAAGCAAGCAAGUGCCAUUCCUAUUGAAGCAAAGCCCUAGAGUUGGUUCAUCAAGUUCAUAUGACCUAGGGAUCAUUUUGAAGUGGUUUGGCCAAGGAUUAGAUGUUCAGAAGUCAUCAGUCAUUGCACAAUGCACCUGAAACCCUAGAAAGUCAACUGUGCCAGAAAUCAUGAAUUUGAAGGUAGGAGAUGGUUAGAGAGGCCUCAUUCAUGUCCAUACAGGUCUAUUUGACAUGUCAAAGAUCAACAUUGAAGAAUUUGAGGUCAGAUGAAAAGUUUCCAAAAAUAGUAAGUGACCUGUAAUUGGAAAUUGCCAAAAAUAGAAAGGUUUUCUCCUCAAGUUUACAUCAUCAAGAAAGCUUCAAAUGGAAUUUUGUCCAACAUGAAAGUUGAAUAUCUUGCUCUCACCUUUCCAAAAAGUCCAAGAACAUGAAUUUCUCAUGUAUGGUUGAGAAAUUAUGGAUUAAUCAUUGUCAGGAUAUUUUGAACUUCAAAGUUGGAUAACUUUCACACUAUUUGGCCAAAUUGAGUGGGGUUUUUUGCUACAUCCUCCUUUUGACAUGAGCUAUCCAAAUCAUCCAUUACAUUUCAUCAAAACUCAUCACACAAUUAUUUGAUUUUUCACUUGAUUUUUUAUUUAUUGGAAUUUUCAAAUCUUAAAAUAAUGCAUUGUUUACACUUGGCAACAUUUCCAUUGGAUUACAAACAGAGUUUUGAGUGUAUUUAGGCCCAAUUUCGUGUACUGUAGCAUGCAUUCCAUGCACAUGAGGUGAAUUAGCAAUUUGCACAUAAACACUUGCAUUCAUUAAUCUUUUUGGUUUGGCUUAAUCUUGUUUAGCAAAGUUCAUUAACAGAUGAUAUAUAUGCAUAAUCAAAACAGAAAACACAUUAACAUUGGAUUUCUACUCAGAUCUAGAUCGAAUUCCCUUCUUGCUCUCAAACUUUUUCUUCACUUUUCUGCAAAUUCCUUCACAAACCUUGCUUGAUUUUUGUUGGUUCCAUCAUCCACAAGCAUUAUUGAAGGUUUUGGAAGCAAGCAUUCAAGGUUUUCAUGCCUCUUUUGGAACUGUUACAUCAAGCUCCAUCAAUGGCAGUUGCAUUUUUGAGCUACAUCAAGCCAGGUUGAGCUAUUCUGCAGCAUCCAUUCAUCUAUCCAAGGGUUGUAGGAGUUCUGUUUCAACAUUGCAAGGCCAAACAACCACGAUUUCAGAUCUGCAUCUUCAUAGAGGUUGGAAUUCGAUAUUCUUGAUUCAUGAAAUUGUGCUAUGUAUUUGAUAGAUCGUGCCAUGCUGAGUGUACUGAACUUUGUAGAAUUAAAUUUCAUCAAGAAUUGAGGAAGUUAUCAUGAUUUGAAGUUUGGUUGUUGAAUGUUAUUCUGUUCGAUUCUUCCAUGUUANNNNNNNNNNNNNNNNNNNNNNNNNNNNNNNNNNNNNNNNNNNNNNNNNNNNNNNNNNNNNNNNNNNNNNNNNNNNNNNNNNNNNNNNNNNNNNNNNNNNNNNNNNNNNNNNNNNNNNNNNNNNNNNNNNNNNNNNNNNNNNNNNNNNNNNNNNNNNNNNNNNNNNNNNNNNNNNNNNNNNNNNNNNNNNNNNNNNNNNNNNNNNNNNNNNNNNNNNNNNNNNNNNNNNNNNNNNNNNNNNNNNNNNNNNNNNNNNNNNNNNNNNNNNNNNNNNNNNNNNNNNNNNNNNNNNNNNNNNNNNNNNNNNNNNNNNNNNNNNNNNNNNNNNNNNNNNNNNNNNNNNNNNNNNNNNNNNNNNNNNNNNNNNNNNNNNNNNNNNNNNNNNNNNNNNNNNNNNNNNNNNNNNNNNNNNNNNNNNNNNNNNNNNNNNNNNNNNNNNNNNNNNNNNNNNNNNNNNNNNNNNNNNNNNNNNNNNNNNNNNNNNNNNNNNNNNNNNNNNNNNNNNNNNNNNNNNNNNNNNNNNNNNNNNNNNNNNNNNNNNNNNNNNNNNNNNNNNNNNNNNNNNNNNNNNNNNNNNNNNNNNNNNNNNNNNNNNNNNNNNNNNNNNNNNNNNNNNNNNNNNNNNNNNNNNNNNNNNNNNNNNNNNNNNNNNNNNNNNNNNNNNNNNNNNNNNNNNNNNNNNNNNNNNNNNNNNNNNNNNNNNNNNNNNNNNNNNNNNNNNNNNNNNNNNNNNNNNNNNNNNNNNNNNNNNNNNNNNNNNNNNNNNNNNNNNNNNNNNNNNNNNNNNNNNNNNNNNNNNNNNNNNNNNNNNNNNNNNNNNNNNNNNNNNNNNNNNNNNNNNNNNNNNNNNNNNNNNNNNNNNNNNNNNNNNNNNNNNNNNNNNNNNNNNNNNNNNNNNNNNNNNNNNNNNNNNNNNNNNNNNNNNNNNNNNNNNNNNNNNNNNNNNNNNNNNNNNNNNNNNNNNNNNNNNNNNNNNNNNNNNNNNNNNNNNNNNNNNNNNNNNNNNNNNNNNNNNNNNNNNNNNNNNNNNNNNNNNNNNNNNNNNNNNNNNNNNNNNNNNNNNNNNNNNNNNNNNNNNNNNNNNNNNNNNNNNNNNNNNNNNNNNNNNNNNNNNNNNNNNNNNNNNNNNNNNNNNNNNNNNNNNNNNNNNNNNNNNNNNNNNNNNNNNNNNNNNNNNNNNNNNNNNNNNNNNNNNNNNNNNNNNNNNNNNNNNNNNNNNNNNNNNNNNNNNNNNNNNNNNNNNNNNNNNNNNNNNNNNNNNNNNNNNNNNNNNNNNNNNNNNNNNNNNNNNNNNNNNNNNNNNNNNNNNNNNNNNNNNNNNNNNNNNNNNNNNNNNNNNNNNNNNNNNNNNNNNNNNNNNNNNNNNNNNNNNNNNNNNNNNNNNNNNNNNNNNNNNNNNNNNNNNNNNNNNNNNNNNNNNNNNNNNNNNNNNNNNNNNNNNNNNNNNNNNNNNNNNNNNNNNNNNNNNNNNNNNNNNNNNNNNNNNNNNNNNNNNNNNNNNNNNNNNNNNNNNNNNNNNNNNNNNNNNNNNNNNNNNNNNNNNNNNNNNNNNNNNNNNNNNNNNNNNNNNNNNNNNNNNNNNNNNNNNNNNNNNNNNNNNNNNNNNNNNNNNNNNNNNNNNNNNNNNNNNNNNNNNNNNNNNNNNNNNNNNNNNNNNNNNNNNNNNNNNNNNNNNNNNNNNNNNNNNNNNNNNNNNNNNNNNNNNNNNNNNNNNNNNNNNNNNNNNNNNNNNNNNNNNNNNNNNNNNNNNNNNNNNNNNNNNNNNNNNNNNNNNNNNNNNNNNNNNNNNNNNNNNNNNNNNNNNNNNNNNNNNNNNNNNNNNNNNNNNNNNNNNNNNNNNNNNNNNNNNNNNNNNNNNNNNNNNNNNNNNNNNNNNNNNNNNNNNNNNNNNNNNNNNNNNNNNNNNNNNNNNNNNNNNNNNNNNNNNNNNNNNNNNNNNNNNNNNNNNNNNNNNNNNNNNNNNNNNNNNNNNNNNNNNNNNNNNNNNNNNNNNNNNNNNNNNNNNNNNNNNNNNNNNNNNNNNNNNNNNNNNNNNNNNNNNNNNNNNNNNNNNNNNNNNNNNNNNNNNNNNNNNNNNNNNNNNNNNNNNNNNNNNNNNNNNNNNNNNNNNNNNNNNNNNNNNNNNNNNNNNNNNNNNNNNNNNNNNNNNNNNNNNNNNNNNNNNNNNNNNNNNNNNNNNNNNNNNNNNNNNNNNNNNNNNNNNNNNNNNNNNNNNNNNNNNNNNNNNNNNNNNNNNNNNNNNNNNNNNNNNNNNNNNNNNNNNNNNNNNNNNNNNNNNNNNNNNNNNNNNNNNNNNNNNNNNNNNNNNNNNNNNNNNNNNNNNNNNNNNNNNNNNNNNNNNNNNNNNNNNNNNNNNNNNNNNNNNNNNNNNNNNNNNNNNNNNNNNNNNNNNNNNNNNNNNNNNNNNNNNNNNNNNNNNNNNNNNNNNNNNNNNNNNNNNNNNNNNNNNNNNNNNNNNNNNNNNNNNNNNNNNNNNNNNNNNNNNNNNNNNNNNNNNNNNNNNNNNNNNNNNNNNNNNNNNNNNNNNNNNNNNNNNNNNNNNNNNNNNNNNNNNNNNNNNNNNNNNNNNNNNNNNNNNNNNNNNNNNNNNNNNNNNNNNNNNNNNNNNNNNNNNNNNNNNNNNNNNNNNNNNNNNNNNNNNNGUUGUGUCUCCCUCUGUUAUCUGGUUAGGCUAGUCCUUUUUCCCUGCGUAGGGGAACUACGUCGCCCUGAUCCUCAUACCAGAUGAGGUACGUAGGCAGGAGAUGAGCUGAUCUCUCCGGGCGCCCUUUUUGUUUUGUUUGUGUGAGUUGUUUCUCCCUUUCUGGUUGGAGUCCGAUGUAAGUCCAGCGAUUGGCAUUCGGUUUCCAGUUUCUUUGUUGGAGUCUGACGUAAGCCCAGCGAUUGGCAGACGGUUUCCUGUGUUUGUGUGUUUGUGUGGAGUUUGACGUAAGUCCAGCGAUUGGUAGUCGAUUUCCCGUGUUUGUUUGUUUGGCGUGCGUUAGCCGAGCUACGAGUGCUCUGAUUCUUCUUUAGUCCGAGAAGAUACGUAUGCAUAGGAUGCGACAUCCUAGCGAGCACGCUUUCCCCCGUCCGAACUACGUCGACUCUGAUGUCUGUGCCUGACAGACUACGUAGGCCCAGGAUGCGAUAUCCUGCCGAGUCAUGUUUCUCUUGUUUUCUUGUGUCUCUUUCAGCCAGUGUUUGAUGUUUGUUUGAGCAGCGUUUAGCAACCAUAUUCCUUCCUUUUGUGCGUGGAUCCCGUCGAGUACGACGGAUGCGUAGGGGUACUAAUACCUUCCCUUCGCAUAAACGACUCCCGAUCCCAUUCUCUUUGGUCGCGAGACCACGCUUUUUCCAGGUUUACUUCGAGCGUUUCCUUUCCCUCUUUUGGGAUAAAUAACGCACGGUGGCGGCUCUGUUGUCUUCGUUUCCCGCCGGUUUUUCGCGUAAUGCGACAAUAAGCUAUCUCACCAAUUGAUCAAAUUUCUAAAGGGGAACUUCAAAUUUCAUCAUCUUAUGCAUAUAUGGUCUACCAUGAGCCAAGAAAGUCAAGAGAAUUGGAAGUUAGCAAGUUGGUUGAUGGUGGUUGGCCAGAUGAAUUCAUCUGAUCAAAACUGGGUCUCCCUAGACCCUAUCUCCUACAAUUUUCACCAUAUAUGAAAAUAUAAUUCCAAGAGAAAACUUAAUCUAAAAUGAAUUACAAACAAUUUUCAUGUUGAGAGACCUAGAGCUAGUUUUGCUUGGAAAAUCAUUUUCUAUGUUGAAACAUUAUAGGUCAUUUUGUCUAAACCCUAAUUUGAAAGUCAACUUCCCAAGGCCAUAACUUGCUCAAUUUUUAUUAGAUAGAAUAUUUCCAAGUUGCAAAAUCAAAUUCGAUAUGUCUACUUCAACUUUUAUGUUUGGAGUGGGAGCUAAUUCAACUUUUUUGAGCAUGUGAUAUGAGGCUACAUUACAGGUCACUUUUGACCUAUACCAUUGAUCAAGUGAUUUUUUCAAACUUCAAAAAUGCAUAACUCUAUCAUUUUAAAUCCAAAUGACAUGAAAUUGGUGACCAUUUUGAAGGUCUUUGAGAGAGAUACAACUUUGAUGAAGACACGUUUCUCAUUUGAAUCUCCCAUGAAAAAGUUAAGCACGGUGGAAUAUUGAGAUAUAUGGCUUGACACUUAGAAAAAUUUUGAUAUGUCAAAUUUUUACAAACUUCCACCUCAAAUUUCUCCAAGUUCCAAGCUCCAAAUGGAAAAGUGUUAAACAUAAAAUUUGUUCCUCUUGAUCUCACCUUUCUAAAGAGCUCAAAUUCAUUCAUUUUUGAUCAGAAAUGCAUAGGUUGCGCAUGGCUUAAACAAACUGACAUCAUUUGGCAUGGAUCCAACUUCAAGCGUCAAUGCACAUGUGCCUUGCAAUCUAAGCCAACUUCAACACAUCUGAUCAUUCAAAUUGGACCUUCAGCUAUCAUUUCAUGGGCCUAUACGCGCCCAUGCAGCUUGGCAUCAUCAUUUGCCAAUUUUGGAAAGUGGAAGGAGUGUGCAAAUAUCACAUGAAUUUGGCUAUAUGUAGAGCUUCAUUUGCUCAUAAUUAGAAACACUCUUGUGCCAACUUUGAUCCCCCAUUAAAAACCCUUCACUCUCAUAGGAUAAUCCUGAUAAAUUCAUUUGAAUUUGAGCUUGAAUCUCCAAUGUUUUGGAAUUCAAUUCUCCAGGAAUCCAUUGCUUCUAAACCUUUCCAUUCUCUUCCUGCAAGUGAUUGAAGUGAGUCUAAGUGCAAGCAAGCUCAAGAUCCAUCAAGUUCAGACCUCCAUUGAAGGUAAUUUCCAGAAAUUUUAAACUCUUCGAUUCUCUUAAAUUCUUGCUCAAUUCCAUUGAUUCUUUGGUUAUCUGAAGUCCUACCAAUGUAGGCAAGAAGAUUGAGUUGCUUUGAGGUCAAAUCGAAGCAACUCAGUUCAUGUACCUCAGAUUUCAAUUCCACAUAUCUCUUAAUAUAUUUGGAAUUGGAGUAAUUGGUGCAAGAAGAUUGAGUUGCUUUGAGGUCAAAUCGAAGCAACUCAGUUCAUGUACCUCAGAUUUCAAUUCCACAUAUCUCUUAAUAUAUUUGGAAUUGGAGUAAUUGGAGGUUAGAUUCGAGCUCAGUGUUAUUUCCUCUUUAAGAUCAUAUCCUUGUUUCUUUUUUUGGUGAUGGUUCAUGUUGACCAGUCCGGUGAAGCUCACCGGGGAAGAUGACCGGAGCUCUGGCUCCGGCGAUAAGGUGUCUUACCUCUCAACCAUAGGAUCAAAGUCUCACGUUUUAAUCUUGAUUGUCCCUGGUGAUUACCAUCUGGGCCACGUGGUUGACUCAGGAACAUGUGGAGCGCGCAUUUUGGAUCAUCAGACCUGCCACCUCAAUUAAUGAGAGAGAUCUGAUGGUCCACGUAAUUUAGAAUUUUCUGAUUUUUGUUUUAAUUGCAUUUUCUUCAAUAAUUCAUAUUAAAUUCAAUAUUGAUCCAAAAAAUAUGGGACUUUCACCAAAAAAAUUCAAAUAUUUUUCUCUUUCAUGUUCUGAAUUAAAAUUAUAUUUUGGAUCAUUAUUAAUAUUUUUUAUGAAUUAAUUGAUUUUGCAUUUGUUUUUAAUUGCUUAAAUAUAUUUUUAAAUGUCCAAAAAUUAUGAAUUUUUUUCUCCAAGGUCCUUCGACUUUGUUUGACCUAUGAUAAAUCUCAUGGCCAUUUCUUUUGUGUUUUGAUGAGAUUUUAGGAAUUGGACAAAACAUAUUUGAAUUUAAUGCAUUAUUUUACUAUUUUUAAUUAAAUAAAUACCAUUUUAAUUGUGUUGACCAUUUGUAUUGACUUAAUUGAGUUUGCUUGUUUGUUGUUGGGUCUUGGUCAAGGUUGAUUUGACUUUGUCUUCAAUUAUAGUAACCUAAAUCCCCUAACUACCUUACAUGUAAGGUAGUCCCAAAAUGAAUGAAUGAUAUUAAUUUGGUAAAAGUCUUCCUUUGACCAAUUUGUGAUCUCAUUCAUCCCCUUCCCCUUCAUCUAAUUCCCCUUCUUCAUUCAUUCACUUCCAUUUGGCCAAUGACAUCUCAAAGUCCUAAUGCUAGUUGAUUGAAAGAUUAACAUGAGUAUGAAUGAGAUUAUGCCACACCUUUUUGCAUAUUUUUGUGUGUGUGUGUGGUAUGUUUAAUGAGCAUAGCUCAUAAUACUAUGUCUCCAACAUGCAUUAACACCAAAAGUCUAUUGCCCGACCUCAAAUAGUUGUGACAUCUAUAUAAGUCCAAUUACGGUUGCUUAACAUAGAGCUAAAUUUGUGACAUAAAAGGCAUAAGCAUUCUAGUUAGUGAGAUUGUAAGUCUCCCCUCUUCCAUGGUAUUGUGUGGAAACUUGGCAUUCUUUCCUUCCUUUGGAAGAUGUUUUGGUUCAAGGGUUCAUGCUUGUGGCAAGUGGGUUGAGUGUUCUCCAAAGAAUGUCUUGAAAUCAAAAGCAAAACAAAACUAACUUCUAACUUACUAACCAUUAACUUUUAAUUUCAAGCUUUUACUUUAAUGCAAUUUACUGUGGGUUGAGUGUUCUCCAAAGAAUGUCUUGAAAUCAAAAGCAAAACAAAACUAACUUCUAACUUACUAACCAUUAACUUUUAAUUUCAAGCUUUUACUUUAAUGCAAUUUACUUUUAGCACUUUAUAUCAUUUGCCAUUAUACAUAUCAUUCUAAUUGUUUAUGUUAAUGAAAUUUUCACUUUGUCCACUUGGACCAUAUUGUGUGAUAUAUUUUGUUUGUUUGUGUGGUCUUUGACCAUUUAAUGUACAUAAUGAAAACAAGAACCCUAAAAAAUUUUGUGUGGACUGUUGGUUUGAUCUUGAGCAAUGGACUUAGAACUUAGGCAACAUUCCUUUGUUAAUGGACUUGGCCAAUGCCAAUUUGUUGAAGAACCAAAUGCUUGAAAUUUGAAAUUCAUCUGAUGCAUCAUUCAAGAUCUCUCCAGUUCAUCUGCAACAUUGAUCAUUGUUAAGCUGUUAUGUUGAACCUGUGACUUGUGGAAUUCAUCUGCUACAUGGGCUAUUUUGAAGAAGAUCAUGAAGUGGAUAAGCUUUGCAACAUUGAUCAUUGUUAAGCUGUUAUGUUGAACCUGUGACUUGUGGAAUUCAUCUGCUACAUGGGCUAUUUUGAAGAAGAUCAUGAAGUGGAUAAGCUUGGAUGAGGCCAUCUUUAUUUGAUGCAUUUACUCUUCAAGAUUGAUAUAAUUGUGCAUUUGUAUGUUGCUUGAUUAUAAAAGUCCAAGGGAAUUCUGGGUUUCUAUUGACAUACUUGUCUAUUGGAUUGCUACCCUUUUGGUUAGAUCUUUUCAACUCUAAACUUUUAAUUUUUAUGCAUAGGAUAGUCUCUUCAUCUUCUCCCCAUUUCUUUAAUUUCAAAAUCUCCCCCUCCAUUUUUAAAACUUUCUUUGUGUGAACUACUUUUGUUCUAAACUCUGACCACUUUCAAAAAGAUAGAAACUUUGGCCUUAUGCCAUUGCAUUUUCAAAAUUCUUUUCUUAAAUCAAACUUGUAAAUAGAGUUAACUAUACUUGACUUAAACUUUCAAAAAAACCAAAAAAAGACUAACUCAUUCAAACCAUUUUAGGCAUUGGUGCCUUUUAAACUUAAAUUUUGUUAAAAUCAACACACUCAUUUUGAAAUUUGUAUCACGAACUACGAGGUUUUGAUCCCUCAUUUUUAUGUUGGUACGUAGGCACAAGACCGAAGGUCUUGUCAAACACAAAAAAAUAUAAUUAAUGAAUUCUUUUCUCAUCCCCCCAUUCUAUUUGUUUGUAAACAUCACUUUGUACAAAAUACAUAUGCACACAAAAAGGGCUCCCUAGGAGUACCUAGGACACUUUGGGUGCUAACACCUCCCCUCUGUGUAACCAACCCCCUUACAUGUGAUCUCUGACUUUUAUUAGUUUUUAUUUGAAAACUUCUUACUAUUUGGGUUUUGUUCGUACUUUUUCCCUUUUCCCUUGGAAACAAUAAAAGCGCGGUGGCGACUCUUGUUAAUUGAUAUAUAGCUUGUCGAUAGCUUGAUGAUCAUGAAUUUCCCGCUACAGAAUUGUAUCUAGAAGUCCCAAGAAUAGAUCCACAAGAUUAGGAUCACUAUCUCUUCAAAACAUGUCCAAGAUCUCAAAAGGGGUUACAUAAAUCACCUUUUAGACAAGGGUCAAGUUUGACACGUCCAUCAGAUGUUGGGUACUUAAGAUAUUCUGAACUCCAAAGAUUAGGUGAUGUAAAGGUGUCUGAGCAACACAAUAGGAGUCGACUAAAGACUCUCGACAUAAGUAAUUAAGAGGUUCAAAACAGUUAUCAACACAAUUAUUAGCAUGAUGAUUAAUUUUCAGCAAUUUUAUCUUUAAACACGUGUGGAAAAAAUUUAAAACAUUGAAGCCCAUGUAGUAGGAUACAUGUCUAAUCAUGAAGAUCUACUUGUUAUCGACGAUUACUAUUAUUUUAGUAUAUAUAGUUGAUCUCAUUGAGGGGAUCAAGGUCGCAAGUUCCACUCAAGUUCAAGCAUAACCAAUGGUUUAAGCAUAUGCUAAAAACGAAUCAUUUCAAAACUUGAUUUAAAGAGCUGCAAUCAUGAAGGACACUCAAUAAUCCAAAGUAAAUAAAAAUCAAAGCGAUAAUACAAGCAACACAAUAAUUGUAUCAAUGUGCUCCCCCUGAAUGUAUUAGGGAAAUGUGUUGGAAUUCAACAAUGAAACUCAAAAAUAAAUUAACUUUAAUGUUAAAUUACACUCAACACCGUCUCUUAAUUGACAUUCAAGUUUCAAAAUCAACAACACCAAUUACAUCCUUCAAAUUGAUGAAGUGUUCAGUUUUGAUCGCCUUGGCUAACACAUUUACAAGUUGCUUCUGAUUGCUGACAUGAACAACCUCAAGUACUCCAUUUUGAACCUGAUUGCGUAUAAAAUGGUACUUAGUCUCAAUGUACUUUCUUCUUCCAUGUAACACUAGAUCCUUAGCAAGACUUAUGGAAGAUUUGUUGUCAAUCAUCAAUUUGUAUGGUUUGCUCACCUUGAACUUCAGUUCUUGCAUCAAAUUCAUCAUUCAAACAUCUUGAAAAGCUGACAAAGCACCAUCUAUGUAUUCAACUUCACAUGUUGACAAUGCAAACACUAGUUCCGUCUUGGAACACCAAUAAAUGGUAACUCUUAUAUACAUGAAGACGUAUCUUGUAGUACUUCUUUUGUCCAUUCUGUCAUUACAACAGUCAGAGUUUGAAUAGCAUAUUAGAUCAGCAUCAUCUGACACUCCAGAUGGAAACACAAUUCCAUGUCUCAGAGUCCCCUUUUACAUACCUCAGAAUCCUGAUUGCAGCUAGGUAACGUGGCCACUUUGGUUUACUCAUGAACCUACUCACCAUUACAACUGCAUAACAUAUGUUAGGCUUGGUGUUACACAGAUAUCUCAAACAACUAACCAAUUGUUUGAAGGUUGUAACAUCGACAUUCUCACCAUCAUCAUCUGAGUCCAACUUAUGAUUUGUCUCAGUAGGCGUGGUUGCUGACUUACAAUUCAUCAGCUCAAAUCUCUUCAACACCUCAAUUUCAUACUUCAGUUGGUGCAUAAUAAUUCCCUUCUCAGAAUGAAAAAUCUCCAUCCCUAGAAAAUAUACCAUAUCUCUAAGGUCAUUCAUAUCAAAAUCAUUCAUCAGCACCUUCUUAAACUUGUUCAUCUCAUAAGUAUAACUCCAUGUCAGAAGUAUGUCAUCUACAUAAAGAUACACUAGAAUCACAUUGCCUUCAGAAUAAUGCUGCACAUAUACACCAUAUUCCAUUUCACAUUUCUUGAACCCCAAAUGCUUGAAAAAUGAAUCAAUUUUCAUAUUCUAAUCUCUCGGAGCUUGUUUCAGCCCGUACAAGGCUUUAUGCAGCUUAUACACCACCAUUCUUUGUUCUCUUUCACAAAUCCAUGAGGUUGUGACACAUAAAUUUAUUCUUGCAAUGGAACAUUCAAAAAAUCUAACUUUACAUCUAAAUGUAUUAGAAGCCAAUUCCUAUUUGCAUCUAUAUCAAUAACUAACCUUAUGGUUUUGUGUCUAGCUACAGGUGCAAACACUUCAAAGUAGUAUAAACUAGAAUUUUGUAGGAAUCCUCUAGCUACUAACCUUGCUUUAUGCUUACCAUUUGAAACAUUUGGCUUCAACUUUAUCUUGAAAUACCCAUCUCACAUUGAUGGCUUUCUUGUUCUGAGGUAGAACAGUCAAUUCCCAUGUCUUGUUUAUUUCAAUAGCUUCAAGCUCUUAUUUCACGGCGUUCACCCACACAUUCAUCUCGAGAGCCUCAUUGAUUUGACAGGUUCAAAGUCCACCAUCAUGGCACUCUGUAUGACUUCCCCUUCAGAUUCAAUCUCAAUAUCAUGCAUCAAAUUAAAGUCUACAAGUCUCCUUGGUAUUUUUCUAACUCUAUAUGGCCUCUAAAACUAUCCAAGGUCACCUUCAGAAGCCCCAUCUUCAGUAGUUCAACCUUUAGAGGCUGGACCACCUUCAGAAGCCUCACCUUUAGAAGUUCCACCUUCAAAGGUUAGGCCACCUUCAGAGUCAAAUCCAUCAUAAAGAUUCAGACUCGCCUUCAGAGUCAGAGUCAUCUUCAGGUUCAGACUCUCCUUCAGAGUCAAAAUCAACUUCAGAUGCAAAAUCUCCUUCAGAGGAAGAAUCAGACUCUUGUGUUGGCACUGCACUAGAGUUGGAUUGACACUUGCUCCAAUCCCAUGUUUCUGAUUCUUUCUCUAUGACAUCUCUGCUAACUUCAAAUUUGUUGGUGACUGGGCAAUAGAGUUUAUAAGCACCUGCACUGAGGUAAGCUAUAAGCAACAUGUCUUUGCUUAUGUCAUCCAAUUUCCUUCUAUUAGCAUCUGGUAUAUGUUUGUAACAUACAGAACGAAACACCUUGAAAUGGAUGGCACUUUGAUUUCUUCCAAUCCACUUUUCAAUAGGAACUACUUCCUUUAACUUCUUCUUUGGACAUCUACUGAGCACAUAUACUGAAGUAGAAAUUGCUUCACCCUACAAUUGCUUAGGCAUAUUCUUCUGCCUCAGUAUGCUCAUUGUCAUGUCAAGUUGAGUUCUAUUUCUUCUUUCAGAAAGACCAUUAUGACAUGGAGUGUAUGGAGCAGUCACCUAAUGCUCAAUACCAUGUUCCUCACAUAACUUUUGGAACUCUAUUGAGUUGAACUCACCUCCACCACCAGUUAUGAGGAUCUUCAACCAUUGUCCACUUUGAUUUUCAACCUUCACUUUGAACUUUUUGAACUCAACAAACACCUCAUGUUUGAACUUAAUGAGUACUACCUACGUUAUUAUUAUGAACUCAUCCACAAAUGACAUAAGUUACUUGUUUCCACCAAGUGAACUUACCUCAAAUGGACCACAUACAUUAUAACACACCAUACCUAAAGCAUGGGUUUCUCUUUGAGGCAUUUCCAAUGAGAAUGGAAAUCUUGGUUACUUGCCUCUCAUGCAUAUAUCAUAUGAUUUCUCUGGUGCCACAAUCUUAGGAAUUCCAUGUACCAUAUUCUUUAAACUCGGAUGCCCUAAGAUUUUGUAGUUCAGAUGCCCCAAUCUCUUAUGCCACAUCUCACUUUCCCCUUCAACACUUAUUGCACUAAGGAAUUGAGUGUCUGUUGUUGCAACAUUCACCUUGAAUAUCUUGUUUAUUCCCUGUUCAUACUUCAUAAUUAACUUCUGAUUAUAGUCAUACAACUUCAAGAGAUUGUCCUUCAUGAUUACUGUUUUUUUUUUCAAUUAGUUGACCUGCGCUCAUCAGAUUGUUAUUCAUGCCAGGAACAUACCAUACAUCCUUGAUCGGUAUAGUUUUGCCACUGUUCAACUUAACUCUGCGCUCAUCAGAUUGUUAUUCAUGCCAGGAACAUUUGAUCUUGGUCAUUUUUCUAGAGUCAAAAUCAACCAACUAUUGCUUGUUUCUAGUUAGGUGAUUUGAGCAGCCAGUGUCCAUAUACCAUCGGUCUACCAUUGAUCCACCAACAUUAUCAGAUUCCAUAAAUAACAUAGGUUCAUCAUUAGAAUCUAAUAUGGCUAUGUUUACUUCUUCACCCUUGAUAACCUUGUUUAACUAACAAUCAGUAGCAAAAUGACCAAAUUUGUUGCAACUGUAGCACUGAAUCUUUCUCUUGUCAAACUUCUCCUUUACCUUCUGAACAUUCUAAUGUUUCUUAUCAGAAUUGGAGAGUUCUGACUUAUGAACACCACCACCAUAAUUUUAUUUUUCUCUAGCCAUGCUUGCUUCUAAUUCUUCUUACCAGGAGAAUCUUUUAGAGUCUGAGCUUUCAUAGUCAGUUUUAUCUUAUUUUCAGAGUUUCUUUCAGUCAGACACAACUUUUUUGCCUCUAAACUAAUCUGAAGCUCUUCAAUUCUCAUGGUUCUAGUGUCUUUAGAGUGUUCUAUUUCUAUAACUAUGUAAUCAAACAGAAGAGUAACUGGUCUCAGUACCUUUUCAAGGAUUACUUGUUCAGAGAGUAUUUCUCCACAAGACUUCAUCCCAUUUGUGACCACAAUUACUCUAGAGAUGUAAUGAGGCACCUUCUCGUUGUUCUUCAUGCUGAGAUUUUUAUAUUGCUUGCAUAGGGCAUGCAAAUUGAUCUUCUUCACUGAUGUGUCACCACCAUAGCACCGUACCAGUGAAUCCAAUGACGCCUUCGUAUUUACACACUGAUGGAUAUAUAACAACUCCUUCUGAUCCUUCUUCCUCGUUUCAUGUUGCAUAUUUAUUUAUGCUUUUGUUGCAUUUUCUACAACCAGUGUGUAACCGUCAUUGACGAGAUCAAGAACAUCUUUAGCUCCGAAUAACACACGCAUCUGAAUUGACCACCGACUCCAGUUCUUUUCGUCGAAUACUGGAAGCUUUAUGUUCAAGCUACUGUUUUCGUCAUUCAUCUUCAUUCUUCUUCAAAUCAUUUAGUUCUUACCAACACUCGUGUUUUCCAAACCGCGAGAAUCAAGAUCUAUGAUUCUCCUUGAUUUGAACUUCAAUUCAACGCGAAUAUCAAGAACAAAAUCAUCACACACCUCACAAGAAUCGAACUGGAGCUCUAAAAAUCAAAUUUUGGUGUUCAAUAAUGAACUUCCAUUAACAAUUCACAAGAAUUGGAGAAGAUGAAGAUGAAGAUGAAGAAUGUGAGAGAGAGAGAGAGAGUGAGAAAACUCUAUAACUAACUUUAACUAUUCAAAUGUUUUUUAAAUUCGUUUACACAUUCAACUUACUUUGAGCUUAAAUAGAUUCACCCAAACUCAAAUGCACAUUUAAAUUCAAAUACAAAUAUAAACUUAAAUGCACAAGAAUCUCAAAACUAAGCUAACUUAAAUAUUGAAUUACAUUCAACAGCAUGCAACUACAUAUUGAAGAUUGGUAAAUUCAUUCUAUAUCUAUUUUUUAAUCAUAUGAGAGUUAUUUACAUAUAUAAUUGUAAUGAAAAAUUUCAUUUGAUCAACUUCUAUAAAAAAAAAGACAUGUAAAUAAACUCAAUAGAGUAGAAAUCAUAUCUAUUGCAAAAAAAAAAACCUAUAGAUUUAAAAUCAUAUCUAAGACAACGAUGUCUUAGACUUAUAUUGUUUAAUAAUUAUUUUAGUUUUAUACUUAAAGCCUAAAAGAUAGAUUGAUUUAUAAAAGAUAAAGUAACAAAAUAAAUUAUUCUUACUAUUUUUUGCACUGCAAAUUUUCUAUCUCAUUCUAUUAAUUUUGUAAAAAAUAAAUAUUAUUAGUUUUUAUAUAUAAACACUAUUCACAUUUCAAUGAUUUUUUAAGAAUAAAUACAAUUAAUAUAUUCUAAAGUAUUUUUUAAUGACAAAUAUUAUUAAUAAUUAUUUAAUAAAAUUUAUGGAAAUUCUUAUCUACUCGUAACAAAAAAUUAGGUAGCUUUACUAUAGAAUAAAUUGUCUUGAAAAUUUCUCAAUUUCUAACAAUUUAAUAAAUAAUUAAAGAGAUUAAUAAAAUAGUCAUAUGAAUGUAUGAUCAUGAAAGCUUCAUAUAUGUACCAAUAAACUAAAAUCAAAUAGCAAUAUAUGAACAUUUUAUCUUAUUAGUUAUAUUGGAUCGUGAUAAUGUAGAAUAGUUGUAAAAUAUGUAAUCGGUUAAAUUGCACGUCAAUAUGUUUAAUGUCAUGUAAUUUUAAAAUUCUAAAUGUCACAUUUUUUUGGGCAAGUUGUCUUGAACAUAAAGAGAUAGCGAAGAAUAAUGAGAUGACUUGUCCGACAAGUUAACAACAUUUUACUUGAAACUAACCAAGUGAAUUUAUUGUAACUAACCUAACUAUUUUCAGUUAGAUAAUUAGGAGUUAGUUAUGUUGUUCUAACUAAUUGUAACUGAUAUAAAUAGUAGUUCACUCUACUCUCUUAGUAGAUUUGUGUAAUAGUUUCUUAUGAUCAAUGCCAUGAAGCUUGUUUUAUCUUCUUCAAUGGAGUCUCAGUUUCUCCUUUCACAUGGUAUCAUCAACAUUUGAAUCUUUCUCCAUCAUUUAUGAUACUUACACAAAUCUCAUCAAUUUUAGUUGAAUUCAUUUUUCUUACUCGUUCUUUUCUUGUGAAUUCAUCUAAUCUUCUUUCCUCUUCCUUUCUACUUCAACAAUGUUAGUUGAAAUCCCUUUCAGCUCAGAUAAAGUUCCUACUACUGUGUCAAAUCUAAACAAGGGAUAUCAAAAUGAUACUUGCAAUCCCUAUUUCAUGCAUCCAAAUGAAAGUCAUGCAUUGGUGUUAGUUACUCCACUUCUGAAUGCAGGAAAUUACCAUUCUUGGUAAAGGUCCAUGACUAUGGCGCUCCGAUCCAAGAACAAGUUACAUUUCAUCAACGAUUCACUACCGAGACCAUCAGAUGAAGAUCGUGAGUCUAUCCCAUGGGAUCGUCGCAACACCAUGAUUAUGUCAUGGUUAAAAAACUAUGUUGAUUUUGAGAUUUCUUAUAGCAUCUUGUGGAUGGAAACCACAUCCAACAUUUGGAAAGAGCUCAAGGAUCAGUUCUAUCAUGUUGGUGUGUUCAGAAUCUCAGAUAUCCAAGAAGAAAUAUGCACCCUCAAACAAGGUGAUUUUUCAAUUUCUUCAUAUUAUACCAAAUUGAAAAUGUUAUGGCAAGAGUUAGAUAAUUUCAGACCUAUUCCUACAUGUGAUUGUAACGUUUCUUGCAUAGCGAUUGAUAAAAUUCAUAGUUAUAAGGAUUCUUAUCAAGUUAUCAAAUUCUUAAAAGGUUUGAAUGAUCAAUUUUCUACUGUUAGAUCCCAGAUAAUGUUAAUGGAUCCUCUCCCUAAUAUUUUCAAAGUAUAUUCCUUACUUGUUUAACAUGAAAGACAACUCAUUUCACCUUUCGAUGAAUCCAAAUUGCUAGAUUUUCCCAAUAAUCAAUAUCAAGGGAGAAGAAAUACUCUUUUUCGUGGCAAGAACGAUAGAGGAGGUAGAUCCUCCAAUGGUAGAGGUAGAGGCUCAAGGGUUUACACUCAAUAUGGAAUAUUAAAUCACACCAUUGAUACUUGUUUCAAGAAACAUGGAUACCCUCCUCAUUGGAAGCCACACCAAAGUCACAUCAACAAUGACAACAAUUCACCCUAUGAUAAUCAUUAAGAAAUUGAGUAUCAAUUAGAUUCACCUGAAGAUUUGAAUCAGGACAAGUCAACAAAUUCAUUCAGUUUUACUUCUGAUCAACAUAAAGCUCUCUUAGCUUUACUCCAGCAAGCAUCUUCAACAAACUCUCAUAGUGUUAAUCAAAUCAUUACUCAGUCUAAACCCACUACAUGUAUUGUCUUCACUUUACCUCCGUCUGUCAAAACUACAUAUUUCCUUCUUGACACUGGUGCCACCGACCAUGUUUGAUAUUCUCGACAUUUAUUUACAUGUUUGAAAAUAAUUUCUCCUUUCAUAGUUAAACUAACAAAUUGUUCUUUAGUUACCACUGAAUUUGUAGGAAUUAUUCUUUUUUAUUCAGAUUUUAUGCUGACUCAUGUUCUAUACAUGCCAAAAUUUCAUAUAAUCUCAUUUCAGUUCCAAAAUUGACUCACAACCUUCGAUGUCAACUUACUUUUGAUCAUUCUACUUGUGUCAUAAAGAAAUCUCACUGCAGGAAGAUGAUGGGUGCAACUUAUUUAAGAGGUAGCCUAUACAUUCUCAAUCAACCCCAAGUUGCAAUUCCUCUACACAUUAUAUCCUUCCAAUAAUGUUCUAGUUAAUUCUCUCAUAUGUCAGCAUAACACCUGUAAUACUUCUGUUGAUAGGCAUGAUAAUCUACAUGGUACUACUUGUAAUAUUUGGAAUUUGAGACUUGGCCAUCCCUCACAUGAAAAACUAUUAGAAAUGCAUAAUUUGUUUUCCUUUUGUCCAAACUGUACAAAGUAUUUCACCUUGUGAUGUGUGUUUUUAUGCCAAGCAAAAAAGAUUGUCAUUUCCACACAGCAAUCAUAAGUCAGUUGACAUUUUUGACUUAGUCUAUAUGGAUAUAUGGGGUCCAUUAUCUAUUCCCUCACUUCAUGGGCAUAAAUAUUUCCUUAGAGUUAUAGAUGAUAAAAGUAGACAUACAUGGAUUUUUCUUAUUAAAUACAAAUCUGAAAUUGCUCCUCUUGUUAAAGCCUUUGUGUCUCUAGUUAAAACUCAUUUCAACAAAAACAUAAAAUGCAUCAGGUAUGAUAAUGGUAAUGAGUUCCUUCUCAAGGAUUUCUAUAGAUCAUAAGGCAUCAUACAUCACACAUCAUGUGUUGGAACCCCGCAACAAAAUGGCCUUGUUGAGAGGAAACAACAACAUAUACUGGCCAUUACUAGAGCACUGUUAUUUCAAGCCAAAUUACCCAAAAUUUUCCAGUCUUAUGCUCUAAAUCAUGUUAUUCAUCUAAUCAAUAGACUUCAUACACCUUUCUUUCACAACAAGUAACCCUUUCAUUCUUUACAUAUACGCCUACCUGAAAUUAAACUCCUUAGAGUUUUUGGCUCACUUUGCUUUGCUACUACCUUACAAGCCAAUAGGAAGAAGUUAUAUUCUAGAUCUAAGAAGUGUAUCUACCUUGGCUUCGAAAUAGGUGUUAAGGGUCAUACCUUGUUUGGCUUAAAAUCUAAGGAAACUUUCAUUUCUAGAGAUGUCAUUUUUUUGAAUCCAUAUUUUCUUAUAUAGAUCAUACACACACAUCAUCUACUUCUUCAUCUAUCAAUCCUUCACUUUCACAUGAUUUAUUUGAUUUUACUUUCAUAUAUGAUUCUCCUAACCAUGUUUCAAUAAAUACUCAUGAUCAUACUCUGCAUUUUACUACUUCAUCUGAUAAUAAUAUACCUAUCUUUUAUUCACCUAUCACAUCAUCAUCAUUAAACAACCAUGCUUCCCCUUAUUCAAAUCCUACACCUACCAGCAAUCCAAUUGUAACAAUUCAUAAUGUCUCCUUCCAACCUAGGAGAUCUUCUCAAGCCACUCACCCUCCUAUUUUUCUACAGGACUAUCAUUGCAAUUUGAUUGAGAAUACAUGCCAUCCUCCUAAUUCAGAUGAUCUUCCAAUCUCUUAUGCAAGUAAGUAUCUAAUUUCUUCUUUCUUAUCAUAUCAUAACUUAUCUCAUCCAUAUGCUCAAUACAUUCUUAACUUAGCUUCCAUCUCUAAACCAAAAUCCUAUGAGGAAGCUAUUAAUGAUGCAAAAUGGAGUAAAUCCAUUCAAAUUGAAUUACACGCCCUUAUGAAAACAAACAAAUGGAAACUAGUUCCAUUGCCUAAGCACAACAAGGCCAUUGGAUACAGAUGAGUUUUCAAACUCAAACUUCAUGCUAAUGGUUCUGUGGAGAGAUACAAGGAGUGUUUGAUAGCUAAGGGUUUCACUCAAUUUUAAGGCCUUAACUAUCUUGACACCUUCAGCCUAGUUGUCAAAAUAACAAUAAUCAGAAUCUUCAUGGCAAUUGUAGCUUCCUAUAAUUGGCCUUUAUUUCAAUUAGAUGUGAACACAACCUUCUUACAUGGUGACCUCAGUGAAGAGGUAUAUAUGCAGGUACCACCUAGCCUUGUUGUCACUCAAUCUGACUUGGUGUGUAAACUUUAGAGAUCCGUAUACGACCCUCAAACAUGCUAGCAGGAAGUGGAAUACUAAGCUCACUGAAACUUUUACACAAUUAGGUUUUAUUCAGUCUAAAUCUAAUUACUCAUUCUAUACUAAAAUCAAAUGGUGCAACUUUCACAAUGAUCCUUGUAUAUGUAGAUGAUUUGGUCUUAGGGGGGACUGAUAUGGAUGAGAUUACUCACAUUAAGACCCUUUUGAAUGAGAAAUUCAACAUCAAGGAUCUAUGAGAAGUCAAAUAUUUUCUUGGUUUCGAAGUGGGAAGAUCAAAAGAAGGAAUUGCUUUGUGCCAAAGAAAGUAUGUUCUUGAUCUUGUACAAGACACAUGGUUGAGUGGAAUUAAGCCAUGUAACACUCCUAUGUAACCUCACUUGUAGCUAAACAAAGAAUUUGGGACAACUCUCUCUCUGAUCCAACUGCAUAUAGAAGAUUAAUCAGAAGACUUCUAUAUUUGACUCAUUCAAGACCCGAAAUUUCUUAUGUUGUAAGAAAGUUGUGUCAAUUUCUCAUCUCACGAACAUACAAAGACAUGAUAGCAGGACUUCAUGUUCUAAGGUACCUCAAAGGUAGUCCAGACAAUGGUUUUCUAUUUAGUUCAUCAACUGAUCUCAAACUCAAUUAUUUCUGGCUCGGAUUGGAGAGUAUGCCCUGGCACAAGGAGAUCAACCACAAGCAUAUGUUUCUUCCUUGGAAGGUCUUUGAUUAGCUGGAAAAUCUAGAAACAAUCAAUGGUGUCUAGAUCAUCAUCAGAGGCAGAGUAUCGAGCUUUGGCUCAACCAACGUGUGAAGGACACUGGAUUUUUUAUCUGCUGAAGGAUUUCCACAUAGAGCAUAAUUCUCCAACAGUGAUCUACCGUGAUAACAAAUUAGCACUCCACAUAGCUGCAAAUCUUGUCUUCCAUGAGAGAACAAAACACAUAGAGAUGGAUUUCCAUGUGGUCAGGGAUAAGGUUCAAGCUGGAACAAUUCAUUUGCUUCCAGUCGCAUCAAAGGAACAAGUAGGACCAUUUAUCAACUUACAAAACAAGCUUGGAAUGAUCAAUGUUUAUUCCAGCCUGAGGGGGGAUGUUGAACAUAAAAAGAUAGUGAAGAAUAAUGAGAUGACUUGCCCGACAAGUUAACAACAUUAUAUUUGAAACUAUCCAAGGGAACUUAUUGUAACUAACAUAACAAUUUUUAGUUAGAUAAUUAGUAGUUAUUUAUGAUUCUCUAAGUAAUUGUAACUAAUAUAAAUAGUAGUUCACUCUACUCUCUUAGUAGAUUUAUGUAAUAGUUUCUUAUGAUUAAUGCCAUGAAGCUUGUUUCAUCUUCUUCAAUGGAGUCUUAGUUUCUCCUUUCAGAAGUUGUUUCUUGUAAUGGUGAUGUUGAAGUUUUAUACGUGCUUUUGUUUUUAAAUUGACUAUCAAAUACUCAAAUUUUGAAUAGUAUUUUAAAGAAUUUCUAUAUUGGCAGAGGCUUAAAAAAAAUAGAACCAUAACAUCCAUAAUAAUCCAUUUGAUAGGACGAAUGAGGAAGACAAUACUAGAAAUAACAACAACCACAACAUUCUCACUAAUAACAACAAUAUUAGAGAAAAUCCAUACACUAAGCAUAUCGACAAGAAGACCUUACUGAAAGCUCACAUCAAUAUGGAGGAGGACCUCAAGGAUAAUUACGAAAUAAACAACACAAACAAACACAUCACUAAUAAAUAUACUAGAGGCAAUAUGUAUGAUAAAUAAGGUUAACAAUCCUAAGAUGACUUCUAAAAAUAAAGGCAUCAACAUACCAAAAGGCAACCCCGAGAGUCAUGAUCAUCAAAUAAAUAACAAUUCCUGCAUCAAUUAGGGAAAGAUAAAAAUUAUUAUUAUAGAAUAACUAAAAACUGUUUAUGCGUUUCAACCAUGUAAAUACAAAAUGACAAGUAAAUGAUGAGAAAUUUAUGAGGAGUUUUAGUUCCAAGGGAAAUAAAAUCCUUAAUAUCUUUUUAAAAACUAUAUCAAUGAAAAAUUAUUUUUAUUUGUAAAUUAGUUAAAAGAAUGUUGCUUUUUGCUUGUAUAAUGACAAUGAUCACAAAUUCAUAAUACUAUAUCUUAUACUUUUUCUCAUACCCAUGCGGACGCACGGGUCUUCUACUAGUUAAAUUAAUAAAAUAAAUAAAAACAAAAGUAAUUAAAAUUAACUCAUUUUUUUAGAAUAAAAUAAAACUAUAAAUAUGUAAAAUAAAACCAAAUAAAUCUAAAACUUAAGUUAAAUUCAUAAAAAAAAUUGUAAAAUAAAACCAAACUAUAAAUUAAUAAAAUAAAACCAAAAUUAAAACUAAAUUAAAACCAAAUAAAAUAAAAUAAAAACUAUAAAUAAAAACCAAAAUUAUAAAUUAAUAAAAUAAAACUAAAAUAUAAAUUAAAAAUGAAAUAAAAUAAAAACGGAAAAGGGGGAAAAACUCUUCUAAAUUACACAUACAGUUUCCCUAAAAUCGUUUCAAAGCUCUUACCUAAAAAAAUCCUUCUAAUUAUUUCAUCUCUCUCUCUCUCUCUCUCUCUCUCUCUCUAUAUAUAUAUAUAUAUUAUCUCUCUCUAUCUUUCUCUCCAUUUACUAUGUCAAGACAUUUCGUAAAUCAUUGCCUAUGCACAGUGUCUAAAGACCAUCCGUUGUUACCAUAUGGCUAGUGGUUACACAUUAUCCAAUGUUCAAGUUCUUUACUAAAUAAAUUUCUUUACCAGAAAAUAGCGUAUUAACUGCAACAUUUUAGCAUCAGUCGUGACUGCGAUGCUAAUAACGUUAACCUUAUGUCACCAAAGGUGGACACUAAUAGGUUAAAUCAUUUCUUUAAAUUUUUAAAUGUCUUUAACAAUUGCGUCGGUAUGACCUGACGAUACAUAAUUUAAUUAUUUAAUUAUUAAUUUAUCUAUUUUUUUAUUUAUAACAGAUAAAUGUAUAUAUGUUUAACUUUAUAUUUAUUACAAUACAAGUGACAGUCAAGAUCGACGCUAAUGUAAUAAUAUUGGUAAAAACAAUUCAUUUCCGCCCACAAUUGACGUUUGUUUCCUUCUUUUCGAUCUUAUUUAUUUAUAAGUGGUAGCAUCAGCUCUGACCGACGCUAAGGCAAAAGCCGAUAUCAUUUAUUUAUUUUUUGCAUUAAUUGCGACGAACAUAGUUGACGCUAAUAUCAAAUUUUUAUGGGAAAAAAUCGUUUCCCACACAUUUUUAGUUUCCCUCCUUUUUAUUUAAAAUUUUAAAUUAAUAGAAUAAUAUAAAAUAAAAAAAUAUAAUUAAAACAAACUCCUUUGUUUAGAAUCAAAUAAAUAUAAAAUAAAACCAAAUAAAUCUAAAACUUGAAUUAAACUCAUAAAAAAAUUGUAAAAUAAAAUCAAAACUAUAAAUUAAUAAAAUAAAACCAAAAUUAUAACUAAAUUAAAACCAAAUUAAUUAAAAUAAAUACUAUAAAUUAAAACCAAAACUAUAAAUUAAUAAAAUAAAAUUAAAAAUAUAAAUUAAAAAAAAUGAAAAUGGAAAAAAAAAGGAGAAGCUCUUCUACAUUAAACGUACAGUUUCCCUAAAACUGUUUCAAAGCUCCUACCUAAAAAAUUCUUCAAAUUAUGUCAACUCUCUCUCUCUCUCUCUCUCUCUCUCUACCGCUCUCUCUAUCUCUCUCUUUCUCUCUCAUUCAUUAUCGCUCUCAAUACUCCAUCAGAAAAAAUGAAGAUACAGUAGUUCCCCAUUCUAAUGCUUCAUAAUCUUUGUAACCGAAGGUUCAUUCAUCAUCGCUAAUUUCACAAUCGCUCAAAUAUAAAGGAGUUUCUAGAAAAGUUGAAGAUUAUUAGCUUUGAAAAUCGGUUUUGGAGAUCUUAAAAUCAAUUAGUUUAAUUUCCUUCUACUCAUAUAAUCAAUAAAUAUUGAUUGAUUCCACUGUUCUUCUUGCUUAGUCGCGUUCUUACUGAAAUAAAGCUUGAUGAUGACAUGAAAUUUCAUGUCUAAAAAUUAUUUGUGUAUCUAAUCAUUUGGACUCAAGAGAUAUUUGGUAUCAUAUCUUCUAGAUCGAUAACCAUAAAGAGAAUAUGUGAACACAUUUGGUAAAUCAUUGCAUAUGCAUAAUGUCUAAAGACCAUCCUUUGUUACCAUAUGACUAGUGGUUACACAUUGUUUGAUGUUCAAGUUCUUUACUAAAUAAAGCUCUUUACCAGAAAAAAGCGUAUUAGCUACAACAUUUUAGCAUCAGCCCUGACUGUGACGCUAAUAGCACCAACCUUAUGUCACCAAAGGCGGACACUAAUAGGCUAAAUCAUUUCUUUUAAUUUUUAAAUGUCUUUAACAAUUGCAUCAGCAUGAGCUGACGAUACAUAAUUUAUUUAUUUCAUUGUUAAUUUAUCUAUUUUUCUAUUUAUAACAGAUAAAUGUCUAUAUGUUUAAUUUUUUAUUUAUUGCAAUACAAGCGACAGUCAAGAUCAACGCUAAUGUAAAUAUAUUGGUAAAAAUAAUUCAUUUCCACCCACAAUUAUCGUUUGCCUCCUUCUUUUCUGUCUUAUUUAUUUAUUAGUGGUAGCGUCAAAUCUGAUCGAAGCUAAGGCAAAAGCCAAUAUUAUUUAUUUAUUUAUUUAUUGCAUAAAAAUUGCGACGGACAUAGUUGACGCUAAAAUAGUUUUUUUAUGGGAAAAAAUUUGUUUCCCCCACCUUUUUAGUUUGCCUCCUUUUUAUUUAUUAUAAUAAAUAGAUAUAGUAAAAUUAAAUAAAAACAAAAGUAAUUAAAACGAACUCCUUUUUCUUAGAAUCAAAUAAAAGUAAAACAAAAUCAAAUAAAUCUAAAAGUUGAAUUAAAUUCAUAAAAAAAAUUGUAAAAUAAAACCAAAACUUUAAAUUAAUAAAAUAAAACCAAAAUUAAAAAUAAAUUUAAACCAAAUUAAUUAAAAUAAAAACUAUAAAUAAAAACCAAAAUUAUAAAUUAAUAAAAUAAAAUAUAAAAUAUAAAAAAUGAAAAUGAAAAAAAAACACUAAAGGGAGAAGCUAAUCUACAUUAAACGUAUAGUUUCCCUAAAAUUGUUUUAAAGCUCCUUUUUAUUUAUUUUUUUAAAUUAAUAAAAUUAAAUUAAAUAAAAACAAAUGUAAUGAAAACGAUUUAGAAUCAAAUAAAACUAAAAUAAAAUCAAAUAAAUCUAAGACUUGAGUUAAAAUCAUAAAAAAAUUUGUAAAAUAAAACAAAAACUAUAAAUUAAUAAAAUAAAACCAAAAUUAAAACCAAAUUAACUAAAAUAAAAACUAUAAAUUAAAACAAAAAUUAUAAAUUAAUAAAAUUAAAUUAAAAAUAUAAAAAAUGAAAAUGCAAAAAAAAAAACAAAAAAUGGAGAAGCUCUUCUCAUUAAACGUACAGUUUCCCUAAAACUGUUUCAAAGGUCCUACCUAAAAAGUUCUUAGAAUUCUUUCAAUGCUCUCUCUCUCUCUCUCUCUCUCUCUCUCUUUCUCGUUCUCUAUCUAUCUAUCUAUCUAUCUAUCUAUCUAUCUAUCUAUCACUCACUCACUCACUCACUCUCUCUAUAUCCCUCUCUCUCUCUCUCUCUUCCUUUCUCGUUUACUAUGGCUCUCAAUCAUCCAUCAGGAAAAAUGAAGAUACAUUCAUUCCUGUUUACCUUGAAAAUCGGUAAACAACUGCUGAUCUUCCAAAUUUCUAAAUUUGGUUACUUACAGGUUCGAACAGAUUGAUCCUAGGACAUGUGCUAAUUGUUUUGAAAUUGAGUUUUAGUAAUAACGAACACUCCAAUAAUAAGCGCAAAAUUAGAGUUUGAAAACUAAUAAAAAGGCUGAUAUGAAUGAGAGAAAUUGUAAAGGACUUGUAACAAUAAACAAUUGACAAAAGUAAAUGUUGACAGCAAGGAAAUUUUAGGACUGUAAAUGACAAAGUAAAAGAAUAGUGUUUUGAAUGAAGCAAUAAAGAAGUAUGUUUUUGGAAGGAAAAAAGUAAAGAUAAAUUUGCAUUGCUUUGAAGUAAUUAACAAUGGUGUAAACAAACGUACAUUAUGUGAUUUACGAUUCUUCUUCACAUGAGUACUUGGUAAAUUUACAGGUUUUUGUACACACUUUGACACACACUUUUCUAACACUAAGACCCUAUAUUUAUACUGGAUCGAGAUAACCGUUUCUGAUAGUUCUUCAAUCACGUCGAGACACAUGGCACCUUACAUGUACGCAAUUAUCUACUAUGCUCCACGUGUACUCUCAACGGUUUCUGAUAAGGGCAAAGUUCCCUUCCUUAUUUGAAUUUUGAAUCUUUGAUCGAAAACAGUUUUCAACCGUUUUUUAAGAGAUCUUUCUGGAGUCUCAACUGUGUGUUGAUCCUUAUCAACCUUGCCCAUUCGAAUCACCCCCAGCUGAUCGAAUACCACCUCCUGGUCGAAAACAACUAUACAUAUGAUUUCCCUUUUUAGUAAUUCUUAAUGGGCGUCGAAAAUAUGAGCUAACAAAUUUCCCCAAAAAAAUGUUUUUUUCGACACUUGUGAGAAAAAGACAUUUUUUUAGACCUUGUUUCGACGCCUUAAUAACUCUGACAUUGUGCCAAGUGUCCUAAUGUUAGCAAAACUUUUCAGUUUCUCCAACUUGUCUGGUGACGUCAGAGUCAUCAUUAUCUUUUUCCUACCCAUGUCCUUUCAGCCCACAACCGAAUCUUUUCACUCAUCACGUUUCCUAGACUCUAGGAAAUCAUGGGUUGCAUCAUUAAUUGACAUCUCCAUCACACUGUCCAAGGAGGACACGCGUCCCACUAACUUAUCAACCAUUAAUAUUGAUUUGAAAUGCUCUUUCUUCCAAGCGUGCCUAUAAAACUCACCAACUUACCCAUUUCACAUUUUUACACCUUUUAAAUUUCCAAAUACUCUAGCUUUUCUUUCUUCAAACAUUCUUCAACUAAACUCAGACUUCCUUCAAGCUCUAACAAUGACAACCUCAAGCAAAGCCCCUAAGGGAACAAGUGUAUCCGUCAAAACCACCGCCAACAGGACAAAAGCUCCAAACAAGAUCUCCAAACUUCCUCCAUUCUCCAUAUUGUCUGCUCCACUCGCGGUUGGCAACCGACAAUAUACACCAGAGCCCCAAACAGAAGAACAUCGCAAAAUUUACGCUUCUCAGGUACUCAUUCCUGUCUUCUGUUUCUGGAAAGAACUAUGCAUUAUCCAGACCCUUAGCUGAUUUAGAUGCUCAUUCUAGUAAGCUUAGAUAAUUCUUUCCUUCUUAUCACAAAUGUAAACCCAUAGGGAAAGCUAGAAACCCUAGAACUGAAACCACCUCCACCGAAAACCCUAAGGCAUGUGAUAUUAUAGAUCUAAGAUUUAUGAAUAAUGGUUUCAGAGCUUUUCGUGCUACUCCCACCUUUAAAGAUCCUACUGAUCAUCUAAACUGGUUAACUAAAGUUGAUAAAGCUAAGGCUCAGGCUUGGAAAGACAUAGGAAUUUAUUACCUGAUUAUGCUGUCGAAGCUAAAUUUAGAGUACAACACUUCUAUGUUGAUUUCUUCAUUGUACUUCUGGGAUAAUAUACAUUACACUUUCCACCUUCAUUGUGGUAUGGCCACACCAACCCUUUUCGACAUGGCCGUUAUCAUAGGGUUGAAGCCUAUUGGACACACUUAUGACCCCGACAUUGACUUUAUGGACGCAUCGCCUUUUCGACCACCAGGGCAUCAUACUCGACACAUAUUGCUCAUUACCAUGAUAAAGAUACUGACGUUGUCUCCGACGUGGAGCAUAUAGCCUUUUUAGCCUUGUGGUUGUCCCACUCUGUUUUUUGUUCUAAAUCCCAACAAGUUGCCAAGAAAUACCUCACUUUGGCGAACCAACUACACACAGGAUACGAUAUCUGCCCAAGCGAGAUGAUCUUGGCAAGUGUUUAUGAAUCCUUGAGCAAUGGAGUGGCUCAACUGAAGAAUUUGGGGGACAAAGGGAACCUUCUUCUGUCUGGCCCUUUCUGGCUAUUGCAAAUUUGGCCAAAUGCCACUUUCGAGGCCAGCCUGCCAAACAAAGGCCUCGUCAACGAAGAUGCUGAGGAGAUCAAGAACAGAAGGGUCGAAGGCACUAGGCUUGCUCAGCUGACUCCAAAUGAUGAAGGACAAUCCCUCCAACCGACUUUCAUGGGCUAUGUAAUGAUGUUUGCUAAGCUCCAUGUCUUCACUUCGAGCAUGGCCCCAUUUUCCUUCAGGAAGCACGGUCCCAUGUGGUUUACCAGGACCUUCCCAUCUCCAUCCAAUAAAUAGGAGACAUAAUCCUUGCUGAUUUAGGAAGCCUUUUUGACCCCCGGGAUUCUAACCCUUUGACUCAACCCUUCGAAGGUUCAAGUUACUUUGAUAACCUAUCAACCCAACCUUGUCGCUCGACAAUUUGGGUUAGUCCAGGUCCUUCCAAAGUGCCUGUAUGACAAGAAGGGUAGUCUCCUUCUCCACAAUACGGUCCAUAACAAAGCCACUUCCCUCAAACAAAUAGCCAGAUAUACUGGCAGAACCCAACUUACUUCAUUCAACUUCGAGCCCAGCUUCCUCUGGAGUCGAGAGUUUGGGAAAUGGUGGACUAAGUAUUACGUAGAAGAAUUCUGUGAUGUCACCUCUUUCAUUCAACUAUUUGACAAAACUUUUCUUCUUGUGCAGGAAAAGACCAGGAAAGGUACUUAUACGCUUAUAAAAGAAAUUCAAGCUUUUCAAAACUACUUUGAAAAUGCCUAUAGGCCUGAUGAUCUUAGUCGAACCAUCUGCGAAGAAGCUGUCAGGUUUAAAGAAAAGUUUUCAAAGAAAAUGGAAAACCUAAAGAUUCCUUCAUACGUUCCUCAUGAGAAACGCUAUGAAAUGGCUCUUGAAUUGUUUCCCCUAAAGUUUCCUUCACUGCCUAAUGCUGACUUUGGAGUGGCCCUUUCCCCUCCAUUUCCAGUUUAGUCUAUUUGUGGAGAUAACAUUAAAAUACUUCGACAACAAUCUUAGAAAAAAGCUUAGCGGGUGGUUGUGACUAAGCAUACUCUAGACACUUUCGAAGGGCAUCUUCAUAUAGGGAUCGAGGAUGUCCGAAUCGAAUCGGACAUAUAUGAAGGUGUGACACAGGAGGUUUUCCUCGAAGUACAUUCCCUUUUCAAGCCAUUUAAUCUUAGCUAACACUAACUGUUUUAUUUCGUUUUUAAUUAGCUAUCAGGGUUCCACCUAAACCACCAUCAAGAGACCAGUCGAGUCGAAGACUGAAGGAGGUAGCAAGCUGUAAAGGUAUCCUUUUGCUUUCUUGUUUCUUUUGCUUUUGUUGUGUUUUAAUGAUGCUAAUAUUCCCAUUCUUAACUCAGGCUGAUCGAAAACCUCCAGUAAGCCCCCUAAAAAUCCAAAAACCUGCUGACAUCCCCGUCAUAAUGGAAUCUGAUGAAGAGGAUUUGUCGCCGGUUCUCGACCUAACUUCUAGGAAGAGAAAGAAACAGCCAAAGGCCUUUGAUGCUUUGGACCAUCCUCCAGCCAAACUUCCAAGGAAAAGGCCUGCUGCACUUAUUAUCCAAGAGCCUACUCCUAAAGAAAUGGCGAAGAUAGCGACAACCCAAAGUGAGAGCGACAACUCCAGCCCUGGGGUCGAAGGUGACAAGGUAUAAAAAACUUCUCUCUUCCUUACAUAACUUUUCUACCGUGUUUCACCGUUUAUAGGUUUUGAUCCUAUUAUUUUCAGGGUGGCGUAAGCACUUUCAUUCGAACCAAGACUACAACCUCCUUUGCGUCUGCCUCUGCACCAGAUGUUUUAAAUAGUGUUGGCGAACCCACUUAUCGACCAUCAUCUGAAAAGGGGUCUCUAAGUGAGAUUAACCAACCUCCCUCUGGUGACCUUGAUGCUUCACCACCGAAGACUGCCACUCAACAUUCUCAAACCAGCAACUCUGGUCACGAAACUGAUUCAAUCGAAGAAGGUGAGGUUGGAGGCAAUCCAGAACCCAUGGUUGUGGAUGAAUUAGCUGAAGAAAAAGAUGCCCUUGAGGAUGAUUUAAAUAAAGCUGAAGGAACGAAUAAUCCUCAGGGAGAAGGUGGAGAUGUUGAAGAUACGGUUAUGGAGGAGGAGAACAAAGGCAACCCCACCAUAAUCCCUGAUGAUGACGAAGGCUUUGAAGGGGGGGAGGCUGAUGCAGGCGAAGAGCAAGCUCAAACUCAAACUCUUUUCGCUCCAACUAUGGCAGAUGUUCCAACGGCCGGAGUUUUGACGAGUAGUAUUGGGGGUCUUUCUGCAGAAAGAUUGGAUAUUCUGAAACGAAGCCAACCCCUUGAGUAUUUAAAGGCUAUGUUAAGCUGCAGGGAAAGUUCCUUUGACAAAAGCCUUAGUACUUCGGUGUCUGAAGAUCAGCCUUUGAGCACUCCUGCAGACGAAGUACUUCCUAAGAUCAAAGACAAAGUCUUCAAAGUUGACUUGUUUCUGUUGCUGCUAGCUGAUCUCUUUUCCCUUUGACUCUAAAGGCUCUUCUCAGCCAAGUCGACAUGUUGGAAGCUUCUCUUGAAGUGGCCAACGUUAUAUUGGAGAUAGGUACUAUGAUUGACCAAGUUGUUGCAGAUCAUAAGUUGUUACCUCAGCUCACAAGGGAAAUUAUGAAGAAGUCUGGUUCUGAGGCUGCUGCCUGGGAUGCUGCUACCGAAUCUACCAAUAAGGCGAUGGAAUUGGAGCAGACCAAACAGAAAAACAAAGAAAAGAUCGUAGGUCAUAAUCGUAACAUUGCUUCUUGGAGGAAACAAAUAGAAGAACUUCAGGCAAAGAUCUCUGAUGCCGAAAGAAGCAAAGAUCAACUCUUAGAGUUUGAUGAAGCUUUAAUGGCUCAAGAGCUAUCAUUUGGCAUGGAAUUUGUUGAAAAGGCUCGACAACUUGAGUCUGACGUCAAACUCCUGCGAUCGAAGAGAUCUUUAUGCGAGAAACGUCUAGAGCUUCUUAAAGACAAGUAUCUUCAGAUCAAGGCCAACCUUCCUUUCUAGUUUUUUCCUUGUCUAUUUUACAAUGUAAUAAUAAUUUUUCUUUGUAAUGAAUAUUGGUCCUUUUGGCCUUCGAAUUCAAUAUAACCAUUUUGGCAGUUUUACCAUAUUGGCUUUGUUUUACUUAUAUAACUAUUUGUCUCUUAUUUUGAUCUAUUGGAGUACUGGUUUAUAUUUUUUCAAAUAUUUCCCAUUCACUCUUAGAAUCCUUUUAUCUUCAUUAAGCUCUUCGAUUUCAUAGGCACCAUUAGAGAAUACCUGUAAAAUCUGAAAAGGGCCUUCCCACUUUAGGGACCAUUUCCCCAAGGCUCUAUCCUUUCGAUCCAUUGGAAGGAUCACUUUCCAGACCAAGUCUUCAGGCGCAAUUUUUUUGACUUUUACCCUCUUAUUAUAAGAGAUUUCUAUUCUCUUCUUUUUCCGUUUUAACAACUCCAAGGCAUUUAACCUUUCUUCAUCUAAGUCAACCAAUUCAUCCAACAUCAUACUCCAAUAUGAUUCUGUUGGAAGUUCAUCGUGCCUUUGAAUCGUUAUGGAUUGUAGGUGAAUUUCUACUGGUAGAACAACAUCAUGGUCAAAGGUUAGCCGAAAAAGGGUUGACUUAGUGGCCUCUUUGGGAGAGGUAUGACAUGCCCAUAAAAUCUGGUCCAGAGUUUUAUGCCAAUUCAUAGGCUUCUUCCCUACAUGCUUUUUAAUCAAACCAAUGAUCACUUUAUUGGAAGCUUCGACUUGUCCAUUGGCCUGAGCAUAGUAAGGCGUUGAAGUUAACAGUUUGAAGCCCAUUUCUUUGGCAAAUUAUUUCCUUUUCCGACCAGUGAAUACUAACCCUUGAUUCGUUGUAAUCGUCUCUGGGAUUCCAAAUCUAUAAAUAAUGUGCUUUUGGAUAAACUCGAUUACAUCUUCUUGAUUCACAUUUGGUAAGAGUAUAACUUCAAUCCACUUAAUAAAACAAUCAACUCCCACCAAUAUAUAUCUUUGAUUUUUAGAUGAUGGAGGUCGAAUUUCUCCAAUCAAAUCUAAAGCCCAACCUCUAAAUGGCCAAGGCUUGAUGAUAGAAUGUAAUUCACUUGCAGGGACGUGUUGUAUGCCUGCAUGUAUCUGACAUUCUUAGCAUUCCUUUGCGAAUUCAAUACAAUCUUUCAAAAUAGUAGGCCAAUACGUCCCUUGGCGAAAUAAAAUCCAUUUCAUCUUAUGACCAACUUGGUGUGCCCCAAACGCUCCACUAUGUACAGUCGAAAGGGCUAAGUACGCAUCUGACUCACUGAGGCACUUAAUUUAUUCAUAUAAAUUAUUAAUUUAUCUAUUUUUUUUAGCUUUGAAAAUCGGUUUUGGAGAUCUUAAAAUCAAUUAGUUUAAUUUACUUCCACUCAUAUAAUCAGUGAAUAUUGAUUGAUUCCACCGUUGUUCUUGCUUAGUCGCAUUCUUACUGAAAUCAAGCUUGUUAAUGACAUGAAAUUCCAUCUCUAAAAUUAUUCGUGUAUCUGGUCAUUUGGACUCAAGAGAUAUUUGGUAUCAUAUCUUCUAGUUCGAUAACCAAGAAGAGAAUAUGUGAACAUAUUUGCUAAAUAGUUGCCUAUGCAUACUGUCUAAAGACUAUCCCUUCUUACCAUAUGGCUAGUGGUUACACAUUGUCUGAUGAUCAAGUUCUUUACUAAAUAAAGUUCUUUACCUGAAAACUUCGUAUUAGCUGCAACAUUUUUGCGUCAACCCUGACUGCGAUGCUAAUAGCGUCAACCUUAUGUCACCAAAGGCGGACACUAAUAGGUUAAAUCAUUUCUUUUAAUUUUUAAAUGUCUUUAACAAUUGCGUUGGCAUGAGUUGACGAUAAAUAAUUUAUUUAUUUAAUUAUUAAUUUAUCUAUUUUUUUAUUUAUAACAGAUAAAUGUUUAUAUGUUUAACUUUUUACUUAUUGCAAUACAAGCUUCAAUCAAGAUUGACGCUAAAGUAAUUAUAUUGGUAAAAACAAUUCAUUUCCGCCCAUAAUUGUCGUUUGCCUCCUUCUUUUCUGUCUUACUUAUUUAUUUGUGGUAGUGUCAGCUCUGACCGACGCUAAGGCAAAAGCCAAUAUUAUUUUUUUAUUUAUUUAUUUGUUGCACUAAUUGUGACGGACAAAGUCAACGCUAAAAUAAUUUUUUUGUGGGCAAAAAUUCGUUUGCACCACCUUUUUAGUUUGCCUCCUUUUUAUUUAUUAUUUUAAAUUAAGAAAAUAAAAUAAAAACAAAAGUAAUUAAAAUGAACCCCUUUUUUUAGAAUCAAAUAAAACUAAAAUAAAACCAAAUAAAUCUAAAUCUUGAAUUAAAUUCAUAAAAAAAAAUUUAAAGUAAAACCAAAACUAUAAAUUAAUAAAAUAAAUCCAAAAUUAAAACUAAAUUAAAACCAAAUUAAAUAAAAUAAAAACUAUAAAUUAAAACCAAAAUUAUAAAUUAAUAAAAUUAAAUUAAAAAUAUAAAUUUUAAAAAAAUGGAAAUGAAAAAAAAACAAAAAAGGAAAAAUGAAAAAUAUAUANNNNNNNNNNNNNNNNNNNNNNNNNNNNNNNNNNNNNNNNNNNNNNNNNNNNNNNNNNNNNNNNNNNNNNNNNNNNNNNNNNNNNNNNNNNNNNNNNNNNNNNNNNNNNNNNNNNNNNNNNNNNNNNNNNNNNNNNNNNNNNNNNNNNNNNNNNNNNNNNNNNNNNNNNNNNNNNNNNNNNNNNNNNNNNNNNNNNNNNNNNNNNNNNNNNNNNNNNNNNNNNNNNNNNNNNNNNNNNNNNNNNNNNNNNNNNNNNNNNNNNNNNNNNNNNNNNNNNNNNNNNNNNNNNNNNNNNNNNNNNNNNUGACGAUAAACCCCCCUUACCUGAGUUAAUCCGGCGAAUCUCUAAGCUCAAGCCCUUCCUUCUUCAACCUUCAGCCCUCGCUCUGUCUCUUUGCCCUUUUCCUCUUCUUUCACGAUCGUUCUCUGUUUCACGUAAAACCUUUUCUUACCAAAUGGGAUAUUUCCUUAAGUCCAACUUAUAUAUUUUCCAAAAUAAUAAUCCAAUAAUAAUAAUAAUAAAAUUUCCAAUUAUUUAAUUAAAUUAAUAAAUAAAUUAUUAACUCAAUUCAAAUAAUUAUUUUAUUAUUAUCGGGGUGUUACACUAUGCACGCUAAUUCACCUAGCAUGCAAACAUCAAAAACAGUCCAAAUGACUAACAUCACUAAUUCCUCACCAUGGGAAUUAGCUACCACCAUAAAGGCCACAAUAUGCAUGCUAAUUACCUAGCAAUGCAACAUCACAACAAAAUCCACAAUGGACCGAUGCUCACUCUCUAAGCCAUAAAACAGUCCAUUCACAACACAUGCAUAAUAUACACAUUCACAACAUUAUGCAUACUAUCAUACAUUAUCAACACAUGUAUCAACACAUCAUAUCAUGUCAAAUAAUUAAACACAGGAUUAGCACACUCUACUAAUACCUAUACUGCUCAAAACAGCGGGAAAUAAUCCCUACUAUAUCACACACCGAUAUAGGCAACCAUCAAUUAGGCACACAACAUUUUAAUUAACAAUUUUUCCACUCUGCAACAGUGUUAACCGGUUAACGCCCUGGGUUAACCGGUUAACGCAGCACAAACACGCUUCCUGCCCAAAACUUAACAGUGUUAACCGGUUAACGCCCUGGGUUAACCGGUUAACGCAGCACAAACAGCCAUAUCUCAGCAAUCACAACAGUGUUAACCGGUUAACACCCUGGGUUAACCGGUUAACGCAGACAAAACAGCAAUUAUUCAAAAUACAUAACAGUGUUAACCGGUUAACACCCUGGGUUAACCGGUUAACGCAGACAAAACAGCAGUUCCUGCGCUAACACAAGGCAGAAUGCAGAAUUCUCCGCAUUUUCCGCCGUUGGAGGACUUCCGGACCUCCGAUUCCAAUUCCGUAAAAAGCUAUACGUUCGGAAAAUCACAACUCACCCAAACACAGAUUCAAUUACAGCCUAAACACAGUUUAUCCAACAUAAUUUUCCAGCAUUCAUAAUCCCAAUUAGGGUCAAUUCAACGGUUUAUCACUACCCAUUACAUGCUAACCCAUAAUACCCAUUAAACGACGAUAAACCCCCCUUACCUGAUUAAUCCGGCAAAUCUUUGAGCUUCAAGCUUUUCCUCCUUCAACCUUUGCCCUUGCUCUUCCUCUUUGCCCUUUCCCCACUUUCCACUUUUCAGCCGCUUCUCUGUUUCACGUAAAACUCUUUUUACCAAAUGGGAUUCUUUUUCCUUACUUCACACUUAUAUAUUUUCCAAUAAUUAUUAUUCCGAAAUAAUAAUAAUAAUCCAAUAAUUCCAAUUAUUUAACUAAAUUAAUAAAUAUAAUAUUAAUUUAAAUCAAAUAAUUAUCUUAUUUUUAUUGGGGUGUUACAGCUCCCACUCCUCCAUCAGGAAAAAUGAAGAUACAGUUGUUCCCCAUUGUAAUGUUUAACAAUCUUUGUCACCGAAGGUUCAUUCUUCAUCGCUAAUUUAACAAUCGCUCAAAUCUAAAGUAGUUUCUAAAAAAGUUGAAGAUUAUUAACUUUGAAAAUUAGUUUUGGAGAUCUGAAAAUCAUUUAGUUUAAUUUCCUUUUAGUCAUAUAAUCAAUGAAUAUUGAUUGAUUCCACCAUUGUUCUUGCUUAGUCGCAUUCUUAUUGAAAACAAUAUUGUUGAUGACAUGAAAUUCCAUGUCUAAAAAUUAUUUGUGUAUCUGAUCAGUUGGACUCAAGAGAUAUCUGGUAUCAUAUCUUAUGGCUCGAUAACCAAGAAGAGAAUAUAUGAACACAUUUGGUAAAUCAUUGCCUAUGCAUAAUGUCUAAAGACCAUCUUUUCUUACCAUAUGACUAGUGGUUACACAUUGUCUGAUGUUCAAGUUCUUUACUAAAUAAAGUUCUUUUCAAGAAAACAGCGUAUUAGCUGCAACAUUUUAGCGUCAACCUUAACUACGACGCUAAUAGCAUCAACCUAAUGUCACAAAAGGCAGACAAUUAUAGGUUAAAUCAUUUCUUUUAAUUUUUAAAUGUCUUUAACAAUUGCAUCGGCAUGAGAUAACGAUACAUAACUUAUUUAUUUAAUUAUUAAUUUAUCUAGUUUUUUAUUUAUAACAGGUAGAGGUUUAUAUGUUUACCUUUUUAUUUAUUGCAAUACAAGCGGAAGUCAACACCGACGCUAAUGUAAUUAUAUCGGUAAAAACAAUUCAUUUUCGCCCACAAUUGUCGUUUGCCUCCUUCUUUUCUAUUUUAUUUAUUUAUUAGUGGUAGUGUUAACUCUGAUUGACGCUAAGGCAAUAACCAAUAUUAUUUAUUUAUUGCACUAAUUGCGACGGACAAAGUCGACGCUAAAAUAAACUUUUCAUUGGAAAAAAUUUGUUUCCCACGCCUUUUUAAUUUGCCUCCUUUUUAUUUAUUAUUUUCAAUUAAUAAAAUAAAAUAAACUAAAAACAAAAGUAAUUAAAACUAACUACUUUUUUUUAGAAUCAAAUAAAACUAAAAUAAAAUCAAAUAAAAAUAAAACUUGAACUAAAUUCAUAAAAAAAAUAAUAAAAUAAAACCAAAAUUAAAAUUAAAUUAAAAACAAAACUAUAAAAAAAACAAAAAAAGGAGAAGCUCUUCUACAUUAAACGUACAGUUUCCCUAAAACUGUUUCAAAGCUCUAACAUAAAAAUUUCUUCGAAUUAUUUCAUCUCUCUCUCUCUCGUACACACAUAUUCUCCCUCUCUUUCACUCUCGUUCAUUAUCGCUCUCAAUCAUCUAUCAGUAAAAAUGAAGAUAAAGUCAUUCCCCACUCUAAUGUUUCACAAUCAUUGUAAUCUAAGGUUCAUUCAUCAUCGCUAAUUUCACAAUCGCUCAAAUCUAAAGGAGUUUCUAGAAAAGUUGAAGAUUAUUAGCUUUGAAAAUCGGUUUUGGAGAUCUUAAAAUCAAUUAGUUUAAUUUACUUCCACUCAUAUAAUCAGUGAAUAUUGAUUGAUUCCACUGUUGUUCUUCCUUAUUCGCAUUCUUAUUGAAAUCAAGCUUGAUGAUGAAAUGAAAUUCCAUGUCUAAAAAUUAUUUGUGUAUCUGAUCAUUUGGACUCAAGAGAUAUCUGGUAUCAUAUCUUCUAGCUCGAUAACCAAGAAGAGAAUAUGUGAACACAUUUGGUAAAUCAUUACCUAUGCAUAGUGUCUAAAGACUAUCCCUUGUUACCAUAAGGCUAGUGGUUACUCAUUGUCCAAUGUUCAAGUUCUUUACUAAAUAAAGUUAUUUACCAGAAAAUAGUGUAUUAGCUGCAACAUAUUUGCGUCAGCCCUGACUGCGAUGCUAAUUGCGUUAGCCUUAUGUCACCAAAGUCGGUCACUAAAAGGUUAAAUCAUUUCUUUUAAUUUUUAAAUGUCUUUAACAAUUGCAUCGGCAUGAGCUGACGAUACAUAAUUUAUUAAUUUAAUUAUUAAUGUAUCUAUUUUUUUAUUUAUAAAAGAUAAACGUCUAUAUGCUUAACUUUUUAUUUAUUGCAAUACAAGCGACAAUCAAGGCCGACGCUAAUGUAAUUAUAUUGGUAAAAACAAUUCAUUUUCGCCCAUAAUUGUCAUUUGCCUCAUUCUUUUCUGUCUUAUUUAUUUAUUAGGGGUAGUGUCAGCUCUGACCGACGCUAAGGCAAAAGCCAAUAUUAUUUAUUUAUUUAUCUAUUCCAUUAAUUGUGACGGACAUAGUCGACGCUAAAAUAAUUUUUUUAUGGGAAAAAUGUUUUUCCCCCAUCUUCUUAGUUUGCCUCCUUUUUAUUUAUUAUUAAAAAUUAAUAAAAUAAAAACAAAAUUAAUUAAAACAAACUCCAUUUUGUUAGAAUCAAAUAAAACUAAAAUAAAACCUAAAUUAAAACUAAAUUAAAACCGAAACUAAAAAGUAAAAUCAAAUUAAUUAAAAUAAAAACUAUAAAUUUAAACCAAAAUUAUAAAUUAAUUAAAUUAAUUAUAUUAAAUUAAAAUUAUAAACUAAAAUAAAAUAAAAAAUAAAAAUGAAAAAAAAAACAAAAAAGGGAGAAGAUCUUCUACAUUAAACGUACAGUUUCUCUAAAACUAUUUCAAAGCUCUUACAUAAAAAAUUCUUCGAAUUCUUUCAUAUCUCUCUCUCUCUCUCUCUCUCACACACACACACACACACACACAAACUCUCUCUCUCUCUCUCUCUCUCUCUCUCUCUCUCUCUCUCUUUCUCUCUCGUUCAUUAUCACCUUCAAUCCUCCAUCAGGAAAAAUGAAGAUAUAGUCAUUCCCCACUCAAAUGUUUCACAAUCUUUGUAAUCAAAGGUUCAUUCAUCAUCGCUAAUUUCACAACCGCUCAAAUUUAAAGGUGUUUCUAGAAAAGUUGAAGAUUAUUAGUUUUGAAAAUCGGUUUUGGAGAUCUGAAAAUCAAUUAGGUUAAUUUAGUUCCACUCAUAUAAUCAGUGAAUAUUGAUUGGUUCCACAAUUGUUCUUGCUUAGUUGCAUUCUUACUGAAAUCAAGCUUGAUGAUGACAUGAAAUUCCAUGUCUAAAAAUUAUUUUUGUAUUUGUUCAUUUGGACACAAGAGAUAUUUGGUAUCAUAUCUUCUAGCUCGAUAACCAAGAAGAGAAUAUGUGAACACAUUUGGUAAAUCAUUGCCUAUGCACAGUGUCUUAAGACCAUCCCUUGUUACCUUAUGGCUAGUGGUUACACAUUGUCCGAUGUUCAAGUUCUUUACUCAAUAAAGUUCUUUACCAGAAACAACGUAUUAGAUGCAACAUUUUAGCGUCAACCCUAACUACGACAGUAAUAGCGUUAACAUUAUGUCAUCAAAAGCGGACACUAAUAAGUUAAAUCAUUUCUUUUAAUUUUUAAAUGUCUUUAACAAUUGCGUCAGCCAUAGAUGCCGAUACAUAAAUUAUUUAUUUAAUCAUUGAUUUAUCUAUUUUUUUAUUUAUAAUAGAUAAAUGUCUAUAUAUUAAACAUUUUAUUUAUUGCAAUACAAGCGACAAUCAAGGUUGACGCUAAUGUAAUUAUAUUGGUAAAAACCAAUCAUUUCCGCCCAUAAUAUUUGUUUGCCUCCUAUUUUUUUUGUCUUAUUUAGUUUAGUGGUUUCGUCAGCUCUGACCGACGCUAUGGGAAAAUCCAAUAUUUUGUAUUUAUUUAUUGCAUAAAUUGCGAUCGACAUAGUCGACGCUAAUAUAAAUUUUUUAUGGGAAAAAAUUCAUUUCCCCCACCUUUUUAGUUUGCCUCCUUUUUAUUUAUAAUUUUAAAUUAGUAAAAUAAAAUAAAAUAAAAACAAAAGUAAUUAAAACUAACUCAUUUUAUUAAAAUAAAAUAAACCUAAAAUAAAACCAAAUAAAUAUAAAACUUGAAUUCAAUUCAUAAAACAAAUUGUAAAAUAAACCAAAACUAAAAAUUAAUAAAAUAAAACCAAAAUUAAAACUAAAUUAAAACCAAAACUAUAAAUUAAAACCAAAACUAUAAAUUAAAACCAAAUUAAUUAAAAUAAAAACUAUAAAUUAAAACAAAAACUAAAAAUUAAUAAAAUAAAAUAAAAAAUAAAAAUAAAAAAUAAAAAAAUGGAAAAUGAAAAAACAAAUAAAAAAGGGAGAAGCUCUUCUACUUUAAACGUAUAGUUUUCGUAAAAUUGUUUUAAAGCUCCUACCUAAAAAAUUCUUCGAAUUCUUUCUGAUCUCUCUCUCCCCCCCUCUCUCUCUCUAUCUGAGAGAGAGAGAGAGAGAGAGAGAGAGAGCCUCCCUCUCUCGUUCAUUAUCACUCUCAAUCCUCCAUCAGCAAAAAUGAAGAUAGACUCUAUUCCCACUCUAAUGUUUAAUAAUCUUUGUAACCGAAGGUUCAUUCAUCAUCCAUAAUUUCCCAAUCUCGCAAAUCUAAAGGAGUUUCUAGAAAAGUUGAAGAUUAUUAGCUUUGAAAAUCGGUUUUGGAGAUCUGAAAAUCGAUUAGUUUUAAUUUACUUCUUCUCCUAUAAUCAGUUAAUACUGAUUGAUUCCACCAUUGUUCUUGCUUAGUCGCAUCCUUACUAAAAUCAGGCUUGAUGAUGACAUGAAAUUCAAUGUUCAAAAAUUAUUUUUGUAUUUGAUCAUUUGGACCAAGAGAUAUCUAGUAUCAUAUCUUAUUCCUCUAUAACCAAGAAGAGAAUAUGUGAACACGUUUUGUAAAUCAUUGCCUAGGCACACUGUCUAAAGACCAUCCUUUGUUACCAUAUGGCUAAUGGUUACACAUUGUCAUAUGUUCAAGUUCUUUACAAGAAAACAAUGUUUUAGCUGUAACAUUUUAGUGUCAUCCUUAACUGUGAAGCUAAUAGUGUCAACCUUAUGUCUCCAAAGGUGGACGCUAAUAGGUUAAAUCAUUUUUUAAUUUUAAAUGUCUUUAACAAUUGUGUCGGCCAUAACUGACGCCACAUAAUGUAUAUAUUAAAUUAUUAAUUUAUCUAUUUUUUUAUUUGUAAUAGAUAAAUGUCUAUAUAUUUAAUUUUUUAUUUAUUGCAAUAUAAGCGACAGUCAAGGCCAACGCUAAAUUAUAUUGGUAAAAAUAAUUCAUUUCUGCCCACAAAUGUCGUUUGCCUCCUUUUUUUUAUGUCUUAUUUAUUUAUUAUUACUAUCAUCAGCUCUGAUCAACACAAAGGCACAAGCCAAUAUUUUUUAUUUUAUUUAUGUAUUUAUUUAUUGCAUUAAUUGCAACAAAUAUAGUCGAUGCUAAAAUAAAUUUUUUGUUGGAAAAAAUUCAUUUCCUCCACAUUUUUAGUUUGCCUAUGUUUUAUUUUUUAUUUUAAUUUAAUAAAAUAAAAUAAAAUAAAAGCAAAAGUAAUUAAAACUAACUCAUUUUUUUAGAAUCAAAUAAAACUAUAAAAUUUUAAAAUAAAACAAAAUAAAUGUAAAAUUUAAAUUAAUUUCUAAUUUUUUUUCUAAAAUAAAACCAAAACUAUAAAUUAAUGAAAUAAAACCAAAAUUAAAACCCAAACUAUAAACUAAAACCUUAUAAAUUAAUAUAAAAACUAUAAAUUAAAACCAAAAUUAUAAAUUAAUAAAAUAAAACUAAAAAUAUAAAUUAAAAAUAAAAUAAAUGGAAAUGAAAAAACACAAAAAGGGAGAAACUCUUCUACAAUACACGUAUAGUUUUCCUAAAAUUGUUUCAAAGCUUUUACCUAAAAAAUUAUUCGAAUUCUUUCAUCUCUCUCUCUCUCUCUCUCUCUCUCUUUCAUUAUCGCUCUCAAUCCUCCAUUGGGAAAAAUGAAGAUACAGUCGUUCCCCAUUCUAAUGUUUCACAAUCUUUCAUAACCGAAGAUUCAUUCAUCAUCACUAAUUUCACAAUCGCUCAAAUAUAAAGGAUUUUAGGGAAGUUGAAGCUUAUUAGCUGUGAAAAUUGGUUUUGGAGUUUUGAAAAUCGGUUAGUUUAAUUUAUUUCUUCUCCUAUAAUCACUAAAUACUAAUUGACUCCACUAUUGUUCUUACUUAGUCGCAUUCUUAUUGAAAUCAAGCUUGAUGAUGACAUGAAAUUCCAUGUGCAAAAAUUAUUUUUGUAUCUGAUCAUUUGGACUCAAGAGAUAUUCGGUAUCAUAUCUUCUGGCUCGGUAACCAAGAAGAGAAUAUGUGAACACAUUUGGUAAAUCAUUUUCCUGACAUAGUGUCUAAAGACCAUCCCUUGUUACCAUAUGGCUAGUGGUUACACAUUGUCCUAUGUUCAAGUUCUUUACAAGAAAACAACGUUUUAGCUACACCAUUUUAACGUCAUCCCUGACUAUGACGCUAAUAGUGUCAACCUUAUGUCACCAAAGGUGGAUGCUAAUAAGUUAAAUCAUUUUUUAGUUUUUAAAUGUCUUUAACAGUUGCGUCGGCCAUAACUGACGCCACAUAAUUUAUUUAUUUAAUUAUUAAUAUAUCUAUUUUUUUUAACACAUAAAUGUCUAUUUACCUAAUUUGUAUUUAUUGCAAUACAAAUGGCAAUCAAAGUCGAUACUAAUGUAAUUCUAUUGGUAAAAAAAAUCCGCCCAUAAUUUUCGUUUGGCUCCUAUUUUUAUUUUUUUGUCGAAUUUAUUUAUUAAUGGUAGCGUCGGUGUUGACUGACGCUAAGCAUAAUUCACUAUUUUUUAUUUUAUUUAUUUAUUAUAUUAAUUGCGAUGGACACAGCCGAUGCUAAAAUAAUUUUAUUGGUGAAAAAAAUUCAUUUCCCCUACCUUUUUAGUUUGCCUCCCUUACAAUUAUUAUUUUAAAUUAAUAAAAUAAAAUAAAAACAAAAGUAAUUAAAUAAAACUCCAUUUUUUAGAAUAAAAUAAAAAUGUAAAUUAGUAAAAUAAAAUAAAUAAAUCUAAAACUUAAGUUAAAUUCAUAAAAAGAAAUUGUAAAAUAAAAACCAAAUCUGUAAAUUAAUAAAAUAAAACUAAAAUUUAAAAUAAAUUAAAACCAAAUAAAUUAAAUAAAAACAAUAAAUUAAAACCAAAAUUAUAAAUUAAUAAAAUAAAACUAAAAAUAUAAAUUAAAAAUGAAAUAAAUUAAAAAUAGAAAAAAAGAUUUUUUUACAAAAAUAACCAAAUUUUUCAAAGAAAUUCCCAAAAUACCCCAUGGUUUCAAAAAAACUCUCAAACUACCUCACUUUUAGGAGGAGGCGCCAAUUCAAUUGGCGACUCCUCUUAAAAAUUGAAUGGAGACGCCAAUUGGUUUGGCUAGGGCACAUGCCCUAGCUAAUCCAAUUGGCGCCCAUGUGUAUUUUUACAAAGGAGGCACCAAUUGGAUUGGCUCCUAAGUGUAAAAUGCAUUUUUUUUGGCUAAAUGGUCUACGUGAUACAUAAUUUUGAAAUAAGACCAAUUGAUAUUAAUAAAAUUUUCCGUUUACGCAAAAAAGCCUAAUGGUGAUGACCGGGAUCACCUAACCGACCUCCGGUCCCACAUCCCCUAGCUACCCUAACCCACGUUGAUGAUUCACUACUGGUGUUUGAGCAUCUGAGGGGCGAAGAGCGUCACUACCAACUACAGGAGAUGGCGUGUUGAGGUAGUUAGACAAGUCGACAUAAUCUUCAGUAUGCAUCAAGGGUGUACCGCCGUAGCUGAGUACAUGACCCAUGCCAGAGCAGUUGGGUUGUGUUUGACUCAUUGGUGGGCGACCGGGACGGUUGAAGGGAGACAUGGGUGUGAAUGAUGCGUCGAGGAAAGGUUGGAAAGGUUGUUGGGGUGUUUGGUAGAGAUAAGGUUGUUGGAGGUUUUGGUUUUGUGAGGUUUGGGCUUCUUGGCUAUGGUAGGAAGAGGGGCGGUUGGUGUUGAAUGAUCGUUGGGUGUUCUGGCUAAGGAGGCUUUGGUAGGGUGAUGUGGUGGGUGUGAAGCGAUGUUGGGUCUCAGGUUGAUGGUCAAUUUGUUGGUGGUGGUAUGGGGUACGCUCUUGGUAUUGGGGUUGGGUGUAUGACAUGUUUUGGUUAUAUGUUUGUGUGUGGGUUGAACGGAGCUUUUGACGGACAGGGGGUUGUGUGUAUCCGGUCUGACAAUGUUGUUGGGGGUUUGAUGUUGAGGUGUCAGGUGUGUAAGUUUGUUGGCGUGGGUCGUACAGGUACAUAUCCUCGGCGAUAAACUGAACACCAACCGAUCUGUACCAAGCCAUAUAAGUACGACUUAGUUUUUCUUCAUUUGACAUGACUGAGUCAGUUAAGACAUGGUCAUGGCGGUGCUUCCAUUUGCGACACUCCGAUCUUGCGAAGCUUUGCCAUGGAUUGAAGUUCCAUUGGUCGUUAACUUUGCACAUAUGCCAUUCUCCUAGGCUUGCUGGGGGAUCUGGGAUGUUUUGGGGCAUACCGAACUACAACUUCACAUGAUCACUGUUGUGCAUCUCCACAAUUAUGAAUCGUAUUAUCGGUGUGCAUGCAAUUCAUAUGUCUGCGUCUUCAGAGUUGACCUCAUGGUCAUGAUCCAAAUUAAGGUAUGGACGCCAAAUGAGCUGAAAUGUGAAAGAAAAUAGGAUUAUAAUCUAGGUAGAAGAAGUUAACAAAUUAUAACGAAAUAAUGAGGUUAUUAUCCUUACGUCUUUCGGUCGAAGGUGAUCCAACAGAUUGCAAUACUAAGUAAUACAGUGUCUAGGACAUCUGUUAUAACUCAGACCACGUGCAAACCAUCUACACCAAAAAGGUAAAAAUAUUAGUUAGAGAUAAUAAUCUUUAAAGAAGUAAGUAAAUAUAUAGCAAUUUAAAUAACUUACUUUUGUGCAUACGGAAAUGUGAAAGGGUUGUUGUUGACGGGUGUUAGGGACGGUAGUCUUGACCAACCCCAUGCUUGGAGAAAAACAGCACAUCCAGAAAAUGUAGAUGUGUCUUUCUGUGAGUUUUUGCACAAGGAGCUAUAGAGAUAGGCUAGACAAGCAGAUCCCCAAUUGUAACUUCCUAUUCUAUCUACAUGUCUAAGUAAAGGUAAAUACAUAAUAUGCACGCUAGAACCACUACCUUCGGGAAAUAAAAAAGAACCUAAAAGCAUAAUGUAACACCUAGUUUUUAUUAUUCGAGCAUCUUCAGCAGAAUGCUCAUCUAAGUAUAAACUGUUAUAGUAUGACUUAAGGCGUGAAAGGUGUAUACCUUGACCUCUUGAGUUAUCAUCUAGCAAAUCAGUCUCCAAGAGGUCCAUGCAAAUUGAAUUUGCAUAGUUGGUUUUACCAUUUACAGCCUUACCUUUAAUGGGAAGUCCCAAAAGCAUGUAGACGUCUUCUAGCUUCACGGUACACUCACCAGUUGGGAACCAAAAUGUGUGUGUCUCAGGAUGCCAUCUUUCGCAUAAAGUAAGAAUGAAUUUGUUGUCUAUCGACCAAGACAAAAUCUUGCUUAUAUGACCAAAACCGGCGAGUUCAACAUAAGGUUGAAUCAUUGGGUCCAUAUGGACAUAUUCGUGGACCCGAGUCCGAAACCUUGAAACAUCCUAUAAAAUAAAGAACAAAAAACUUUACUAAGUUGGUAUGUUAUUAAAAGGGACUCUAUUAAAACAAAUAACAAAAGAAUAAAACGCUUACAUAAGUUGCUAUGUUUGCAACCAUUCCUCUAUGUGAUUCGCCCAUUGUGAGGAUAGACAUUUUGUCGGGGAUGAAAGCAGUUGGUGCAGAUGAAACUAUAAGAAGUUGUUGCAGAUGAAAUUGUAGAAGAAGUAUUGUAGAAGAAGUAAUGAGUGAUGGUGUGGAAGAAGUGUUAAUGGUGUGGAUGUAUUUAUAGGAAAAUUAAUUGGAGCAUGAAAAGUUGUGUUUGCAUGUGGUCUCCAAUUGAAUUGGCGCCCAUGUGCAUUUUGUACAUGGUGUCGCCAUUCAAAUUGGCGCCUCCAUAGGGACAUGCAUGACACAUCUAGGUCUGAUUGCUUGGUUUCGAGGUCCGCAUGCAUGCAAGACAAGGUGUCGCCAAAUGGAUUGGCGCCCAUGUGCAAGGAAUGAAUGGGGGCCAAUUCGAUUGGAGUGUGCGUCUGCAUGUGUGACACGUGGCUGUCCUCUCUCUUGCAUGCUGAACAUGUCACUUUUUAGUAGCUUACAUGAUUGACACAUCAUUUCGGACUAGCUUGCAUGCGUGACACAUCACUUCAAACUAGCUUGCAUGUGAGACACAUCACUCACCUAUUUAAGUGUCUUACUAUCAACAUCCAAGACUCAACCCACAUUCAUCUGCAGCAAGAAAAUAAUUUUCAUCUGCACAAUGUCAUCUUCAUCAAAAUACAGUGUCAACGUUCACCGCAACGGUGAAACAUACGAGUCUGAGUUAUACGGUUUUUGUUUUCGAAACACCGAUAACAUUAGACUUACUAUCAAGAGAAAUGAAACCUUCUUGCAUUUGAAAAAAAGAAUACAAUCCUGUAUAGGAUAUGGUAUUGUGUCAAAGAUCACGUAUCAAAAUCCAAUACUUUUUUAGAAUAGUCAGUGCAAGUUUUUCCCGUUUAAGGUACGGGACGAUGAAGAUGUUGAGUACAUGUUUGUUAGUCAUGAACAUUCAGGCUGCAACUGUAUUGAGUUUUAUAUUACUCUUCAACCAUGUAUACCAUCUCAGCAGUCUCAAAUAACCAAUCAGGAUGAAUCUGGUGAAUUUGAUCCACAAUGGUCAGAUGACGUCAACCCAGAAGCAGAAGCAGAAGUGGACGUCGUUGAUGAAGAAGAAGAGGAGACCGAGAUACAGGUUGAUCACAUGCUGAACAAUGACAUUGAAGAUGAUGAUCAACCACCUAAUGGUCAGAUGACGUCAACCCAGAAGCAGAAGCAGAAGUGGACGUCGUUGAUGAAGAAGAAGAGGAGACCGAGAUACAGGUUGAUCACAUGCUGAACAAUGACAUUGAAGAUGAUGAUCAACCACCGGCAAUACCUCCUAGUCAUGUCUACAAUCUGCCUCAACAUAUGACAAAGAUUGAUCUGCAUGAUGAUGAAACAUCUAACAAUGUUUUCUAUAACCCGUAUCCACGAUCAUAAGGCGAAUUAAAGGUGGGGGACAUGUUUCGUAACAAAGAAGAAUGUGUGCGAGCUAUCAAAAAAUUCCACAUGAACAACUCUGCUGAUUUUACAGUGAAACGCACUGAUUCGAGAAGGUAUGUCAUUGAAUGUCGUAACAUCCUUUGUAAGUUUCGGUUGGCUGCGUCUUACAAAAAGAAAAAUGAGUCUUGGGAGAUCGCUUCAAUAGACUCAUCUCACAGUUGCAUUGCAACUAACGUUGAACAAGAUCACCGUAAACUAAGUGUUGCAUUGAUAUGUCAAGACAUUCUGCCGUUGGUUAAUAAAGACCCAUCAGUGAAAGUGAGUAUAAUUAUAUCUCAUAUCAGAAUAACAUAUAAUUAUACUCCAUCUUACAAGAAAGCCUAGAUUGCAAGGACAAAGGUUGUUGAAUAGGUAUUCGACAACUGGGAGGGUUCAUACAAAGAAUUGCCACGGUUUUUAUGGGCACUAAAAACAUAUGUCCCUGGAACUAUGGCAAUUAUGGAGACAUUUCCAGCAAUGAUGCCAGACGGAACCUGUGUUACAGGUAAUAGAAUCUUUCACUGUCUCUUUUGGGCGUUUGACCCAUGCAUCAAAGGUUUUGCAUUCUGCAAACCUAUUAUUCAAAUUGAUGGCACUUGGUUAUACGGAAAAUACAAGGGUACUUUGCUUAUGGAGGUUGCACAAGAAAACAACAACAAUGUCUUUCCCAUUGCCUUUGCUCUGGUUGAAGGUGAAACGGCUGGUGGAUGGGGUUUUUUCGUUCGACAUCUCAGAAUGCAUGUGGCUCUACAAGCCAAUCUCUGUUUGAUUUUUGAUAGACAUGCUGCCAUUGAGAGUGCCUACAACAACCAUGACAACGAACGACAUGAUCCUCCUUCUACCCAUGUCUAUUGCAUUAGACAUAUUGCACAAAACUUCAUGCGUGCAAUAAAAGAUAAGAAUCUUUGAAAGAAGGUGGUGAAUGCUGGGUAUGCUCUAACUCAACCGUAAUUUCAAUAUUAUCGUGAUGAAAUUAGUUUGUCUAAUGAAGACGCAGGGAGAUGGAUAAAUAACAUACCAGUAAAGCAGUGGACAAGGGAAUUUGACAGAGGUUGUCGAUGGGGCCACAUGACAACAAACCUUGUGGAAUGCAUGAACAGGGUAUUCAAAGGAAUUAGAAGUCUUCCAAUAACCGCCUUGGUAAGAUCGACCUAUUAUAGGUUGGCUUCUAUGUUCGUAACCAGAGGUGAAAGAUGGCGUGCGGUCUUAAUGUCUGGGCAAGUAUUCAGUGAGUGUUGCAUGAAAUUCAUGAAAGAGGAGAGCAUCAAAGCUAGCACACACGCUGUAGCAGUCUUUGACCGUCAUAGGCAAAAUUUUAGCUUCCAGGAAACAAUGGACCACAACGAGGGGAGACCAAAUUUAGCAUAUGUUGUUAAACUAAACAGAAGUUGGUGCGACUGUGGAAAAUUCUAUGCCUUCCGCAUUCCUUGCUCCCAUGUCAUUGCAACAUGCAUAUAUACUCGUCAAGACGCUUACAACCAUUUAUCUGAUGUGUACAAGGCCGUCACCGUCAUGAAUGUAUAUAAUAAAAGCUUCUCGGUACUACCAAUGGAGGAAUACUGGCCUCCAUAUGAAGGUGAUAUAGUUUGGCACAAUGACGAGAUGCGUAGAAAGAAAAAAGGAAGGCCAAACAGCACACGUAUCAGGACAGAAAUGGAUUUGACAAAUGAAAUGAUAAGAUUAUGUAGUAUUUGUCGUCAACCAGGACACAACAAAACACAACUGUCCCAAUCGAGGAGCAUCAUCUGGGUCAUAAGCUUUUUGUAACAUUGUAUUUCUGUAACCUUCAAUCAUUAUAUAUCAUAAAUUUUUUGUUACAACGAGGUUCACAACAAACUUCAGUACAAAAUAAGCUAACUGAAAAUAGAAAUAUUUCUAACUAAUUACAACAAUCAAAUUCAUGUCAUCUCGACCGAACAUCAUUUCCCUAACAUCCUUAUCAGUCUUCAUUCGCACCCAACCAAAGAUACUGUCGAGUCUCUCAAUACUUCUAACUUUUCCCCUUCUGGUAUUUUUCCAUCUAACCAACGAACCAACUCCCUCUUUAGUUUCUCGGUCGUAGUGAUGUUCUAGAAGAGCAUCAGCAUCUGAGAUUUGUCUCUCGCAUAAAUCACCUUUCUGUAUCGGCGACGAACACCAGACAUGAUUACCAAAUGAUUAAAUGAGAUGUGGAAGAAUGCCUCACACAACACAUCUAUUUAUAACAAAAAAAUUGCAUUUUACACUGAGGUGUCGAUCCAAUUGGCGCCUCUUUUUGUAAAAAUACACAUGGGCGCCAAUUUGAUUGGCUAGGGCAUGUGCCCUAGCCAAUCCAAUUGGCUGCUCCAUUCAAUUUUUAAGAGGAGUCGCCAAUUGAAUUGGCGCCUCCUCCUAAAAGUGGGGUAGUUUGGGAUUUUUUUUGAAACGAGGGGUAUUUUGGGAAUUUCCUUGAAAAAUUGGGUUAUUUUUAUAAAAUUGAGGGGGAAAAAAGGGAGAAGCUCUUCUACAUUACACGUAUAAUUUCCCUAAAUUGUUUCAAAGCUCUUACCUAAAAAAUGUUGGUGUAAGCCCUAGAGGCCAAUACUUUUGGUACUUGUAUCGAAUUAUUUAUUAAUAAUAAAAGGCUUUUUUUUUAUUAUGUUUGUCUAAUAAAGUCCCUAGAAUAGAUAGUCUGUUUAAUGUAUCAAGUGUGGCUUAAUCAUGAGAUCACAUUAAACAUAAGGACACUAUUCUUAAAGUAUCCAUGGUCGAGCUUUAUUGUGAAGUGGGAUAACAUUAAAGCAUUAAGACUAUUAUGUAUAUAGACUAAUGAUCACAUCUCAUGGAUAAGGAGUUAUCAAGUCUUAAACAUAGGUAUGAAUAUUAAGAGUAAUAUUUAUACUGGAUUGACCCGCUAUGAGAAUACUAUAUAGAAUGUUAUGCAAAGUGUCAUAAGUUAUUUCAUGUGAUAAUGGUGUAUACAGUUGAUGGGUACCCACGAAGCAUGCUAAGGAAUGAGUGACUAGAUGGAAUUUGCACAUCCUGCGUAACAUGAUAAAUGUCUAUGGGCCAAUAUUGAAUUGGACAAGGAUGACACGGUCUGUGCCUUGUGUUCAAUAUAGACAUAAGGGCAAAAGGGUAAUUGUACACAUAAGUAUUAUCACAAAAGGAUUUGUCAGAUCACAUGACAUUUCGUGUCUUGGGUAGCAGUGAUGUGUUGCUAGAUACCGCUCACUGUUUAUUAUAGUUAAAUACAUGUAUAUAAUAUAAUUGGCUGCCGUGAAAACCUACGAGGUCACACACAAAAGGACGGGAUUGAUGAGAGAUAGAGUAACUAAGGAAUACCAUAAUGUACGGUGCCCUUAAGUGAAUUGUAGAACAUCGUAAGGUACGGUGUACUUAAGUAGAAUACGAAAUAUGGUAAGGUACACGCGCUUAAGUGAUUUUGGCAUAUUAUAAGAUAUGGGCCACAUACACUUGAGUGGGAUUUUUAGCUUGCAUCCCACACAAGUGGUUCUAUAAAUAGAACCCUUGUGUAGAAGCAUUUGAGCAGUUGCAAUUUCGUUUCUCUCUCUUCUCUCUUCUCUCUCUCUCUCUCUCUCUCUCUCUCUCUCUCUCUCUUUCUCUCUCUCUUUCACUCAAAGCCUUCAUUCGUAGCAGCUAGCACUGAGAUUGAAGGAAUCCGUUCGUGUGGACUGAGUAGAGGCGUUGUCAUCGUUCAACGUUCGUGAUCGCUCCGUAGAUCUGCAUCAAAUGUUACAAUCACCACAAGAGGUAACGAUUCUAUCACUGACCAUGCUCAUUCUAAGGAUCACUAAAGGAGAAAUUUUAAAUUCCGCUACAUUUUGGAUCGCUCUUCUCCUUCAAAAAAAUCCUUUGAAUUCUUUCAUCUCUCUCUCUCUCUCAUUCCCCACUAUAAUGUUUCACAAUCUUUUGUAACCGAAGGUUCACUCAUCAUCACUAAUUUCACAAUCACUCAAAUCUAAAGGAGUUUCUAGAAAAAUUGAAGAUUAUUAGCUUUGAAAAUCGGUUUUGGAGAUUUGAUAAUCGGUUAGUUUAAUUUCCUUUUUCUUCUAUAAGCAGUUGCAUUCUUACUAAAAUCAAGCUUGACGAGUUAGGCAUUUCUUCAGUGUAUUUUCGGAGUUUCCUGAUCAUUAUGGGGCCAAAGAAAUUUUUGAGUCCUUCAAGAAAUAUGGGGAUUUAUCAGAGGUCGUCAUUCCUCCCAAGAGGAACAAUUUUGGUAAAAUAUUUGGCUUUGCAAGUGUUAGCCUAGAAAUUUUAGAGAAAUAAGUCAAUAAAGAAUGAUAAUCAUCAUGUUAGAAAAUGCUAAGUAUAAAAGACUCAAUGAAGGGCAUUGACAUAUUAUGUCUACUAAGAUGGUUCGACUAACCUAUCAGAUAAUUUGAAACAUAUGGUAUUCUAAUGCCCACAAAUAAUGGUAUAUAGGAUUCUCAAGAAUAGACCCAUAAGAUUAGGAUCACUAUCUCUUCAAAACAUGUCCAAGAUCUCAAAAGGGGUUACAUAAAUCACCUUUUAGACAAGGGUCAAGUUUGACCCGUCCACCAGACGUUGGGGACUUAAGAUAUUCUUAACUCCAAAGAUUAGGUAAUGUGAAGGUGUUUGAACAACACUAUAGAAGUCGACUAAAGACUCUCUACAUAAGUAAUUAAGAGGUUCAAAACAGUUAUGAACACAAUUAUUAGCAUGAUGAUUAGUUUUCACCAGUUUUAUCUUUAAAGACGUGUGGAAGCAAUUUAAAACAUUAAAUCCUACGUAGUGGGAUACAUGUUUGAUCAUGAGGAUCUAUUUGUUGUCGAUGAUUACUAUUAUUUUAGUAUAUAUAUAGUUGAUCUCAUUGGGGGGAUCAAGGUCGCAAGUUUCACUCAAGUUCGAACAUAACCAAUGGUUUAAGCAUGCUAAAAAUGAAUCAUUUCAAAACUUUAUUCAAAGAGGUGAAAUAAUGAAGAAUACUCAAUAAUCAAAAGUAAAUAAAAAUCAAAGCGAUAUAACAAACAACACAAUAAUUGUAUUAGUGUGCUCCCCCUGAAUAUAUUAAGGAAAUGUGUUGGAGUUCAACAAUGAACUUCCAUUGACAAUGCAUAAGAAUUGGAGAAGAUGAAGAUGAAAGAAUGUUAGAGAGAUAAAAAAAACUUUGUAACUAACUUUCACUACUUAGAAAUUCUUUUUUAAAUUAUGUUAUACAUUCAACUUACUUUGAGCUUAUAUAGAUUCACCCAAACUCAAAUGCACAUUAAAUUCAAACUCAAAUUCAAAUGCAAAUGUAAACUUAAAUGCAAUUGAAACUCAAAAAUAAACUAACUUGAAUGUUAUAUUACACUCAACACCAUCUCUUAAUUCACAUUCAAGUUUCAAAAUCAACACCACCAAUUACAUCCCUCAAAUUGAUGAAGUGUUCAGUUUUGAUCGCCUCAAGUACAACCUCAAGUACUCAAUUUUGAACUUGAUUGUGCAUAAAAUGGUAUUUAGUCUCAAUGUGCUUUAUUCUUUCAUGCAACAUUAGAUUCUUAGCAAGACUUAUGGAAGAUUUAUUGUCAAUCAUCAAUCUGUCUGGUUUGUUCACCUUGAACUUCAGUUCUUGCAACAAAUUCAUCAAUCAAACAUCUUGAAAAGCUGACAAAGCACCACCUAUGUAUUCAGCUUCACAAGUUGACAUUGCAAACACUAGUUCCUUCUUGGAACACCAAGAAAUGGUAGCUCCUAGAUACAUGAAGAGGCACCUUGUAUUACUUCUUUUGUCCAUUAUGUCACUACACCAGUCAGAGUCUGAAUAGCAUAUCAGCUCAACAUCAUUUGACACUCCAGAUGGAAACACAAUUCCAUGCCUUAAAGUCCCCUUUUACAUACCUUAGAAUCCUGACUGCAGCUAGGUAACGUGAUCACUUUGGUUUACUCAUGAACCUACUCACCAUUACAACUGCAUAACAUAUGUUAGGCCUGGUUUUAAACAAAUAUCUCAGACAACUAACCAAUUAUUUGAAGGUUGUAGCAUCUACCUUCUCACCAUCAUCAUCAGAGUCCAGCUUAUGAUUUGUCUCAGUAGGUGUCAUUGCUGAAUUACAAUUCAUCAGCUCAGAAUGCAAAAUCUCCACCCCUAGAAAAUAUACCAUAUUUCUUAGGUCAGUCAUACCAAAAGCAUUCAUCAGUACCUUCUUAAACUUGUUCAUCUCAGAAGUACAACUCCAUGUCAGAAGUAUGUCAUCUACAUAAAGAUACACUAGAAUCAUAUUGCCUUCAGAAUUAUGCUGCACAUACACACCAUAUUCCAUUUCACAUUUCUUGAACCCCAAAUGAUUGAAAAAUGAAUCAAUUUUCAUAUUCUAGGCUCUUGGAGCUUGUUUCAUCUCGUAUAAGGCUUUAUACAACUUAUACACUAUCCAUUAUUUGUUCUCUUUCGAAAAUCCAUGAGGUUGUAACACAUAAAUUUAUUCUUGCAAUGGACCAUUCAAAAAAUCUGACUUUACAUCUAAAUGUAUUAGAGGUCAAUUAAUAUUUGCAGCUAUAUCAAUAACUAACCUUAUGGUUUUAUGUCUAGCUACAAGUUUAAACACUUCAAAGUAGUAUAAACUAGAAUUUUGUAGGAAUCAUCUAGCUACUAACCUUGAUUUAUGCUUGGCAUUUUAACCAUCUGGAUUCAACUUUAUCUUGAAAACCCAUCUCACAUUGAUGGAUUUCUUAUUCUGAGGUAGAACAGUCAAUUCCCAUGUCUUGGGUCUUUCAAUUGCUUCAAGCUCUUAUUUUAUGGCGUUCACCCAAACAUUCUUCUCGAGAGCCUCAUUGAUGCUAACAGGUUCAGAGUCCACCAUCAUGGCACUCUGUCUAACUUCCCCUUCAGAUUCAAUCUUAAUAUCAUGCAUCAACUUAAAGUCUACAAGUCUCAUUGGUAUUUGUCUAACUCUAUAUGACCUCUAGAACUAUGCGAGGUCACCUUCAGAAGCAGGACUACCUUUAGAGGCUGGACCACCUUUAGAAGCUCCACCUUCAGAAGUUCCUCCUUCAAAGGCUAGGCCACCUUCAGAGUCAGAUCCAUCAUAAAGAGUCAAACUCAUAUUCAGAUUCAGACUCCCCUUCAGAGUCAGAAUCACCUUCAGAUGCAAAAUCUCCGUCAUAGGAAGAAUUAGACUCUUGUGUUGACACUGCACUAGUGUUGGAUUGACACUUGCUUCAAUCCCAUGUUUCUGAUUCUUUCUCUAUAACAUCUUUGCUGACUUCAACUUUGUUGGUGACUGGGAAAUAGAGUUUAUAUGCACCUGUACUGAGGUAACCUAUAAGCAACAUGCCUUUGCUUAAUUAAUCCAAUUUCCUUCUAGUAGCAUAUGGUAUAUGUUUGUAACGUACAGAACGCAACACCUUGAAAUGGAUGACACUUUGAUUUCUUCCGAUCCACUUUUCAAUAGGAACUACUUCCUUUAACUUCUUCAUUGGACAUCUGCUGAGCACAUAUACUGAAGUAGAAAUUGCUUCACCCCACAAUUGCUUAGGCAAAUUCUUCUCCCUCGGCAUGCUCCUUGUCAUGUCAAGUUGAGUUCUAUUUCUCCUUUCAGCAAGACCAUUAUGACGUGGAGUGUAUGGAACAGUCACCUAAUGCUCAAUACCAUGUUCCUCACAUAGUUUUUUGAACUCUGUUGACUUAAACUCACCUUCACCAUCGGUUAUGAGGAUCUUCAACCUUUAUCCACUUUGAUUUUCAACCUUCACUUUGAACUUUUUGAACUCACAAACACCUCAUGUUUGAACUUAAUGAGUACUACCUAUGUCAUUCUUGUGAACUCAUCCACAAAUGACAUAAAUUACUUGUUUCCACCAAGUGAGUUUACCUCAAGUAGACCACAUACAUUAUAAUGCACCACACCUAAAGCAUGGGUUGCUCUUGGAGGAAUUUUUUUAUGAGAAUGGAAAUCUUGGUUGCUUUCUUCUCAUGUAUAUAUCACAUGAUUUCUCCGGUGCCACAAUCUUAGGAAUUCCAUGUACCAAAUUCCUUAAACUCAGAUUCCCUAAGAUUCUGUAGUUCAUAUGCCCCAAUCUCUUAUGCCACAUCUCACUUUCCCUUUAAGCACUUCCUGCACUAAGGCAUUAAGUGUCUGAUGUUGCAACAUUCACCUUGAAUGUCUUGUUUCUUCCUAGUUCAUACUGCAUAAUUAACUUCUGAUUAGGGUCAUACAACUUCAAGAGGUUGUCCUUCAUGGUUAUUGAAAAACCUUUUUCAAUUAGUUGACCUACACUCAUCAGAUUGUUAUUCAUGCCAGGAACAUACCAUACAUCCUUGAUUAGUAUAGUUUUGCCAUUGUUCAACCUAACCCUGACAUUUCACAUUCCUUUAGCAUUCAUAUACUCAUCAUCAACACAUCUGAUCUUAGUCCUUUUUUCAUAGUCAAAAUCAACCAGCCAUUGCUUGUUUCUAGUUAGGUGAUUUGAGCAACCAGUGUCCAUAUACCACUAGUCUACCAUUGAUCGAUAAAUAUUCUCAUAUUCCAUCAAUAACAUAGGUUCAUCAUCAAAAUCUACUCUUUCUAUAUUGGCUUCUUCACCCUUACUAACCAUGUUUGACUAACAAUCAGUAGCAAAAUGACCAAACUUGGUUGAGCUCUUAGUAAUGAGGGUAUUAAACCCUAGAUGUGAACUUGAUAGAUCAAAGGGGAUCAAGUUCCCUACCUACAAAAGAGUUAGACAAGUGAAAAGACAUAUUUUUGGUAUUUUAGUUAGUAAAAAUGAUAAAAUACAAAGUAUGAUACAAUCAUAUGAUGCUUGGUGAUCUCUCCCAAUACAAACCUAAUGAAUGAGGGGUAAGGAGGAUGCCAAGAUGUGAUCCCAAUGCCAAUGCAUAUGAUAAGAUAGCAUGAGGGAUCUUAGGGUCAAAAUUUGGGUCUUACAGCGUUCACCCACAUAUUCUUCUUGAGAGCCUCAUUGAUGCUGACAAGUUCAGAUUCUACAAUCAUGACACUCUGUAUGACAUCCCCUUCAGAGUCAAUCUCAAUAUCAUGCAACAACUCAAAUUCUAUAAGUCUCCUUAGUAUUUGUCUAACUCUCGAUGGACUCUAGAACUAUGUAAGGUCACCUUCAGAAGUAGGACCACCUUCAGAAGUUCCACCUUUAGAGGAUGGACCAACUUCAGAAGCUCCAUCUUCAGAAGUUAUGCCUUCAAAGGCUGGGCCACCUUCAGAGUCAGAUCCAUCAUCAGAAUCAGGCUCACCUUCAGAUUCAGAGUCAUCUUCAGAUUCAGACUCUCCUUCAGAGUCAGAAUCAUCUUCAGAGGCAAAAUCUCCUUCAGAGGAAGAAUCAGACUCUAGUGUUGAUUGCGACUUUCUCCAAUCCCAUGUUUAUGAUUCUUUCUCUAUGACAUCUAUGCUGACUUCAACUUUGUUGGUGACUGGGCAAUAGAUCUUAUAAGCACCUGUACUGAGGUAACCUAUAAGCAACAUGACUUUUCUUCUGUCAUCUAAUUUUCUUCUAGUAACAUCUGGUAUAUGUUUGUAACAUACAAAAUGAGUACACCUUGAAAUGGAUGACACUUUUAUUUCUUCCAAUCCACUUCUCAAUAGGAACUACUUCCUUUAACUUUUUUGUUGGACAUCUGCUGAGCAUAUAUACUGAAGUAGAAAUUUCUUAGGCAGAUUCUUCUCCCUUAGCAUGCUCCUUGUCAUGUCAAGGUAAGUUAUAUUUCUCCUUUCAGUAAGACCAUUAUAACGUGGAGUGUAUGGAGCAGUCACCUAAUGCUCAAUACCAUGUUCCUCACAUAACGUUUUGAACUCUAUUGACUUGAACUCACCUUCACCAUCGGUUAUGAGGAUCUUCAGCCUUUGUCCACUUUGAUUUUCAACCUUCACUUUGAACUUCUUGAACUCAACAAACACUACAUGUUUGAACUUAAUGAGUACUACCUAUGUCAUUCUUGCGAACACAUCCACAAAUGACACAAAUUACUUGUUUCCACCAAGUGAAACUACCUCAAAUGGACCACAUACAUUAUAAUGCACCACACCUAAAGCAUGAGUUACUCUUGGAGGAAUUUUUUAUGAGAAUGGAAAUCUUGGUUGCUUACUUCUCAUGCAUAUAUCACAUGAUUUCUCUGGUGCCACAAUCUUAGAAAUUCCAUGUACCAGAUUCCUUAAACUCAGAUUCCCUAAUAUUUUGUAGUUUAGAUGCCCCAAUCUCUUAUGCCACAUCUCACUUUCCCUUUCAGCACUUUUUGCACUAAGGCAUUGAGUGUUUGAUGUUGCAACAUUCACCUUGAAUGUCUUGUUUCUUCCUAGUUCAUACUGCAUAAUUAACUUCUGAUUACGGUCAUACAACUUCAAGAGGUUGUCCUUCAUGGUUACUAAAAAACCUUUUUCAAUUAGUUGACCUACACUCAUCAGAUUGUUAUUCAUGCCAGGAACAUACCAUACAUCCUUGAUUAUCACAGUUUUGCCAUUAUUCAACCUAACUCUGACAUUUCACAUUCCUUUAGCAUUCAAAUACUCAUCAUCAACACAUCUAAUCUUGGUCCUUUUUCUAGGUCAAAAUCAACCAGCCAUUACUUGUUUCUAGUUAGGUGGUUUGAGCAGCCAGUGUCCAUAUACCACUAGUCUACUAUUGAUCCACAAACAUUCUUAUAUUCCAUCAAUAACACAGGUUUGUCAUCAGAAUCUACUCUUGCUAUGUUGGCUUCUUCACCGUUGCUAACCUUGUUGACUAACAAUCGGUAGCAAAAUGACCAAACUUGUUGCAACUAUAGCACUGAACCUUUCUCUUGUCAAACUUCUCCUUUCCCUUCUGAACAUUCUAAUGUUUCAUAUCAUAAUUGGAGAGUUCUGACUUACGAACACCACCAUGAUACUUUUUCUUGUUCUCUAGCCAUGAUUGCUUCUAGUUAUUCUUACCAGCAGAAGCUUUUAGAGUUUGAGCUUUUAGAGUCUGUUCUAUCUCAUUUUCAGAGUUUCUUUCAGUCAAACACAACUUUUGUUCCUCUAAACUACUUUGAAGCUCUUCAAUUCUCAUGGUUCUAGUGUCUUUAUAGUGUUCUAUUUCUAUAACUAUGUAACCAAACGGAGGAGUAAUUGAUCUCAGUACAUUUCUCCACAAGACUUCAUCCCAUUCGUAACCACAAUCACUAUGGUGAUGUAAUCAGGCACAUUCUCAUUGUUCUUCAUGCUGAUAUUUUGAUAUUGCUUGCAUUGGGACUGAAAAUUGAUCUUCUUCACUGAUGUGUCACCACCAUAGCACCGUACCAGUGAAUCCAAUGUCGCCUUCGCCAUCGUCGAAUUGACAAUUUUCUCAAACACCUUCGUAUCUACACAUUGAUGGAUAUAUAAGAACGCCUUCUGAUCCUUCUUGUUCGUUUCACAUUGCAUAUUUCUUUGCGCUUUUGUUGCAUUUUCUACAACCGGCGUGUAACCGUCAUUGACGAGACCAAGAACAUCUUGAGCUCCAAAUAACACAUGCAUCUGAAUUGACCACCGACUCCAGUUCUUUCCGUCGAAUACUGGAAACUUUGUGUUCGAGUUACCGUUUUCGUCGUUCAUCUUCGUUCUUCUGCAAAUCACUCAGUUCUUACCAACACCCGUGUUUUCCAAACCGCGAGAAUCAAAAUCUGUGAUUCUCCUUGAUUUGAAUUUCAAUUCAACACGAAUAUCAAGAACAAAAUCAUCACAUACCUCAAAAGAAUCGAACCGGACCUCUAAAUAUCAAUUGUUGGAGUUCAACAAUGAACUCCCAUUAAUAAUGCACAAGAAUCGGAGAAGAUGAAGAUGAAGAGAGAGAGAGAGAGAGAGAGAGAGAGAGAGAGAUUAAUUCCUUGAUUGGCUUGCACUUGAGGCAAAAAAGGCAAUGCAAUGCUAUGCAAUGGACCAUGAUAUGCUAUGACCUAAUAUGAAAAUGUAUGUACAAUGAUGGGUGCAAAUUUGAGGUGCUACACUUGCAUAGGGACUGAAAACUGAUCUUCUUCACUAAUGUGUCACCACCAUAGCACCGUACCAGUGAAUCCAAUGUCGCCUUCGCCAUCGUCGAAUCGACAAUUUUCUCAAACACCUUCGUAUCUACACACUGACGGAUAUAUAACAACGCCUUCUGAUCCUUCUUGUGCGUUUCACGUUGCAUAUUUCUUUGCACUUUUGUUGCAUUUUCUAUAACCGGUGUGUAACCGUCAUUGACGAGACCAAGAACAUCUUGAGCUCCGAAUAACACAUGCAUUUGAAUUGACCACCGACUCCAGUUCUUUCCGUCGAAUACUAGAAGUUUUGUGUUCAAGCUACCGUUUUCGUCGUUCAUCUUCGUUCUUCUGCAAAUCACUUAGUACUUACCAACACUCGUGUUUUCUAAACCGCGAGAAUCAAGAUAUGUGAUUCUCCUUGAUUUGAACUUCAAUUCAACACGAAUAUCAAGAACAAAAUCAUCACACACCUCACAAGAAUCGAACCGGACCUCUAAAUAUCAAUUGUUGGAGUUCAACAAUGAACUCCCAUUAAUAAUGCACAAGAAUCGGAGAAGAUGAAGAAUGAGAGAGAGAGAGAGAGAGAGAGAGAGAGAGAGAACUCUAUAACUAACUUUCACUAUUCAGAUUUUUUUAAAAUUCCGUUACACAUUCAACUUACUUUGGGCUUAUAUAGAUUCACCCAAACUCGAAUGCACAUUAAAUGAAAAUUCAAAUUUAAAUAAAAAUGUAAACUUAAAUGCAAAAAAAAUCUCAAAACUAAGCUAACUUCAAUGUUGAAUUACAUUCAUCAGCAUGUUUUUAAUCAUAUGAGAGUUACUUACAUAUAUAAUUGUAAUGAAAAAUUUCAUUUGAUCAACUUCUAUAAAAAAAGAGAUUAAUUGUUAUGCAUUGUCCGUGUAAAAAGUUUACACUGUGAAUACAUCAUAAUCAUCCGUUUGUGUUACUUUAUAUGUGAUUAUAAUAAAAUUCAAACUUCUCUAACAAAUCAAUAGUUGUAAUCAAGUGACAGUGUAAAAUAUCUUUACACCGUUAUGUAUUCCAAUUAAAUUCAUAAAAAAGUAAACUUAUAUUGUUUAAUAAUUAUAUAAUUUUAUACUUAAAGCCUAAAAGGUAGACUGAUUUAUAACAAAAGACAUUAUUCUUACUAUUUUCUGAUCGCAAAUUUUCUAUCUCAUUUUAUUAAUUAUGUAAAAUAAAAUAUUAUUAGUUUUUAUAUAUAAAAACAAUUCAAGUUUCUAUGAAUUUUAAUGAAUAAAUACAAUUAAUAUACUCUAAACUAUUUUUGUAAUGACAAAUAUUAUUAAUAAUUAUUGAAUAAAAUUUAGGAAAAUUCUUAUCUACUUAUAAAAAAAAAUUGGGUAGAGUUAUUAUAGAAUAGAUUGUCUCGAAAAUUUCUCAAAUUCAAAAAAUUUAAUAAAUAAUUAAAGAGAUUAUGGAAAUAUACUAUUAGUGUAACUAUUAUUCAAUUAAAAUUAAUUAUUUCAACAUAUAAAUAUAAAAAUAAAAAAAAUAAAAAAAAUAAAAAAUUAAAUCAUUUUAAUAAUUAUUUAUUUCAUAUAAUGACGAAUUUUAAUUGAAUGAUAAUGACAAUGAUUUUAUACCUAACAGUAUAUUUUAAUUAAUCAUAUAUGAUAAAAUUAAAUGGUAUUAAAUAAUUGGUUGAAACAUGUGUAGAGAAGUUAUCGCAUAAAAUUUAUCUAAGAAUUGCCCGAUAAACAUUGUUAUGUAAUAUAAUUUUGUAACUGUAAUAUUGUUUCUAAGGUAAAUGAAACAUGAAACACACGGUGUUAGAGAUGCUUCAAUCUUUACCAAAACAUUAAUUUAUCUAAGAAUUGCCCGAUAAACAUUGUUAUGUAAUAUAAUUUUGUAACUGUAAUAUUGUUUCUAAGGUAAAUGAAACAUGAAACACACGGUGUUAGAGAUGCUUCAAUCUUUACCAAAACAUGAUUUGUCUAAGUCGGUGAAUAAAACAAGCACAAAGUGUACUGACGCUGGCAUGGUAUGCAUGGUAUAAAAGAGAGAAUCACAUUACUUUAUUUAUGUAACUGAUUUGUUCACACUAUUAUUCACAUACUCACGUUUAAAUGACUCGCAUAUUAAUUUGAAAUUAAAUUUUGCUGUCAAAUAGAACAUUAUAGAAAUAGUCGAGUCUUCCUUUAAGCAUAGUUUCUGCCUCGGAUCACCUCUAUAAAUUUCAACCAUUUUCAGAAGCUAAAUAUCAUAAACAUUUUCAAUAAUACUCUCUUGCAAUACCAAAAAAAUGGCGGCAAAAUUUUCAGUUCCAAUCAAAAUCAUCUCCUUCUCAAUAUUAGUUUUCAUAACCAUUAACAUAGUUAAUGGUCAAGCUCAACCAAAUCAAUCAACCUUGGUGUUCUACCUACAAGAUGUCGGAAAAGGACCUAAAGCAACCGUUUCACCGGUUAUAGGCAUCAAUGGCAAGGUUUGGUCAUACAACACAUUUGGAACAAUAUUUGUUGUUGAUGAUCCUGUUACAUUAAG